AUGUGGUUUGGUCAUGAUUUCUCCACUAACCAAACUGAAUGCUCAGCUCAAUAGUUUUUUUUUUUUUUAAUAAUAAAAAAGGCAAGUUAGGCUUAAGAAGAGCUGUUCUGCAUUGAUAGUAGCUUUGCAAGUAGAGUUUUUUUUUUGGAUAACCUUCAAAUAUCACCCAUAUGGUUUCGCAUUUUCUUAUUCUAGUGUACUGUGAUUUAAAGUGUAUCAAGUUAGUGUUCUGUGGUUUGAUUUUUAUCUUUUCGUUAGCUUUUUCGCUAAUAUUUUAUUAAAUUUUAUAGAAAAAACUUCAGAUAUUUCAACUAGGUUUAUCGAAUAUUCACUUUAGUAUAUUUUAGUUUUAACUUUGUCACUGAUUUUAUAAAAAAAAUUAGUGAAAUAAAUAAUAAAAAGAUAAAAAUAAAAUAAUACACUUUAAAUCACAUGGCACUGGCACUGAAGUGAGAAAGUGUAAAACUACAUGUGAACAAUUAUGAAAAAUUUUAAGCAGAUCGGGAUUUUUUGCAGUAUUAUAUGCGUGAUCGGGAGUAGUUCAAUUAGCGACAUGAAUAUCAUAAAGAAAGAAUUUUUACAUGGCAAAUGAAAAGCAAUUUUUGAAGUUUCCUUAGCCACAUGAUAUAUAUUAUACCCCUACCCUAAUCAUCACACUUACUCUAACAUAGUAAUAUCAAUUAUACGACCUACUAUAACAUAUAUCACAUAUAUAAUACUACUAUAACCUUAUAGUAUAUUGAGUCCGGCUAUGGUGGAUGUUAAAAGUUCGCAAGUAUUUGGUGGGCCUUUUUUUCUUUUUUUUUUUUUUUUUUUUUUUUUUUUUUUUUUCUUUUUUUUUUUUUUUUUUCUUUUUUUUUUUUUUUUUUUUUUUUUCUCCUAUUUUUUUUUUUUCUUUUUUUUUUUUUUUUUCUCUUUUUUUUUCUUUUUUUUUUUUUUUUUUUUUUUUUUUUUCUUUUUUUUUUUUCUUUUUUUUUUUCUUUUUUUUUUUUUUUUUUUCUUUGUAAAUUUUUCUGCGUUGAUCUACGCAUUUGAUCAUUUUCACCUGUUAGAUUAUACUAUUCAACCAACCACCACUUAACCUAGGGGCCCUAUAUCAUCUUAACCGGCACAUUCCUUAAUCCAAGGGCUAAAACUUACAAGCACCAACUGACUUGUACUUUUAAAAGACAUAGGACCUCAAUUCAUAUAUAUAUAUAUAUAUAUAUAUAUAGAGAGAGAGAGAGAGAGAGAGAGUGAAGAGAGAGAGAGAGAAGAGAGAGAGAGAGUGUCUGGCUACUAGUACUUUUAUGAGUACGAUCGUCUUGUACUCAUGAGUUAUUUUUGAUGAUAAGCUUCCGAAUCGACGAUCCAUACCGUUAAACAUUAUCUUAAGAACAUUUAAAACUUCCUAAAAUCAAAUUUUAUAAAUUUUCGAUAUCAUUUACCUUACGAUCAAAAGCUCACAAAAUUGAUAAUUUUUAACGACCGGUAUGAAAUUCUUGCUAGUUUAAUGGUGUAAAAGAAUCAAAAUAGGUUUAAUUUUUAUAGAAAAUUCUAUUCACUACCUAAAUAAAGAUCAAUAACUCCGAUCUUAAAUUGAAGGAUCCGAUCAUCCAUUUUAGGAUGUCGUUCGAUUUUAACCGUUCAUUUUAUACCCACUAGAUGGACUUUAUAAUAAUUUCGAAAAAUUACGAAAUUUAUUCUAGAAGGUUCAAAUACUGUAGAUCAUGUUUAACGGUGUGGAUCGUCGAUUCGAAAAUCCCAAUAUCGAAAACAACUUAUGAGUACAAAGAGCUCUAUACUCAAAAGAAUAUAGUAGCUACUCUCUCUCUCUCUCUCUCUCUCUAAACUCACACAAUAACAUAUUUAGAAACAAAUUAAAUUAGAUUUAAAUUUAAAAGUAAAUUUUAAGUAAAAAUGAAUUCUGAUUUUUUUAUUUUGAAUUUAAAUGGUUAUCAGCGGCAUGAGUCUAUUUUCAGUUGAUUUAUUUUUUAAAUUUGAUUUGUUUCUAAAUAUGUUUCCAAUUUAGUUAUACAAUAAAUAUUUUUGAUUUGUUUCGUAACACACAUUUUUUUUAAUGUAUACCCAAAUUUUAAAAUUUUGAAUUAAUUUCUAAAUUUAAAUUAAAUUUUAAAUUUAUGAAUCAAACUCAAUAUUUAAAGUUAAUUUUGAAUUCAUUAUUUAAAUUAAACAAUUAUUAAUUGUUACGUCUAUUGUUAAACCAUUCAAAUUUUCAAACCUCUGAUUUAUUUGUAGUUAAUUUUUUUAAUGUGUAUAAAAUAUUUUUUUAUUUCAUUUAUCAUUUCAUCUGCCAACUCGAAAUUUUUUAUCUGUUUUUUAUAUUUUGUGUGUAUAUAUAUAAAAUGAGGUUACUAUACUUCUAAAAGCAUAUCCCUCUCGUGCUAUAUAUAUAUAUAUAUAUAUGAGUUUUGAAUUUUUUUUUUUCCAAAAAUGCUCUAUUCUUUUUACUAAUAUCUUUCAUGUCCAGUAAUUUUUCAUCCAAUCAUUUCAAAUAAUUUCACUAAGUAAUAAUUUUAUUCUCAAAUAAAGAUAUUAAUUUUUUGCCAUUAGUCUUAUCCGUAAAUUUCUCAAAAUAUCUUAUUAAUUUAGCCUUCUAUACGUCAACUACCUACAUAAUAUCCGGUUAACUUUCUCACUAAUAUCCACCAUUUUUUCAAAUAUCGUCAUCAAAAUUUUAAUCUUUUUUCUUAGUUUCUCAAACAUUUUUUUAUCUCCAUUAUCUUCGCAUUUAAACUUAAAUCUUAAUGUAGAUCAAAAUUAAAUUUUGAAUUUUGAAUUAAACAUGAAUUUCUUUCCGAAAAUGUCUCAAUCUUUUUACUAAUUGUUCAUCUCGCAGAAAUUUUGAAGCAUUUAUUUAAAUAAUUCAUUAAAUUUUGGAUUUCCUCAAAAUAUAUAAUAUUUCACUACCACGUAUUUGAAUUUAAAUCUUAGAGUGAAUCAAAAUUAAAGUUUAAAAUUUAAAAUUUUUGAAUUUCAAACUUAAAGUGAUCGAAUUAAAUUUUAACUUUAUAAAAUUAAACAUAAUUAAAAUUUUAAUUAUAUAGAAAAUAUCUUAAUACUUAUCUCAUACCCAAUUUUAUCUCAUCAUAAUACUUAUCCAUACAUAAAAUAUUCUUAUUUUAAUACUUUCUCAUCUCUAUCUAUACGUUUCUUAAAUAUAAUAAAUAUUAACCUUUUUCAUUUUCAACUAUAUGUUUUCUCAAAUAUAUUAUUUUAGUAAUAUUUUAUUCAUUCCUCAUCGUCGUUCUCCGAUCACCUUCGCCACAGUUAGAAAGGUAUUUUGCUACACCUAAUUCUUUUAAUGUGUCAUAAAUAAUGUUUCCUACCCAAUUCGUCUUUCGUAUACUUUGUUUUACUUAUUUAAGAAUUUUAAAUGCUAAUAGUGUGCAUUUUCAUAGACUUUUUAUCUUUACAUUAAUUGCGCAAGUCAUACAGUAUAUUAUUUUUAGUAUAUUUUUUUUCAAUUUCACUUGUAUUUUUUUCAAAUAUUGUCAAAUAUUUUUUUACUAAUAUCCUUUCUCAUUUGUCCUCCGUCGCUGGCACCGGGCAAUCGUCAUCGUCAUCGCCAGCCGACACCGGCAUGUUGUCGCCUUCGCCACGCUUUGCCACAUUUGAGAGGCAUUUGAUCUAAACUGAAUUGUUUUUUAAUAUGCUUUUAUAACUAUUUUAGUAUAUCUAUUUUUUAGUAUUUUCUCUCAUUUACAUUUAUAUAUUGCAGCCCGCAUAUCGUCAUCGUCAUCGCCGACAACGGCAUAUUGUCGCCUUCGCCACUUUGCCACUAUUUGAAAAGAUAUUUUGAUCUCAAACUUUUUUUUUUAAUAUGCUUUUAUACAUUUUACAUUUUUUUUUAGUAUUUUCUCAUUUACAUUAUACAUUUAUCAAAUAUAAAUAUAUAUUUUGUUAUAAUAUAUUUUUUUCAUUUCCUCUAUAUUUUUCAAAUAUUCCAAAUAUUUUUUAGUACUAUUUUUUCAUUUGUCCCCUUGCCGGCACAGCGCGCAUCGCCAUCGUUCUCCUUAUCAACGUCACCGUGCCGGCACAUUGUCACUCUGACAUCACCGGCGCCGGCACAUUGUCAAAAUUAAUUUUAAAUUUUAAAUUUUGUUCAAAAAUUUUAUAUGUGAAUUCAUCAGCUUAAAAUUUAGAAUUUAAUUCAAAUUUUAAAAUUUGUAUACACAUUAAAAAUAAUUGUAUAUUAUUAUAAAAAUAAAUAUAGAAAAGUAUUUAUAUGUGUAACUAAAUUAAAAAUGUAUCAAAACUUAUCCGAAAUAAAUUAAAGUUAAAAUUUGAUAAUAGACUCAUACCACCAAUAAACUAUUUAAAUUUAAAAUAUAAAUAUAAAUUUUAUUUUUGAUUUUUGUGAUGUGCAUUGCCGUGCACUAUGACAAGUAUAUAUAUAUUAUAUGAGUAAGUCUCCUAUACUUUCGAAAGUACGGAGACCUCCGUACUUGUAAGUUAUUUUCGAUGGUAGAAAAUCCGAUUCGAGAUCGGUUUGUUAAGUAUAAUCAUCCUAUUGAACUAUUUGAAACUAAAUUUAUAAUUUUUGACAUCAUUUACCAAGCGAUCAAAUGUCUCAAAAAUGACUAUUUAACGACCGAUGUGAACACGUUUUUAAGUUCAAUACGGUGUAGAAGUAUCCAAAAUUAGAUGAAAAUUUAAUAGAAAAUCUACUUAACAUCAUAGCAAGACCAAACUUCCGAUUUGAAAUUUGAGUCCUUUAUCACUGUUUUUUAUGGAUUUUUAUUUUUAGCCGUUCAUUUUGAGGCUACUGCGUUUACUAACAAAAAGUCAAAAAAUUAUGAAAUUGGUUUCUCUCGGUAGUCUACAAUAACGUAGAUCAUGUUUAACGGAACCGAUUGCCGAAUCCGAUAUUCCAUUAUUAAAAUAACUUACAAGUACGAAGGCUUCCGUACUUUCGAAAGUAUAGAAGGCCUACUCAUAUAUAUAUAUAUAUAUUAUAUAUAUAUAUAUAUAAUAUAUAUAUAUAUAUAUAUAUAUAUAUAUAUGAGCAGGCGCUGUGCUCUCAGGAGCACGGAGGCCUCCGUGCUCCUGAGCGUUUUCGAUGAUGGAGUUUUCAAAUCGACAUCGGCUCCGUAAAACUUGAUCUAGCGUAUUAAAGUUUCUAGAAAAUAAUUUUUGUGAUUUUCGAUAUCAUUUACCAGCAAUCGAAAGGAUUCAAAAUCAAUAAUUUUUACAGGCUGAAAAUAAAAAUCCAUAUAAAACGUGUUGAUAUACACUAAAAUUUUCGAUCAGAAAUAUAGAUCUUGUUGUAGAUAGUAUAAAGAAUUUUCUAUCAAAAUUUCAUCUGAUUUGAAUACUUCUAACACCGUUAAACUUGAAAACGGCAGAUAUCAACCUUUAAAAUUAUGGAUUUUGAAUCCUUUCGAUCACUAGGUAAAUGAUAUGAAAAAUCGCAAAAAAUUAUUUUCUAGAAACUUCAAAUGCGCUAGUCAAGUCCUAACGGGCCGAUCGUGCGAUAUCGAAAAUUCCAUCAUCGAAAACGGCUCAGGAGCACGGAGGCCUCCGUGCUCCUGAGAGCACAGCAGCCCUGCUCUAUAUAUAUAUAUAUAUAUAUAUAUAUUGAGCGCUAGAGUGUUUCUAAAAGCACCAAGCUAUUGAUGUUUAUAGUUUUCUAGCCCUUAGAGCAACCUUGGAUGAUGUAUUGGGCUAUUGUAUUAAAAGUGUACUUUGGUGGCUUAAAAGUUAAAAAUGGUGGUUUAUGAUUUAUUGGCCACAAGGGUUGAUCAAAGGGCCAAAAAUAACCAAGGCCUUGUUGCUUUUUAAAAAUACUAUAGCUGGGCUCUAUAAGGUAAAUUGAUUGUGCAAAAAACUAGUACAAGAAUAAGAACAAUUCAACAGCAUAGAAAAUUCAUAGAUUUGAAUUACUACUGCAACACCAAAAUAAUUUUUCUUUUUAUUUGACUACUUAAUGUUGAGAAAAUUCGUCACUAUGAAUACAUUAUAACUAAGAGCAAUACAUUAGUAUAAAAUCCGACCUCAAACAAAAAAAUUAGUUAUAUUAUGAAAGGACAACUAAAUUUUGGAAUCAACGGGCUUUGCACGAACCAAUAAUAGUUUUAAAUAAUAAAUUGAAAAGAUAAAAAUUUUAGGUAAUGAAAAAAUUUCACAAAGUAAGAUAAUUUCCAUUAAAUUUAACACCUUUGACUAAUUUUCAGUUGAAACUAGCAUAAAUUCAUUUACUAAUUAAUUAUUAAUAGCUAAUUAACAUAUUAAUUAAUUUUCUUUAUUUAAUUUAUUAUAAUAUUUGAAAUCUGAAUGGAUAAAAAAAAAUUUUAAAAAAAUGGACCAUGUACAUUCAUAUGCCCCUCACUAGUUUAGGGGCAAAAUGAACAAUUUAAUUCUUAACCUUCAUUAUAUUAUGGUAUAACUAAGAUUAAAAUGAGUUGACGGUAUUUUUGAAACAAGUAAAUAUUUGAGGGGGCAAUUUUAAUAUUACAAAUUAUGUAGGGACGUUUACGAUAAUUUUGAACUUUUCAAGAAUACGAAUGAAAUUGCCCAUAUAUAAAAAUGUUGUGCUUAACUAUUCUAUGAUGUUAUUGCCCUAUUAUCAAAAAAAUCUGUUGAUUAAUAGAAAAGUGAAGUGCAAUUUUUUGAAAACUAUAAAGUACUUUCUUAACUAUAGAUUUUUAUAGUAAACUAAAAAUAAAAUCAUAAAAUAGCUAAGCAUAUUGUUUGAACCAUAUGAUAAGGAAGCAAAAACGUACUAAAUCAUAGAUAGUUAAGUAUAACUUUUUAAACAAUAAAGUGGCAAAUUUAGUUGGGUAAAUUGUAGUUUAUCUUUUUUUUUUUGGAAAAAUUUCAAAUACUAUCUCUGUGGUUUCACACUUUCUCAUUUUAGUACCUUACGUUUUAAAGUGUAUCAAUUUAGUAUCAUGUAAUUUUAUUUUUCUCUUUUUAUUAUCCAUUUCACUAAUUUUUUCAUUAAAUAAGUGACAAAGUUAAAAUUAAAGGGUAUUAAAGUGAAUAUUCGAUAAACCUAGUUAGGGCAUCUGAAGUUUUUUUGUAUAUAAUUUAACGAAAUAUUAACGGAGGAAAAAAAAUCAGUGACAAAGUUAAAACUAAAGGGUACUAAAGUAAAUAUUUGAUAAACCUAGGCAGGGUAUUUGAAGUUUUUGGUAUGUAAUUUAACGAAAUAUUAACUGAGGAGCCGACGAAAAGGAAAAAAUGAAACCAUAAGGUACUAAAUUGAUGAACUUUAAACCACACGGUACUAAAGUGAGAAAAUGCAAAAUCACAGGGUACUAAAUUGAUACAUUUUAAACUACAGGAAACUAAAGUGAAAAAAUGCGAAACCACAGGAGUUGUAUUUGAAGUUUUCUUUUUUGUUUUUUACUCCAUGUUUUGUGAUAGGUGGUCCAACCUUACAGGGGGAUAAUAAUGUAAUGAAUUUGGUGGGCCCAGACCAACUACAUUCUGCGAGAAAAGGCCAACCCAAACCCCGUAUUAGCAAAGCCCAACCCAAACUCCAUGUUAGCACUUAGCAGUACUGUGCUUUAACUUAUCCUGCAAUUAUGUUUUUCUUUUUUUCUCGGAUAAAAUCAUAUAAACUUGAUGUGAAUUAUGGUUAAUUUUAAUUUGGCCCAAUCUUUUAAAAUAUUGAUUAUACAAUCAAAAUUUUAAUUUGUUUAAUUUGAGUAAAUCAACAGUAUCCUCACUUCAAAAUUCAAAGGGGCUAUUUAUUUUUAUAGUUUUAAUUGGUAUAUUUUAUAUAACUGGCGCAAUAACAAAAUUAUUAAAAUAAAUAAAUAAUUUCAAUUUUAAAACUAAAAUGCUUAUUCAAAAAUUUAUAUAGCUCACUCAAAAUGGACCAUAACCAUAAGUAAAUCCCUUACAUUAUUGUUAAUUAUUAUUAAUACUACUACUGGUUACCCUAUAUUACUGGUAGCAUUUGUUAAAAACAGUUGUGAAUCAUAUGUUCCAUUCACUCUAAGGCUGAAAAAAUAAAUUUUGAAAAAUUUUAUUUAUUCUUUUCCGAAAAAGUUCUAGAGCUUCUCAUAAUCUGGUACACACAAAAAAAAAAAAAAAAAAACUUCAAAUACUGCUUUUGUGUUUUUAUGCUUUCUCAUUUUAUAUCUUGUGAUUUUAAGUUAUAUCAAUUUAGUAUAUGUGUUUUUUUUUUGAAUUUUCUUCUAUUAAUCAAUGAAAACUUAAAUACUAAACAAGUAUUAAACUAAAUAUUGGAUAAGUUCUCGGUGGGUAUUGAGCAGUUUUUACUAUGAACUUAAGAUGCUAACGGAGAAAGUUUGACGAAAAGAAAAAAAAUCAUAGAAAACUAAAUGAUACACUUUAACCAUAGAGGCUACUAACAGCUGAAAAAGUGUGAAAUUAUAUAAUGAUAUUAAAGUUUACAAAACAAAAAAAUAUAAAAAAAACAUUUCUAGAGGAUAAUUAUGCCGGUCUUGCAGCCUUCCAGAUCGCGUCUCCAAAUUCCUCGAUGCCUGUCGGCCCAAGAUCGUCUCCGAAUCGUCGAGCGGCCCGGACGCUCCCGAGGUCGGCCGCCGCCGCCGCGCCACCGCCGUCGUCACACAAAUUCGCUCUCGCUCUCGCUCUGCUUGCCGCCGCUUCUUCUUCCCCUGCGAGGGGGACGCCUUCCUGUCCGCGGCCACGGCCUCUGCAGCGCUCGCAGGACGUCCGACCCUCAAACCCCCGUCCGUCGUCCACCCUCGCCUCGGCCUCGGCUGGCGCGGGCGAGGGCGGGGCAGCGGCGACGCGCAAAGUCCUCCUCGUCGGAGUGCCGCGUCGUGCGGCGGUUGAGGUGAUACGCAGAGGAGGGAUUUGCCGGCCGCCGCGCCGGAUGUGGUGUGGUGGUGGUGGGAGCGGAUCUCGCGGCGGCCGUAGUGCGACGCGGAGGGGCGCGGAGCGGAAGGCGCAGAAGGGAGACGUUCGGGAGGAGGAGGGAGAAGAGGGCGGUGUGGUUGGCGCCCCGCCGCCCGGGCAAGCAUCUUUGCCUUAAUUAGUGACGGGAUUGAAGAGCAGUCCUCAUUUGUUGCUUUCUUUCCUUUUUUUUUUUUUUUUCUUCUUUUUAUUGUGUGUUUUCCAGGACCGUCGUCGAAAAUAAAUAAUUAUAUUCAAAAUUAAAAAUUGGCUAAAUUAUAUAAAAUCUCCGGUCAAAAUUUGAUUUUUCACUUCCCUUUCCUGUCAUUUAAAAAUCUACAUUUUGUUUCCUUAUAAAAUAAAAAAUAUUCGGUGUGUAAAAUGAUCAUUUUGUCACUCACUAUUGUUGUCUCCUUUAUCAUCUUCCUCAACCGCCGCCUCGAUCGGCCACGAUUCACACUUCGAUCGGCUGCGAUUUCUCUCCAUUUUUUUUUCCAUCUGCUCUUCCUGCACCUUCGCCGCCCCUCGAUUUCGGCGAUAGUAUGGAGGAAAUCGAGAUGGGCGUUGAUGGAGAGGUAGGAAAGAGCAACGAGGGCGAAGGCGAGGCGGCGGAGGAGGGCGAACGGAUGUGGGCGAGUGCAGGGCGGUGGAGGAGGGCGAGGCGGCGAGGCGGCGGUAGGCGAAGCAACAGGGAAGAGGACGAAGGGGUAUUUUUGGCAUAAAAAAAUAUUUUAUAACGGAACCCUAAUGGUAGGGGGUGAAGUGCACAUUUUUUAUUUUACUAGUUAAGUGCACGUGCCACGCACGUCACACAAAUACUAAAAAAAAAAAUUUAUAAAUAAAUAUUAUAGAUUCGAUAAAUAAUAUUUAAUCAUUACUAAAAUAAAAUGAUAGAAAUAAAAAAUAGAAUUACAAUAUCAUAAAAGAAAGAACACAAAAUCUAUCAUGGUAUCAUUAAAAAAAAAUACAAAAUUCGUCACUAAACUAAUUGAAAAUGUCACCAUUAGUUCCCCUUCCGUACAAAUUGCAUUGUAAGUAAGAAAAACAAUAAAAUAAAUAUUAGUAAAUCAUCAGAAUAGAUAAAAUUAAAAAAAAUGUAAAUUUAAUAAGAAUUCAUAUAAGUAAAAAAUUUAGCUUAAUUUUAUUUCUUGAGUUUUUGGAAUAGGUGGAUUAAGCACAAUUUUACUUAUAAAAUUUUGCUAAAUUGAUCCUGAUAAAUAAAUUUAAAAUACCACAAAAAAAUAAAAUAUUAAAAAGUACAUUUAUCCUAAUUAUCGAUAUUAAAGUGCACUAUUUUUAUACAACAACUGAAUUGUUUACAAUAGUGUCUCUCCAAAUGCCAAUGUGUGUUAUAGCACUAUCUUGUUCUAGAGUAUGAAUCUAAUUCGAUUCAUGCUUCAAUCCAUCCAAAUAAUUAGUUAUUAAUAAUUUUUUCAUGCCAAUGUGUGUUAGCAUUAUCUUGUCCUAGAAAAUCAAUCUAAUUCAAUUCAUACUUCAAUCCAUCCAAAUAAUUAGUUCUUAAUAAUUUUAUUCAUGUGAAAUGAUAAAAAGAGAAAUAUUUUAAAUUAAAAUUCAAAUUAUCAAAUUCGCGGGUAUUAAAUUUUGGCGGGCAUUACAAAUUUAAAAUUUAAUUUUGGUACUUAGAUUGGUAGGUAUUACGUUUGAGAAAAAAAAUAUUUGAGAAAAUGUUUGGAUAUGUAAUAAAUUUAAUUUUACAUAUUAUGUGAUUAGCGGAGAUAUUACGUGAUUGGCGGGUAGGGCGUUAGAUAAGAGAUAAAUUUAGUUUUACGUAUUACAUGAUUGUUCGGUAGAAAAAAAAUUUGAAAAAAGGAUAUUUUUGCCAACAAAAAUAACAGAUACUUUUAUUUUUAUUCGUUGGAUGAGAUCCAAUGGCGAAAACUUAAGAUCUAUAUUUGAGAAUAAAUUAUUAUUUGAAGAUUUAUUUAAAAUAGAUAAAAUAUAUUUUAUAUUUGAGAACACGGAGAAUAUUUUGGUGUUGAAUAUUUUGGUAAAAAUAUUUAAAAUUAUAUUUAAUUAACGAUUUUGUUUUGAUUGGGCGGGUAUUAAUUUUUUUAAAAAAUAUUCUAUGCUUUUACGACGCAUUAUUUAAAUAUUGAAUAUUUUGUUAAAAAUAUUUAAAAUUAUAUUUAAUUAACGAUUUAGUUUUGAUUUGGGGUAUUAAAAUAUUUUUAACAAUAUUUAACGCUUUUAUGGCGCGCCAAAUUUUAAUACUCGUCAAAAUUAAAUCUACUAUUUUAUUUAAGGAAAAACCUACUAUCAUAAAUUAAAAUUCAAAUUAUCAAAUUCGCGGGUAUUAAAUUUAUGCGGGCAUUACAAAUUUAAAUUUUAAUUUUGAAUACUACAUGUUGGCAGCAAAUAAAUUUAAUUUUACGUAUUACGUGAUUAGCGAAGGUAUUGCAUGAUUGGCGGGUAUUACGUUAGAUAAGAGAUAAAUUUAGUUUUACGUAUGGUGGGUAGAAAAAAAAAUAUAUGAGAAACGCGGCGUAGAUAGGAGAUAACGGAUAUAAAGGGUAUUUUUGUCAACAAAAAUGACAGAUAUUUUUAUUUUUAUUCGUUGGAUGAGAUCUAAUGGCGAAAACUUAAGAUUUAUAUUUAAGAAUAAAUUAUUAUUUAAAGAUUUAUUUAAAAUGAGUGGUUGAAAUUUACUGGACAUGACAAUAUUAGUAAAAAAGAUAGAGAUAUUUUUGGAAAGGAAAAAAUUUCAAAACUCACGCUUUUAUAAGUAGUAUAGAUAAGGAGGCAAAGUGUAUGUUUUUAAAUGACAGGGGAAAAGUGAAAAAUUGGGUCUUGACAGAAGGGUUUUCUGUAAUUUGGCCUUAAAAAUUUAUCAAAAUAUUAUUAUUUUUUUAUUGUAGGAUAAAAAUGAGACGACAAAUAAUAGUAGAAUACAAAUUAUACAUAUAUAAAAUAUAAAAAAAUUAAUUUAUCCCUUCAUUAUAUAUUUAUGGUUAAAAUUUUAAAUAUUAUUUAUAUGAUUUUGCACUUCUUAUUUUAUUGUCCUAUGAUUUAAAGUGUAUUCAUUUAAUACCCUGUAAUUUUAUUUUAUUUUAUUUUUUUAUUAUUCAUUCUAUUAUUUUUUUUCGUUAAAUUAAUAACAAAAUUAAAACUAAAAAAAUACUAAAAAGUAAAUAUUUAAUAACCCUAGAUAGAGUAUCUGAAAUUUUUUUUAUAUAAUAAUGAAGGAACUGAGGUAAAGAGAAAAAUAAAACUAUAGGAUACUAACUUGAUACAUUUUAAAUCACAGUAUACAAAAGUGAGAAAAUAUAAAACCACAGAAAUGAUAUUUGAAGUUUACUUAUUUUUUUUAAAGCAUAAUUAUCUAACUUUUGAAAGAAAAUAAUUUUUUAAAUAAUAAAUUUAAUAAUUUAAAUUUGGCCAAUUUGUAGAAAAAAUUCACAAGUUUUGAGCUUUUGCAAAACUAUGUCGACUUUUUCGAUUUUGCAAAUUCAGUCAAAAUUUUUAGUAAACUGACCAAAAUAUCAUUAUACCUUUUUCUCUCUCUUUUUUUUUUCUCGCGCUCUUUUUUUUUUUCAGUUGAAGAAGGCGACAGAGGCGAAGGCAAAAACGGUCCCCAUCGUCUCUGCACUUCACGCCCUCACCCUCACCCGUGCACCCCUCGCCCUACUCAACUCCAACCUCGCUGAGACCGUGUUGCGACCCUCUUUUUUUUUUCUUUCCGACCCUCCUCCACCGCCUCCACGGCCAUCUACAACGAUAACAAAAAUGGUAAUGCGUUCUCUUCCUCCGCCUUGCCCUCUACCUCCACUGUAGCGGAUUUUGCACCCACCAAACCCACUUCUGGGAACUUGCGUUCCCACCACCGCCACCGACGAUAAAGAGAAAGUAUUUCUCGGUGUCGAGAAGCUCGCCGGCGAGGGAGGGGGCACAUAGCCCACCCGCCUGAGAGGGUGGCAGCGAGCGCGGCCUUGACUGUAUCAGAGGCGAAAAGAGUGAGAAAUGCAUGGGAUCAUCUCUGUAUUAGCAAUUUUGUUUGUUUAAAACAAAAAAAAAAACUGAAAGACUAAAAAGUAGAGAAUAAUAAAGAAAACCAGAGAAAAAAAGAAGAAGAAGAUGAAUUUGCACUGUUAAGAUUAAAUUGCACUGUUUGAAAAGAACGUUGUACUAUUAUGGAUGUAAGUUGUACUAUUUUAAAUGUAAACUGCACCAUUUGAGAUAAAAAUUAUAUAUACUUUUUAAACGAAAUUUGCACUCUUUAAGAAAUAUUUACACUGUUCUUCUCUUGUUACACUCUUUGAUGUGUAAACCGUACUUUUUAAAAUAAAAGUUACACUCUUUAAACGAAAGUUGCACUCUUUAAGAGAUAUUUACACUAUUUCUCAUAUUAAAGGGUGCAGUUUACACAUCAAUACAUUAAUGGUGCGUUUGCGUUUGGUUUGAGUUAUCUUGGCAGGAUUACAAGCAAUCCUGCCAGGAUUAUUGUGUUUGGUUCAUCUGUUAUGUAAUAUAGUCGUUAAUGUAGCAUUACAAAUCGAGCAGGAUUAUACCGAAAAUAUUAACGAGAGGGCGGUCGUGUAUUUUGCAUUACUAAAAAUCGGCAAUAAUACAUAUUAUAUAAAAUGACAAAUUUAUCCUCCAACACCCCUAAAUCCAAUUAACAAUAUUGUUUUCAUCUCUCUCUCACGCCCUCCCCCUUCUCUCUCGCACGCCGCUCUCUCUCUCUCGCACGAACACCUAUCAUCUUCUGUUAUUGUAUGAUUUUUAAUUAUGUAUAAUGAUCUUUUUUUUAUUUAUUCUUUUAUGGGUUGAAAUUAAUUUUUUGCAACAUUAAUUUUUUUUCAUGUUUGAUCUUUUUAUUUUAUUACUUAUUAAUAUAAUUAAUUUACUAAUGCAAAUUAUAUUUUUAAAAAAUAUUAUUCAAAUGACCACAAUAAGAGCAAUUUUGGAAAAAACUAUAUUUUUAUGUCAGAAUUACUAAAUUUUAUAGACUGAACCAAACGUAGUAAUACUAUAAAUACUGCAAUCUAGUAUUACAUUACUGCAUUAAACCAAACGCGAUCAGCAACAUCAGUAGUAUCUCACACCGAAAUUUAAGAUACCUAGAUAUGUUGAGAUACUCUGUAAUAUUACAUAACUCGAACCAAACGCGCCAUAAAGGGGAAAUAGUUCAACAAGAGAAAAAAUAGUGUAAAUAUCUCCUCAUAAAGAGUACAACAAGAGUAGAAAUAGUGUAAAUAUCUCUCAAAGAGUAUAACUUUCGUUUAAAAAAUGUAACUUUCAUUUUAAAGGUGCAGUUUACAUCUCAAAGAGUGCAACAAGAGUAGAAACAGUGUAAAUAUCUCUAAAAGGGUGCAACUUUCAUUUAAAGAGUGUAAUUUUCAUCUUAACGGGUGCAGUUUACAUUUAAAAGAGUGCAACUUACAUCCAUAAUAGUGCAACGUUCUUUUAAAAUAAUGUAAUUUAAUUUUAAUAGUGCAAUUUCAUCUUGUUCUUCUUUCUUCUUUAGUUUUCUUUAUUAUUCUCUAAUUUUUGGAUUUUUAGUUUUUUUUUUUGUUUUAAACAAACUGUUAAUCCAGAGAUGCUCCCAUGCAUUCCUCGCCCUCCUGGCCUUCGACACUGUCAAGGCCGCGUUGGCCGCCGCUCUCUGGGGUAGGCGUAUGGGCCGCGUGCCCCCUCCUUCGCCGGCGAGUUUCUCUGUGUCGAGAAGUGCUUUCUCUUUAUCGUCGGCGGCAGCGGUGGGGACGCGGGUUCCGAAAAGUGAGUUUGGUGCUUGCAAAUCCGCUAUCGCCGAAGUGUAACUAUUUUUCUCCCUAUUCCUUGCCGGCGUGCUUCUCGGCCUCGAGAAACACUUCCUCUUUGUCGCCGGCGGCGGCAGUGGAGACGGUGGGUUUAUUUGGCGGGUAAAAAAUUCACUGUAGUGGAGAUGGAGGGCGAAGGCGGAGGAAAAUGACGCGUUACCGUACUCGUUAUCAUCGCAGAGGGCCGCGGAGGUGGUGGAGAAGGAUCGAAGAGAAAAAAAAAGAGGAUCGUAGCGCGGCUUCGGCGGAAUCGGAGGCGAGUAGGGCGAGGGGUGCGCUUGCGAGGGUGAGGGCGUGAGGUGCAGAGACAAUGGGGGCCGUUUCUGUCUUCGCCUCCGUCGCCUUCUUCGGUGAGAAAAAAAAAACGCGAGAAAAAAAAGUAAAGAGAAAAAUAUAUAAGGAUAUUUUCAUCAGUUUACUAAAAAUUUGGACUGAAUCUGUAAAAUCAAAAAAGACGGUUCAGUUUUGCAAAAGCUCAAAAUUUAUGAAUUUUUUAUACAAAUUAACCUUUGUAUUUUAUAAAUAUAUAUAUAUAUAUAUAUUAUUUAAUAUUUUUAUACAGCGCCAUAUAAAAUCAUCCAUCAAUUAUAAUACUUUACAUAGUUCCAAAGGGGCGCUUAGUAGCGAGUGGCAAAGGUGGCCCAGCCACUUCCAAAUUUCCAAUGCCGUGGCACAACACACUCAAAAAAAAAAAAAAAAAAACUUCGCUUUCACCCGCCUCGGUUCACACCAAACUGUGUCUAUAAAUUGAUCCAAACAACACACAAAAAAAAAAAAAAAAAAACUUCGCUUUCACCCGCCUCGGUUCACACCAAACUGUGUCUAUAAAUUGAUCCAAACAACACACACUAUGCGUACGCACAGCUUGAUCGAUCGAUCGAUCGAUCGAUUAGCCAUGGCGAAUUCUUUUCUUGCAUUCGCCACCACCCUACUACUUCUUCUAUCUGCUGCUGCUGCCGUCGCGUCAGGACAUCGGACCAGAUCCUGCCGCGUGAGCGGCCGCUUACACGGCAAGUCCGGCAAGUGCAACCGCGAAAACUACUCGGACUGCUGCGUGCCGGGCAAGCUCUACCCGCAGUACCGCUGCUCCCCUCCGGUCACCGCGCGGACCCCCGCGACCAUGACGCUGAACAGCUUCGCCAGGGGCGGGGACGGCGGGGGCCCGUCGGAGUGCGACAACAAGUACCACCCCGACCACGAGAUGGUGGUCGCGCUGUCGACCGGCUGGUUCGACCGCUCCAGCCGCUGCCUCAAGAACAUCCGCAUCGCCGCCGCCAACGGCCGCUCCGUGCUCGCGAAGGUCGUCGACGAGUGCGACUCCGUGCACGGCUGCGACGAGGAGCACGACUUCCAGCCGCCGUGCCCGAACAACGUCGUGGACGCCUCGCCGGCUGUGUGGAAGGCGCUCGGGAUCCCCAAGAAGGUCGGCGAGCAUCGCAUCACCUGGUCGGACGUUUGAUCUCCCAUUUGAAGUACAUCGAUCGACCGACGAUAAGAUUAAUAAUUGAAAAAUAAAAAAAAUGGGGAACGUUUACGUACGAGUUUAAUAUGCGCUAUGUGUAUGAGUGUGUCGCAUGGAUGCAAGAUCAACGUCUGUGUUGUCACGUAUGUGCAUGCCGCAAUUUAGUCUACCUUUCGAGGGCCAAAUUACAAUAAAAAGAAUAUUAAUUAAGUGAUAAAUUGGCGGUUAAUUAGAGUUUUUCUUUUUUUUUUUUUUUUGUUGCGCUGUUCAAAUUCUACAACUUAAAUUGAAUCAAUUGGUGAUCAAUUAUCAAAAAUUUAUAUGUUUAUUAAAAAAUUGAGCUUUUGUAUUUUUAAACGUACCAAGCGGCAUUCUAAAGUAGAUUAGCGCUCACUAAUAAAUUUGCUGCAGCAAUAUUAAAGUGGAAGAAAUAAAAAUUUUCAUUCAAAAUUUGAUUAAUUACAAACUUAUAAUCAAAUGACUUAAAUAGAAAAAGAAAAUUUAAGGUUUAGAAAAAUCCAGCUCAAAUACAUAUUCUCCCGCACAUUCACCGGACAUGUGCUCUUAAAAACUGGUUAGUAUGAACUCCACAAUAUAACUCACUACUUACAUAAAUUAAGCUACAAUAUAUUAUUUACGUGACUUAGUCAAUUUAGCCACUAUUAGCACUACUUGACCCACCGCUGGCAUAAUAAUAAAGACCACACUAAAAUUAUAAACAAAUUUGCAUCAUUUUCCAACAAAACUGGCUCUCUCUUUUUUUUUCAUAAGAAUAUGACUUUUUGGUGUUAUUUUAUCUAGUAAAAUAUUAUUUCAAUCAAUUAACUAUAUUCCUUUCCAACUCAUUGACUUAUCGCAAGAAGAGAUAUAUACACUUGAUCUAAAUUGUAAACAUUUUUUAAGUGAAGUAUAUAUGUUGAUUUAGUAAACUUGGAAAGGGUUUUGUGGUGCCCCUCAAUAGAAUCGACAGGAAUUAUUCACUGGAGAAUUUCUUGGACCAAUGAAGGCCCAGAUAUGAGAUUCAGCUUGUUGGUAUCCCACUUGCCAGUUUAGAGAAGUGUCUGAUACUUUGCUUUGUUAAUGCCACCUAACUCUUUUAUAUCAACACGUUACGGUCACCAUCAACAUCUAUUACAUCUAUUACAUAAUAUGAAUUCUCAAUACUUUUGCCACGUGGCACCCCCGCCCUCACCCUUCUACUCCCAUUCCCUUCUUUUCCCAUUAUUGCUAAUUGUCACAUCCAAUAAAUAAAUAAAUUUAUUAAUUUUUUAAUUAAAAUUAAUAAUCCUUCACUAUCUAUUUGGGGCAUUUAGGGGGUGUUUGGCCUAGCUUUUAAAAAGCGCUUUUGGGCUGAAAAGUGAUUUUCGGCUCAAUAGAGCGUUUGGUAAUUCACUUUUAAAAUCUGAUUCUGCUUUUUAGAAUCAGAAAACUGAUUUUGAAGGCCUCAGAAUCAGAAGCAGAAAAAAACUGCUUCUUGAAAACUGAUUCUGAUUUUGGAUUUAAACUUCAAAAUUUUAUUUUUAUUUUAGUUUUAAUAUUUAAAUUUAAAUUUAAUUUUAAAUUUUAAAUUUUAAUUUUCAGAUUCAUUUUAAAAUUUUUAAAUUUUAACUUUUAAAUUUUAAAAUUUGAAAUAUAGAUUUUAAAUUUUAAAUUUUAAUUUUAAAUUUCAAAUCUCAAAUUUUAGAUUUUAAAAUUUCACAAAUUUAUUUCAAAUUUCAAAUUUCGAAUUCAAAUUCAGAUUUUAAAAUUUCAUAUUUCAAAUUUCAAAUUUUAAAUUUCAAAUUUCAAAUUUAAAAUUUAAAAUUUAAAAUUUUAAAUUUAAAUUUCAAUUUUAAAUUUCAAAUUUUAAAUUUAAAUUUCAAAUUUGACAAUUUAGAUUUUAAAUUUAAAUGUAAAAAUUUAAAAUUUUUAAAUUUUAAAUUAUAAAUUUUAAUCUUCAAAUUAUAAAUUUCAAAUUUUAAAAUUAAAAAUUUAUAAAUUUUAAUCUUCAAAUUAUAAAUUUAAAAUUUUAUAAUUUAAAAUUUAAAUUUUAAGUUUAAAUUUUAAAUAUUCAAUUUUUAAUUUUUAAUUUUAAAUAUUCAAAUUUUAAAUUUUAUAUUUUAAAUUCAAAUUUUAUAUUUUUAUUUUAAAUUCAUAAUUAUUUUAAAUUUUAAAUUUUAAUUUUAAAUUUUAAAUUUAAAUUUAAAUUUUAAAGUUUAAAAUUAAAUAUAUUUUUAAAUUAAUAUGCUUCAAUAGCUUUCAAAAUUUUAAUUUUACAAACAGCUUUUAAAAUCACUUCAGAAAAAAUCACUUUAUCUAAACUCCGCCAACGCUCUAUAGCUUUUAAACAAAAUCACUUCUCCAAACCAAAAUCACUUUUUCAGAAAUCACUUUUUUCAGAAGCUAGGCCAAACAGGCCUUAUUUCCCUCAUUUUUACCUCUUACGUUACAUCCCUCCACUACCUAUAAUAAAUAAUUUACUAAUUUUUUAAUUAAAAUUAACAAUCCUCCACUACAUAUUUGAGACAUUCAUUUUCCUUCAUUUUUACCCUUACCGUUACAUCCCUCCACUACUUAUUUGAGGCAUUUAUUUUCUUUCAUUUUUAUGCCUAUAUAAUUAAUUAAAUGCCUACUUUCAAUGAAUGAUCCUUCAAUGUAAUUGACACUUCUUCUCAUAUCUUGGUGAUCCUUUUACUGUCUACAAUUAGUUAGUAUUUUGGGUUUCUUUUUAAGACUUCUAAAAUUGAGUUUUUAUUAUUGUUGUAGUAUGAUAGUUGUUUAUUAAUUUACUUCUUUGUUAUGUGAAAUAACAUAUCUUCUAUAUAUUGUUCUAUUUUUGUUUAUUGCUUCUGCUAAUUUAUAAAGGCAAAUUUGUGACUUUAUUAUUUCCAGCAUACCUAAAUUUGAAAUGUGUAGCUGUUAUAGUAUUGAGUUUAAUCUUUAAGUAGUCUGGUUUUUCAUUGUUAUAAAUUGAGAUCUCUAUAUAUUAGUUCAAAUAGAUUUACAAUAAUUACAAAUUAAUUCAAAUUCCGCUUAGUUAGAGUCUUUUCUUAUUUUUUGCGUCAGAUUUGUUUCAGUGAAAUUUCUUAUUUAAUAGGGACAACAGUUAAAUUAGAGUUUUUCUUUAUUUUUUGCAAUAGAGUCUUUCCUUACAACUGAAAAAUUAAAAAAUUUUGAAUUUCUUUAGUUAGUAUCUUUCCUUAAUUUUUGCAUUAAAAUUUCUUCAGUGGCAUUUUUUAUUUAGUAUGGAAAAUAAUUUACUCUUGAGUGAAAUAUGAGGUUUAUAUCGUCUGUCCUUAUAGACCAUAUACAUCAGAAAUAUCUUUCUUAGAAAAACUGUCCCAUAAAAAUUUUGCCAUAUAUUAUAUGAUUAAGUGUAUAGCAUAAAUGUUUGUUUAAAUUUUUUUGAGAUGUCAACAUUUUAUAUUUUUCCACUGAGAUGCUAUAUUAAAUAAGAUUUGAUCUUCACAUUUUUCAGUUUUUUUCACAAAUAAUUCAGAAUAUGAACUUCUCAAAUGAUUUUCAAGUUAGUGAUAUUUGGCUUGGUUUCUAAAUAGUUUCUCUAUUCAUAUAUAGAAAGAAGAACAACAUGUAUCAAAAGAUGUAUAGUCAAAUGAGAUAAUAAAUCAGUACAUAUUUUACUCUAUUAGUAUAUUAUUCAUUCUUUAUUCUGCUGUAGCUGAUAAUAUAAUUAGAUAUGUAAAACUUUAAUUGAUUAAUUUAUACAGUUAUAUUGUAAGUAGUAAGUAUAGAAAAAUAUUUGUUUUCUUAUUGUAGAGACACAAUAAUUUGUAACAGAAAAGACUAAGAAAAAUAAUACUCUAGAGCUUACUAAGGAAAAAAAGAAUAAAUAAAAACUAUAAUUUUACUACAACAAUAGCUACUCGCUACAACGUGCGAGUACCUGCACUAUCUUAAUUAAUUUGGCGUUUCAAAGAUUAAUUAGCAGAGGAUUUAGUUCUUGGAAAAAUACCAGAAAGAAAAGACGGAUAUAUCUAUAUAGGCAUAUAAAACUAAAUAAAUAUCAAUAUCCAGAAUCAUUAAUAUAUAGAAUAGAAGUUAACUUAUUAUGGAACACUAUAUAGAAGAAAUUUUUGAUCAAUUCGUGAAAUUCUUGAUUAAUCUGCGGAAGCGAGAACCCCAGUAACAAUAUGAAUGUUACCACCUUUUGUCUCAUACACUUUUCUAUAUAAUGCAUAUGAGAAUGUGCCUAAACCAAUAUCUCUUUAUAUAGAGUCUGGAUCGACUUUCCAUAAAAGUCUGAUUAAGAUUCUAGCUAAUUUAAAUAGAUGGGAAGGAGUUAUGAUAUACCAUAUCAAGCAAUUUUAUAUCUGCGAGCAUUGACAUUCUAUUUAUAGUAAAUUUGGAUUUGAAUAUAAUUAACUGUGCCAUAUUCAUGAAAAUCCUAACAAAGACUACAUAGUAAAUAAAAAAGCAUGGCUUCAAAUUUUGUAAAUCUCAGGUUGUUGUUUUCAAGUUAGGAAAAAACCUACAGAAGUUUUAUUAAGGGUAUUUUUUUGCAUUUAGUCCCUUAAUUAACAAUUUUUUUUUUACAAAUAGUCUUAUAAAAUUUAUAUUUGCAAAAUUAAUUGAUUCUGUCUUUGCUAUGUAAGCACCAUGCAAGCGCCAUAUUGGUAGUCAAGUUUAAGUUAAAUACGGCGAAUCAUUUACCAUAUUUAAACACAGUGAAUAGUUUUUCGUGUUGAAGCAUUAUGUAUAACUGCCCUUUCGCACGAUCUCUCUGGACUAAUUUUAUAAAUAUAAAUUUUAUGAAGCUAUUUGUUAAAAUAAAAAAUUUGUUAAGUACGUAGCUAAAGGCAAAAAAAACCUUUUUGUGAAGAUACAAAUUAAUUAAUAAUAGUUAUUAUAGAGAAUGACGAACAACUGUCAAAAAAUAAUAGGGAAUAAUAUAUAUUGUGAUAGAACUUACUGUAAAGUUUUUAAAUUUACAAAUUACAAAUAAACACUUGGUAUGACAAAAUUUUGUACGUUAUUUGGUUUAUAGCUGUGGUUUUAAAUUAGCUUAAACCAGUUCGGAAUAUUAGCGUCAAGUGCACAUAAACUAUAUAUAGUCAUGAUCCUUCUAAUCUAAUUUGUAACAUUCUAAUAAAACAAAAAAUAUAUAACAAUAAAUAACAAAAUAAUAGGACAAAUCAAAUCAAAUUAACUAAUAUGGAUAAAAACCUGUAUAACAUAAUUCUACUAUUAUGGAUUCAUAUAUACUUGUCUCCAAAAUAACGAGACGCAUAUUUGGUUCAGCUCAGUUAACCAGUACCAAAAAUUAGUUUUUCAAAAUCAAAUACAGGUGUGUUUUUUUUUUGGUUCAGUUAAUCAAUUUUUUGGCUCGAUUUUCGUUUAGCGCGGUUUAAUAUUUGAUUUUUUUUUUUUUUGAUGCAGAUUAACACCCCAAUUAAUGUAAAAAUAUAAGAGAAAUGCUACUAGGAGUAAAUUUUAUAUUUAACCCAUUCAAAAGUUUAGAAUUUUUUGGGGGGGAUUUUGAGUAUUAAAAGAAAUAAAAAUGUGAUAAGAUUAGAUUAGUGUGGAAAAAUAGUCCUUUGGAUCGAGAGAUGUAAAAGCUUCAAAUACCGGAUCCUAUAUUCUUUUUUCAAUCCCAAUUAACUCAAAUGUAAAUUAAUUUAAAAUAAUUAUUUUUCUCUAAAAAUUUAAGUUGUUAUAAGCUCCCAAAGUGUCAUGUGAUCACCAUUUGGACAAUCCCAAAUUUAAUUUUUAUGUAGCUUAAAGCCAACUUUCCAGUAAUGAUUGUUUAUAGUCAAAUUCAAAAAAUCUACGACAACUCAUUAAUUUAGGCUUCGUUUGAUUCGGGAUUAAAUAAGAACUGUUUAUUUCAGGAAUAUGUACAAAUUCACGUAUAAGCAAGAACUAUGCUAAUUUUACGUUUGUGUAAAAAUUAAAUUGUUUCCGAAAAUAAAAAUAUAGCGUUAGGAUAGUUAAAGCGGAAUAGUGAAAAUAAGAAUAAUUAUAGUUUUAAAAUAAUAAUAUUUUAUCUAAUUAAUUAACAUAAAAUAUUAAAUAAAAAUAUUUGAUAAAUUAGUAAAUUUAUUAGCUAUGAAUAUUGCAAUAAAUUAAUAAAUAUAAAUAUUAGUUAAUUAAUACAUUAAUUAAUUAAUUAUAAAAAAUAAGUUAGCUUCUUAAUUAGUUAGUAAAUUACUUUAGUAAGGUAAUUAGUUAAUAAGUUAUGUAAUUAAUUAAUAUAAAAUAUUAAUUAACUAAUUAAUUAAUUAAUAGUUAGAUAGUUAGUUAAUAAAAUAAUUAGAUUGGUCAAAUAUUAUUAGAUUAAUUAAAGAGCUAAUACAAUAAUUAAAAUUAUAUUUACUUUAAUUAGCUUAUUCUCAAGUUGGAACAAGCUUGUUCUUCAAAACGACCGGAACAAUUUCUAAUCUUAUACCAGCUUAUACCAACUUAUUCUUUGAAAUCGAGAACUGUUGUUCUCGAACUCUCCACAUAGUAUUUGGUUACAAGUGGGAGAAUAAGAAGCUAUUGGCCCACCUAUUUUUCAACCAAAUGCCCCAGUGUAAUGUAUUUUUUGACUUCACUUGAUCCAAAUUGGAUCUAAUUGGUCUUAUCAGAUCAAAUCGAGAACUCAAACUCAAUCCAUACAAAUAUAUAAUUUGAUGGUUUUUGAGAGCUUACGUGUCGGGCUCUUCUUAAUUUCACUCCUCUGUUAAGCCUCUCUCUUUCCUAACUAUAUCUUUACCUUUUCACCUCUUCAAGAAGCCUUUUCACAUUUUCAAGAUGUAAUAAUUCUUCUCACCUUUCUAAGAGGUCUUUUCAUCUUUCCAAAAAUAAUAAUUCUUCUCUCAUUCCCAAUGAGCCUUUUUACCUUCCCAAGAGACUUCUUUAUCUUCCCAAGAUGUAAUAAUUCUUAUCACUUUCCCAAGAGGCAUUUUCACCUUUCUAAAGGUAAUAUUUCUUCUCACCUUUCUAAGAAGCUUUUUUACCUUCCCAAAAGACUUCUUCACCUUCCCAAGAGAUAAUAAUUUUUCUCUUUGUAUAACUCUCUCUUAGGCAAUGACAUUCUACAUCUUCUUAUAAACAAUAAUCCUAUACCACACAGAAUAAUUACUGAGCUUUUAGAGUUUGGAGAAAGCUAUUUCAAAAGCUUUGCUCAAGUUCUCUUCCUCCUUCUCCUUAGGUUAGCUGUCAUGUUCCUUCCAGCUCUGAUCGAUUCAAAGUGUUGGUCAUGGCUGGCCCAAUCUACAACCACAGCACUGCAAUCCUGUCCUACGAUCAAUUUAUUUUUAUUUAAAUUAAUAUCCUUCCACAUAUUUCACUUAGUUUUUUUUUUUCCAGUUCAUGGCAAAAUGUCCAACAAAAAUGCUUCAGAAUAUUAUCUUUUUUUUUAAUCUAUAUUUUUGAUUCAAACAGUUAAUUAUUUUCUAAAUGUAUAAAUAUCUAAUUGUUAGUAUAUUUAUUUUAUAUUGAUUUGUAUAAAAAAAAAAUUUAUAGAGAAUAAGAGUUGAACUACCUCAUACUUACCUUUGCAUUUAUUAUCGAAAUGUUGAUGAAAUGCGGAUUUUUAUUUGACUUGAGAGAUCCUUUCCGCUAUAAUAUUUAACUAUCAUUUAUUUAACUACCAUGUAAUUGAUUACUAAUGUGUAGUUUAUGCAAAAUUUUCAAUAAAAUAUAAUGUGAGAUCCCUGGUGUUCAGCUGUAGAGGCUUGUCGGCAGCUCUGGAGAGUGUCGGGACAAGUUCGAGUCGCGUUGGCGUCAAAUAGACGUAAAACGGACUCCGUGCGACGCGAGGGCAGCUUAUAGCGAAGAAAUUUGCAAAACUGCAGGUUUCUCUGCUUGCUGUACCGGUACAACCAGCGUGGCUGUACCGGUACAACCAUCGCGCAGAGGCUUAACAGCUCUCGGGUUGGCUCUUGUAUCGGUACAAGAGCCCGUGUACCGGUACUAGGAGGUAGGUAGAGGGCUAAUUUAGUAAUUCUCUCCCUCGUUUGUAUCACCACUCCACCUACUUCUUUAUAUAGGCAUAGAGAGCUUGAGAGGGAGUUCUAUUGCUGCUCCUUCUUCCCCUCUCCCUCUCUAGCUUGGUUCGACCGUGGAGGAGUUCGGUUGGAGCUCGGAUUCGACACCGACGUCGCGCCGCGAAACCGUUCGGGGAUACGGUUGGGAUCGUAGCGCUGCGAGGAAGCUAGGCGAGGGUGCGUUUUCGCCGUUCUCGACGCCGUGUCGCUGACCGAUUAGCCGUUGAGGUGAGCGUUCCGUUGCGUUGCUUCAAGUAUUGACAUUUCGAGCUAGGUGCUGUUUGCUGAUUCCUAUCGUCGACCGUUAGUAUUUCAGCUCGUUCUCGAUGUAGGAGCAUCGGAUUGCGACGAGACUUGGUGCGUUGGAUUCGGGACUCCGAGAGAAAUCCACGAAGCCCUUACUUGCGAAUUUUGGUGAAGGUUAGCUUGGUCGAAAUCCUUCUCUUCUCUACUGCUGUGGAUUUUGGACUGAAUUGAGGAAUUUUGAUGUUUUUAGUUGAAGUUAGCUCGAUUUCGAGGCUCGGGUGUUUUUGGUCGAUCCAGCAGGUGGUGUCGCAGCCGAGGGGGUUCAGUGCUGCCAGGGAUUAGCGUGCGAGGUGGGUUACAUCGGUUUUGACUCCUAAGCUCAUAAUCGUCAACAUGUAUAGAUCUCGAUUUUGAUAAUUUAGUCUAGCUCGAAUUCAUGGAUUAUAUGAUAGAAUGCAAAUCUGAAUUUGGAGCAUGUGGUAAUAAAUUAAGUAGAUUAUAUAUGUUGGACUUGGAAACUGAAUUAGGAGAAAACCUGCGAUUUGGACCUGUCACUUGAUUAAACUGUCUGAUUUAGCUCUAGGAGCUGUUAUUAAAUUGUACUGUCGCAAUAUCUUCGAGACGAGUACUCCAGAUAGUUUAGAAUAUAUCUACACUCGUGCUGGUUCGCCGAGAGGAUUUUACAGGGUCGUUCAGGCUGUUCCGGACUGUAGGGUGCCGCUGAGGUUGACGGUGGACCCGUAUCGCCUUUUUGGCGUCUGAUUGUGCCGAGGGCACGUUACUUGUUGGUUGUUAGACCAGUUAGAGUCGAUUUCUUGACUUUGGCUUUUCAGAGCCUGUUUGAGCUCGACAGAGAUACGCUGCAUACUUGGUUGGGUAGCGCCCACGAGUGCCACUCCGGAGUCAGGCUUUGUGCUUUCGCGUUGGUGUCGCUCAUGCCAGUUGGACAUGCUCUCCACGGACCAGUUAGUGUGGAUAGAGCUUGAUAGUCGCAACGGGGCAGGGACGGGUGUAUUCACAGUCCCGGGAACGGGUAUGCUUACAGUCCCGAGUUGAUUGGGUCAGAGUUGACAUUUCCUACAGUUGGUUAGUGUAAAGCAUGAUAGUGUAGUGAUCGAUAGCGGUAGAGUUUAUUUCCUGCUUUUCUGACUACUCUUGCUCCCUUCUGUAGACUUAGUGGGUGGACCGAUGUUGUUUUGGGCGGUACCCACUGAGGACUACUUGCUUUUGCAGUAGUUCUCACGCCCAGUUGUUACCUAUGUUUUUGCAGAGCCACAGGUUCCGGCUGCUGCACGGUCCGCGGACCAGGGUCGAGGUAAGGGCGUCGCGGGUUAGAGCCCUACCCGACGUGCUGAGCUAGAGGUGCCCCUACUACAGGUAGAUGUUUUGUUUCGAGUCUAUGUACAUAGUUGACUUAACUCGCCAGUGCGAGUAGCUCAGUAUUUUGGAUUUGAACUAUGUAUAUGAAACUCUGUUUGUUUAGCUUCUGUUUUCUCUAGCAGCUCUCUACUGCUGUUCGUAGUAGUGUUUGAUUUACAGGUAUAGCUGUCGCUUCGUAUACAGGAAAAAAUUUUUUGUAUACUGCGGAUUUGUCGGCGUGCCCGGGGAACGUGUAAUCCGGGGCGUGACAAUAUAGUUAUUUAAUUUUAUGGCGAAUUUUUUUUUAGUGUAAACUUUUAAUAUUGAAUUGAUAAAUGUUAUGAUAUUGAAAAGAACAAUAUUAAUAUUUUUUCUAAAUGGAACAUGCGUUAAAUUUUUAAUUUUUAAUUUUUAAUAAUUAUAUAUUUUAAUUUUUAUUAUCAUUUUAAAAUAUAUAUUAAAAUAUUUCGUAAUCAUUUAAGGUAAAAAUUACAUAUUGUCAUUCCAUAUUUUUUUUCUCUUCUUUUCCUCCUUUUUCGUAAUUAUAUAUAAUAAUUCACAUCAAAAUAUUAGCGUCAAAACUGGUUUAAAGUUUAUAUUAGAAUAUUAGCAUCAAAAUUGACCGCAACAAAGCGCGGUUGAACACUAGUUUGUGUUAAUACUACACUACCAACACUACUUAAAAAGAGUUACUGAUGUACAGUUAAAACUAAUUAUAUAGAGGUGAGGAUAUUUGAUAGAUGACUCCUAUAAGUUUUUUGAGAAGCAUUGAUAUUCAGUUUCCUUCUAAUAUCUAAAUUUUGUUCAAAACUAAUAGUAGUUGGAAAAUUAAUUAACUCUAUAGGAACAAAAUAUUUGCCUUUUCUACUGUGGAAAUAGGCAGCAGAAAGCUUCCCCCAUAUGAAUAGCUUUCAAAGCACAAUGUGUAGAGAUCUUCCCCUAUAUCAAUAGCUUUCAAAAGCACAAUGUGUUUCAUGUCUGUCCUGUGAUAACGUUUUGUAUAUAGUGUUCAUAAUUGUUGUGUGCACAAAAUAACACAAAAUGUGUGACUAAACCGCCAAGGACAAAAACUUGUUCUAGCCCUUUUUUUUAAUUAUUUUUAUAAAUUUUAAAUUAUUGUCCAAUUACAUUGACUGAGUUAAAACUUGACCCAAAUCAAUACAUUGGGUCCAUUCCAGUCCAAGUAAUUGCUUGCAAAUCAAUUUGAGACAUUAUAUCCUGUUCAAACAAAGUUAAUCCAACCACACUCAAAUACCAUGCAUAUUUCACAUGAGCUGUUUCUCCAACCCACUGUAAAGUUCAGAACAACAGUCAAAAAAAAAGAAAAAAAGAAAAAUUAUUGUGAUAGAACUCACUGUAAAGUUCAGAACCGAUAGUGAAUUUACAAAUUACAAAUAAACACUUGGUAUGACAAAAUUUUGUUCAUUAUUCGGUUUAUAGUUUGUGGUUUUAAAUUAGUUUAAAUCAGUUCAAAAUAUUAGUUAACUAGUUUUAGCGUCAAGUGCACGUAAACUAUAGUAAUGAUCCUUUUAAUCUAAUUUAUAACAUUCUAAUAAAAAGUUAUAUAUAUAUAAUAACAAUAAAUAACGAAAUAAUAAGACAAAUCAAAUCAUACUAUCUAAUAUGGAUUAAAACAUGUACAACAUAAUUCUAUUAUUAGAUGGAUCAUAUUUGACUCCAGAAUAUAAUUCUAUUAUAAAUGGAUCAUAUUUGACUCCAGAAUAAGGGCCUGAUUGGCGUAACUUUUAGAAAAGUGAUUUUUUCAGAAGUGAUUUUAGUUUUGAGAAUUGAUUUUGGUGAAAAGCUAUAGACUGUUUGGCUGACUUUAGAUAAAAGUGAUUUUUUUGAAGUGAUUUUCUAAAACUGUUUGGCAAAAAUUUUUUGAAGCUUACAUAUAUUAAUAUUUUUACUAAAAUUCAUUUUAAAAUAAUUUAAAUUUAAAUUUGAAUUUAAAUUAAAAUUUUAAAUUUGAAUUAAAGUACAAUUUUUAAAUUUCAAAUUUGUAAAAAAAUAAAUUUGAAAUUUUUCAAAAUUUUUUUAAAUUUAAAAAUUGAAUUUUUAAAUCUAAAUUUAAAUAUUUAAUUUUCCAAUCUAAAAUUAAAUUUUGAAUUUGAAAUUUAAAAUUUAAAAUUUGAAUUUCAAAUUUUAAAUUUAAAUUUUGAAUUUCAAAUUUCAAAUAUUAAUUUAAAAUUUAAAAUUUAAUAUUUGGAAUUUGAAUUUCAAAUUUCAAAAUUUAAAAUUUAAUUUCAAAACUCAAAUUUAAAAUUUAAAAUUUGAAAUUCAAAAUUUAAAAUUAAAUUUUGAAUUUUGAAUUUUAAAAUUUAAAUGUAAAAUUAAAAAUUUAAAUAUCAAAUUUCAAAUUUUAAAAUUUGAAAUUUAAAAUUAUAAGUUUGUAAUUUGAAAAUUAAAACUUGUAAUUUUAAAUUUUAAAUUUUCAAAAUUUUAAAUUUAAGUUUUUAAAAUCUGAAAUGUCAAAAUUUAAAUUUUAUCUUAAAUUUAAAAUUUUAAAAUUUUAAAAUUUUAAAUUUUAAAAUUUGAGAUUUGAAACUUAAAUUGAAAAUUUAAAAUCUAAAUUUUAAAUUUUAAAUUUGAAAAGUUGAGGUUUAAAAAAUCAAAUAUGAAUUUAAAAUUUUAAAAUUUAAAUUUAAUAUUAAAUUUAUACUUUGAAUCUAAAAUAAAAAUAAAAAUUUGAAGUUUCAGUCAAAAAUCAGAAUCAGUUUUGGAGAAGCAGUUUUUUUGUACUUCUGAUUCUGGAGCCUUCAAAAUCAAUUUUUCUGAUUCUGUAAUACAGAAUCAAAAUUUUCAUCUGUCGUUCCCAAACGCUAUACUGAGCUCAAAAGUGAUUUUGGGCUUAAAAUUACUUCUGAGAAGCCUGGCCAAACACCCCCGCUCAAUUAGCUGGUUUUUUUUUUUUUUUUUUUUUUUUGGUAGGUCAAAACUGUUACUGUACCAAAAAAGUGUUUUUCAACAUCAAUGAAAGGCCUCACCUACCUUUAUCGUGGUGUCAACUGGCUGGGGUUAUUCACACUUUUCGAAGAGCCAAGGCCCGAUUGGAGGAGAGACUGGGCCCAUUAAUGGUUAUUUAUAUUUUUUUAAGAUCCAAGGUCCGGUUGGAGGAGAGAUUAGGCCCGUUAAUGAUUCUCAGGGAGGGCCCGUCAGCCGCAUGAUGACAACUCCCUUUGGCCCGGGGCAUGUUUGGAAGGUCCUUGCACGCAUUGAAGGAGGGUGUCAACCUGGCCCACUCUGUUGGGUGCCCAGUGCUGGUUCGCUGCGGGGGCCCACCGACCUGAACCCAUGCUGUGCUUGCAGAUCGGGCCCCCUCGGAUCUGACCAGUAUUGGGGUCCCCAUGUUCACGGCCCGAUUGAAGGAGGCGAAGAUCCAGGGCCCGACGCGACGUGGGCUGAUGCUAACACCGAGAGGGGUUCGGGAGAAACCACUCUGGGGCCCUUCUUUUGCAUCAAUUCAGCCAACGAAGGCCCUGGCGGACCUCUUCGUUGUGCAGGCCAUCCUCGGGUUUCCAACCGUCUCCUCGCGGACGGCGUGGAGCGCAUCGCGAUGAACCCCGGCGGACCUUUUCGUUGUGCUGGUCAUCCUGGGGUUUUCAACCAUCUCCUCGUGGACGACGUCGAGCUCAACGCGAUGACCCUAGGACCCACUCACCAAGGCUCGCUCAACGGCUCAGGCCCCCAUGAACCGUAUCUGCACUCGGGACUCCCAGAGGGCCUCAUGGGUCCAGAUUUGUUUGUUGAAGGUGACGGCUGGGGGCCAGAGUCUCCAUUGGCCGGUGCACCUCUCGGAUCAGCUUCGAACGCCAUACACAGUGGCCCCGGGAACAUCCCAACCGUGGUCGGGGAAGCAGUGUUAUCCCCGUGCGAGUUGAGGGGGCCGACUAGAUUAAGUGCGCGCCUGCUGUCGUCGACAAAGGUCUCGGUGCUUGAGCGGGCGAAGCGCAGGAAAGCAACCCUCUUGGAAGGACAGGUAUCUAGUUCGACGACCCUUGCUCGUAAAUGGGAUAGCAAUAAGGUCAGGUCGAAAAGCGCUCGUUGUGGGGUGAAGCUCACGGCUACUGAUGCCGAAGAACUUCACAAGUUCAUGUUGCGUGGAUGAUCGGUUGUCCGACUGGUGUCGAGUUAAUGUCGGCUUUUGUGUGUGUCGAUUUAGCUCAUGUUUAAGAUAUUUACUUGGAAUGUUAGGGGUCUGAACGACCCGGUCAAGCGUCGUGGGGUCAAGUCUGUUGUUUCUAAACUUUUUGGUUCGAUCGUAUGUAUCCAAGAAUCGAAAGUAGACUCUGUUUCUCGUUCUUUCCUACGAUCGUGUUGCGGUUCAAGUUUCGACAGAUGCCACUUCAUUCCUGCUAUUGGGGCUUCUGGUGGUUUAAUUACCUGUUGGAACUCCAAAAGUUUCUUAUGUAUGGAAGCCAUUUUUCGUGAAUACUCGCUCACCCUAAAUAUGAAGCAUUCAGACAGCGGAAAGUGUUUUUACCUUACAAAUGUUUACGGGCCACCGACAUGGGACGGAAAAGAAGAGUUCUGUUCGGAAAUCCUCUCUCUGAGCGAGAUGUGUUCUAACAACUGGGUCAUUUGCGGGGAUUUCAAUCUAACUAGGAAUCAAGCUGAACGAGCUGAAAAUCCGUGGAGUUCUAGAGCGAUGUCAAUGUUCGUAGACCUAAUCUCGAACCUCGAAGUUAUUGACCUGCCUAUCUCCAACCAAAAUUUCACCUGGUCAAAUAUGCAGCGUACACCGACCCAGGCCAAAUUAGAUAGAUUUCUGGUAUCAACGGAAUGGGAUCAAAACUACCCGCACUGCAAGGUCUCUGCGUUGCCAAGGAUUACAUCGGAUCAUACCCCAUUAGUUCUUUCUACUGGGAUCCGUCCCACUCCGAGGAGAUUUCGGUUCGAGAGGGUCUGGCUCACUAAAGAGGAUUUCUCUAACAAAGUACCAAUUUGGUGGAAUGAGGUCAAUAAUAAGAAUUCGGCUAUCCUCACUUUGACGGCAAAACUGAGACACUGUAGAGUCAGGAUGAAGGAAUGGUGUAAGACGAAUUUCUAUAGUAUAGCCAACGCAAUAAAGUGUAUUCAGGAGGAAAUCCAAAGGAUUGAUAUUCAAGAGGAACGAAGCAUCCUAUCGCAGGAAAUACGAGAUAAACGGAUAGACCUCAAAUCUCAACUGCAGCUCAUACUCAAAGAGGAAGAAAUUCUUUGGAAAACGAGAGCGAAACAACACUGGCUGAAAGAAGGUGACAGAAAUACGAAAUUUUUCCACGCAGUGGCAAAUGGACGGAAGCGGAGUAAUAUGAUAGAGUUUAUUGAAGACGAUUCAGGUAGACAAAUCUUCAACGACAUUCAAAAGAGAUCAUAUUUUUUUCAGUCCUACAAACGACAGUUUGGAAGGGAGAAUGAAGGUCCUCCAUCAAGGGGGGAUUGGGGCGAUCUAUUUCGGCCGGACGUCUUAUCAGACCCGGAUGCCCUUACUGGUCCGUUUACAAUAGAAGAGGUUAAGAAAGCCACCUUCCAACUGGGAGGUGAUAAGGCACCUGGACCUGAUGGAUUUCCUAUGAUCUUUUUCCAACAGUUCUGGGAGACGGUUAAGGAGAGCAUUUUUAAUAUAUUCACAGACCUUUACAAUAACGCGCUCCAAACGGCCCCGUCAGAUUAUACAUACAUUUGUCUCAUUCCAAAAAAAGAAGAAGCGCGUAAAGUUAACGACUUCCGGCCAAUUUGUCUCAUUAAUGGAAUACAAAAGAUCAUAUCUAAAGUGCUGGUGAACAGACUUGCAUCCAUUUUGCCGACGAUAAUAUCUCCAUCGCAAUCGGCCUUUCUGAAAGGCCGUCUUCUAGCUGACUCUUUCGUUACUGCAAGUGAACUCCUCAAUUGGUGCGUAAAAGUCGGUAAAGAGUGUGUAAGCAUUAAGGUUGACUUCGAGAAAGCUUACGACAAUGUGAGCUGGAACUUCCUACAUAAUGUUUUCAGAUGGCUGGGUUUUAGUGAGAAGUGGUGGAACUGGAUUGAACAGUGUAUAUGUAACACAAAAGUCGCCGUAUUGGUAAACGGAUCGCCGACGACGUGGAUAAAAACAAGAAAGGGGCUCAGGCAGGGAGACCCACUUUCCCCCUACCUAUUCAUCUUGGUGGCUGACUGCCUUGCCAGGAUAACGGAAGCAGCAAGGAACAAUAACUUGAUUCAGGGGAUUGGCCCAACCACAAACUGUCAGGCAGUACUUCUUCAGUAUGCGGAUGACACUUUAUUCUUCUCAGAGCCUAAGAAGUCUGCAAUGCGAAAUAUGCUGUUCCUCUGGAAGAUGUUUGAAUGGGCUUCAGGACUUAAGAUAAAUACGAAUAAAACGGAAUUACUCUACUUGGGCCCUAACGUAGGUAGAGCUAACAGACUUGCUGAUAUUUUGGGUUGUAAAGUGGGUAGGCUUCCAUUUCGAUACCUUGGGUUGACACUCCACACCAGAGCACUGCGGAAGGAAGAUUGGGCUCCGAUUGUGAACCAUAUUGAGGCAUGCAUUGAAGGUUGGAAGGCAAAACUACUCUCUCAGGGGGGUAGACUUACUCUGGUAAACUCGGUGCUGUCGAAUAUACCGUUAUUCUACUUUGCAAUAUUCAAGGCGCCGCAAUGGGUUCUGAACCGUAUAGAAGCCUUGAGAAGAUCCUUCUUCUGGAAAGGAUGGCCCAAAAUUUCAGGGGGUUCAUGUCUAGUCGGAUGGAAAUCGAUAUGUAAAAGCAAAAAGGAAGGGGGAUUGGGGAUCAAGGAGAUGGAAGCAAUGAAUACGGCUCUAUUAACCAAAUGGUGGUGGCGUUUCUUCAAAGAGCCGCAGCUGCUUUGGGGGAGGUUGAUUAAAUCGUUAUACUAUACUAGAAGACGGCCGUUACACGAGGGAAGAGCCUUCAGACCAUAUUCCCAGUGGUGGAGAAGUGUGAUGAGAUGUCGAGAGGUAUUCAAAUGUGGCGUUUCGUAUGUGCUCGGUGACGGGAAAAACAUCAAACUGUGGUCAGAUAUUUGGAUUGAAGAAACCCCACUGAGUACUCAGUUCCCUGAACUCCAUUCCAAUAUUGUCAAUAAGGAGCUCACAAUUUCACAAAGCUGGAAUGAAAAAGGGUGGAGAUGGCGAUUGAUAACCAGAAGCCUCGAUAUAAAUACCGCUAGGGACAAUCGCCACCAAAUGAUGUUGUUCAAAAACCUACUCCCUCGAUAUUGUCCAUCGGACACACCAGACACAAUCAAAUGGAGAUGGACUGCGAAUCAAAUGUUUACGGUUAAAUCCCUUUACGAUUUCAUCACCGAUGCAGGUCAGAGAGACUCUAUGUACGUCCACCUCUGGAAGCUCAAGAUUCCGGACAAAAUCAGAAUAUUCAUUUGGAUCCUCCUUCGUAAGAGAUUGCUUACCGCGGACAGAUUAAUCCGACAAGGCCGCAAUGUCGAACAGUAUUGUAACUUUUGUGCACUAUUAGCUGAAACAUGUGAUCACCUAUUUCGGGAUUGUGUUUUCGUCAGAUACCUUUUAUUCAGUACGGGAUUGGCAGAUAUAAGCGAUUCGGAAUCAGGGGAUGUCCGCCGGCUUUGGUCAGAGAUAGGGUACAUCCGCAAUGCCGUGCUGCGAGAGAAAAAUCUAAUCCGUUUGGUGGCAAUCUGGUGGGUGGUCUGGACGGAGCGAAACAACAUUAUCUUUCGGGACGUGAGUCCCAACGCUACCAAGGCGCUCGAACGAGUCAACUCCUUGAAUAGAGACUGGACUAGAGACUGGACUGAGAUUCCUUGAAUAGAGACUGAACGCUUUUUUUUUUUUUUUUUUUUUUUUUUUUUUUCAGUUUAUCGGUCUUUCUUGUAUCCAUUCGGACCUUUUAGGAGACCCUAGCUGUCUCCAACUUGUACGCUUAGUUCAUUUCACUUAAUGAAUGAAGCAGGUAGCUUGCUACCUUAUUCUCAAAAAAAAAAAAAAAAAAAAAAAGAUUUGCAUUUAUGGAUCAUGGAACCUUGAUUCCCUAUUUUAAGCAAAAGCAAAGAUGGUGGCUAAUAACAGCAUGGAACUUUAUUCUAUUAUUAUUCUUUUACUUUUGAGCUUAUAACUAAAUUAUUUAUGAACAUAACUUUUGGCCUAACUACAAAAAGGAUCACUGUUUAUAAUUAAUCUUCUCAUUAUGAGAAAAUCAAAUUAACUAAACAACAAUAAUAUGCUCAUAAAAGAACAUAAAGUAGAUGAAAGAGAAUAUAUAGGAGAGAAAUUAAAGAAAAGCCAAAUGAAUUAAUUACCUGAAAUUUUUUUAAAAGUUAUCUGGUUUAUAAUACACAUUAUGAUUUAGAAUUGCAAUUGGGUCCAUGCUAUUGCCAACCAUAUACAUGUCAACCAAAGCCCUGCAUGAAAUAGAUUAUAAAAAAAUCAUUUAUUAGCUACAAUUUAUGAUAGAAUUUUGGUAAAAAUGUAUGAAGACCCAUCAACUUUAUGCCGUUCUGAAAUGGCCCCUUGAACUAUGAUUUUCUGAUUGAACCCCCUCUCAACUUUUGAUUUUUUUUUACCAAGUUAAUUAACAAGAACUGUGAUUUUUUUAUUGAGACCCCCUCAAUAGAAUCGAGUGAUUUUAGCUAAAUAAAUUAAAAAUUUACGAAAGUGAUCGCUAAUUUUAUCAAAUUUAAUAGUUUAAACUAAUUUGUAGCGAAUAAAACUAGAUUAUAUAAUGCUUAUAACUAAUUCAGUCAUGAAAUUCAACAAAAAUGUUUAACUAAAUUGACUAUAGAAGCUCAAACUAAAAUGACCCAGAAAUUAAAGUGUCAAUCAAAACAAUUAAACUUGGAAGCUGUAUUUCAGAUUGCCAUAUAGUUGAGGGGUCUCCAAACAUUUCCACUGAGAAUUUAAUAAAAUAAAAUGCUGAAAAGCCAUUUUAAGGCUAUUAGUAUUUAACCCAAUUUUGUCAGAUUCUGAGUCUGGAAAGUUCUGAAAAUAAAAUAAAAAAUAUCUUAAAAAAUAUUAAAAAGGCCAAAAUGGUUUUAAGUGUGUGUGUGUAUAUAUAUAUAUAUAUAUAUAGAGAGAGAGAGAGAGAGAGAGAGAGAGAGAGAGAGAGCGCUAGGCUGCUAUAGUAUCGAUAGUACGGACGCUUCCGUGCUACCAAAUUGUUUUCAAUGAUGCCGCUUCCAAAUCGACGAUCGGCUUCGUUAGACUUGAUCUACACUAUUGAAAGUAUUUGGAAACUAAAUUUCAUAAUUUUUCGGUAUCAUUUACCUAUCAAACGAGUAGUCUAAAAAUGAACGGCUGAAAAUAAAAAUUUCAUAAAAAUGAUGAUAAAAGACUUGAAUUUAAGAUUAGAGCUACUGAUCUUACUCUAAAUAGUAAAAAAAAAUUUCUAUAAAAAUUUCAUCUGAUUUGGAUUGUUUUACACCGUUAAAUUUACAAAUGCAUCACAUCUACCAUUAAAAUUGUCAAUUUUGAGAUCUUUUGAUCACUAGCCAAAUAAUGUCGAAAAAUUUUGAGAUUUAGUUUCCAAAUACUUUCAAUAAUGUAGAUCAAGUCUAACGGAGCCGAUCAUUGAUUUGGAAGCCACAUCAUGAAAAACAACUUAAUAGCACGGAAGGCUCAAUUUGAAGUCCAGCUCAAAGGAAGGCUCAAUUUGAAGUGAUCAAGAAUUAGCAAAUAAGAGCUAAUAUAGAGAAAUAUGCCACGAGUUAUACACAUAUAAUAGAUUAGAAAUUUGACAUGGCUCAAAAGUUUAGAGUCCCAAAAAAAAAUAUUGGAAAAUUCAGUUAAUAAAAUAAAAUUAGAAUGAACUAAUUAAGAGCAUAUAAAAGUACAAAAUUAAUUCUCAGACGCAAUUAUUCAGAUUUUUAUUAAAUUAAGUACGAAUGUGAAAUUGGUAGGUAAAACAUGAUAUGAAAUGGUGAUUUAACCCAUGUGAAAUGUGACACCACCUUACAGUCGGUUGGGGAUUAAGAAUUUAUGACUUCAGUACAAGAAAUAUUUAUUAGUAAUUAAGUAUUGAUAACUAAUUUAUGUAACUAUUCUGGAUAAUCAAAUAUUUGCGAACUAUUUGUGAAUUUUAAUUUUUGUUAAAAAAAAAUUGAAAAAAUUUUGUUACUAUAGUAUAUCUUGAAUAUAAAAUAUAAAAAUACUAUUAUUUAAUAACAGCAUAAAUUAUUAAAAUAUAAUAAUUAUUUUACAUAAUUUAAUGUAAUAUCGGAGUAGAAAGUUCUGAAUUAGUAAGCUCUUACCGAGCGGCAAAAUACGGCGGCGAGCGCCACCGCUGCUCCACGAGGCGGCGGAGGCGGCGAAGUAGCAAUUCGUGGACGAGUUCAUGCCGUUGCCGCAGCUGCAGGCGAACGAGUUGUACACCGCGGCGGUGGCGGUGGCGGUGGCGGUGGCGGCGGUGGCGUAGCCGCACAUGCCGCCGCUCUUCUCGCAGUCGGCGCAGGCGCUGGGGAAGCCGUCGUCGGCGCUGAACCUGUACUUGAGCGCGAUCCCGAAGUCCCACUCGUCCGGCCUCGUCUCGGCGCCGUUGAAGCCGCGCACGGCCGCGUAGGACGCGCAGCGGAGCUGGGUCAGGUCGACGUCGAACGCGGGGCCGAGGCUCGCGGGCGCGUAGACGCAGCAGGUGGACACGGGGGCGCCGAGCGCGGCGACGGCGGGGCACGUGUAGAGGAGCCCGCAUAUGGAGGAGGAGGAGGAGGUGUCGCAGAGGGUGGCGUUGAGGGUGGGGGUAGGGAAGCAGUCGAGGAGGGCGAAGACGUUGCGGGCGUCGGCGAAGGCGAAGGGGGCGUCCCAGUCGAGGGAGAAGCCGCGGGAGGGGUUGGUAGCGGAGCAGGUGGACAUGGAGGGGUCGGAGACGUAGAGGAUUUGGUUGGCGUAGUCGACGGCGUCGACGGGGUAGGAGCCGGAGCGGGUGGUGAAGGUGAGCUGGUCCUGGUGGCCGCCGCCGGCGCAGGCGACGUGGGGGUGGAAGAGGGGGCUGCCGCAGCCGGGGCCGGUGCCGAAGGGGUAGUGGAUCGGGAUGGCGCCGCAGGAGGGCUUGCACGCGUAGUCGGCGGACGAAGAGGAGGCGGCGCCGAGCAGGACAAGGAGGAGGAAUUUGGUGAGAGAGGGUGGAGCCAUGGCAGUGUUUCUUUUUUGCAUGGGGGGGUGACAAGAGGGAUAUAUAUGCAUUAUGAAGGGGAAGGGGAAGGGGAAGGGGAGAGGGGAGUAUGUUAUAUGUAUGCGCUUGUGUAAUAGUUUGAUGUGCAUUUGUUUGCUAUUUUUCUCUACGUGCUAAAAUACAGAAACUUUUAUAGAAAAACUUCAAAAUAUUACUCUUGUAGUUUAGCAUUUCUCCGCUUUACUAUUUUGUGAUUUAAAGUGUGUCAUUUUAGUACUUGUGAUUUUAUUUUUUUCUUUCCAUCAACACAUUAACUCUUUAUUAAAAUAUAUAUAAAAAACUUCAGAAAUGCUUACCAAAUAUUAACUUUAAUACUUUGUGAUUUACGAAAUUUUUACUUUACUAUCUUAUAAUUUUAACUUUCUCACUAAUUUAAAAAAAAAAAAUUAACAGAGUGGAUAAAAACAAAACAACAUAAUACUAAUUAAAAUAAUACAAUUUAAACCAUAGGGUAACAAAGAAAGAAAGUACCGAACCACAAGGAUGGUAUUUGAAGUUUUUGCAUACUCCCCUUUCCCUUCCCUAUGUAAUAUAUACAUUUGAAGUAUGUUCUUUUUGCAUGUGGAUUAUCAAAUAUUCACUUUAAUACUCUGUAAUUUACGAAAUUUUUAUUUACUAUCCUAUAAUUUUAACUUUCCCACUAAUUUAAGAAAAAAAUUAACAGAGUGGAUAAAAACAAAACAGCAUAGUACUAAUUAAAGUAAUACAGUUUAAACCAUAGGAUAACAAAGGAAGAAAGUGCUGAACCACAAGGAUGGUAUUUGAAGUUUUUUUUUUUUUUAACAAAUAUUCGUGUUUUCACUUUUUUUUACUUUCAAGAAUUUAUAUUUUUUAUUUAAAAGUUUAUAAAUGCUUUCAUAAGAUUACAGUGUUAAUGGAGGGCGUGAAAUAAUCAAAUUAAUUACCCUUACUUAUUCUAUAAAAGAAUAAAUGAUUUUUUAAUAUAUUUUUGUUAUUUAUUAGAAUAUUAAUUUUUGGUAUAAAUUAUAAGAAAUGUAUAUAAUAGUAACAUAAUUAUGAAGAGGGGGGGAGCUAAAUGCAUUAUUUUAAAAUUUUGAGGGAAUAAAAUAUAAAAUUUUGAAAGUGAGAGAGAAAAAGUAAGAGAAUGUGAGAGAAUGUGAGGAAUUCAUGGAUGGAUUUUUAUUUUUUAGGCUAAAUUACAUAAAAUUUUUCUGUCAAAAUUCGAUUUUUUACUUUUUCUCCCUAUCAUUUAAAAACCUACACUUUGUCCCUUUAUAAAAUGAAAAAUAUUUACAGGAGGAUACGGUGUGGACUGUGAUGAUAAAAUGACCAUUUUGCCCCUCACCAUUUUCAUCUUCUCCCUCAUCUUCCUCAACAUCAGUCUCGAUCGGCUGCGAUUUCUCCGCGGUUCACGCAUCAUCUUCCUCCUGCACCCUCGCCGCCCCUCGAUUUCGGCGACAGUAAGGUGGAAAUUGAGGUGGGGGUGGAUGGAGAGGUGGGUAAUGACAACGAGGGCGAAGGCGAGGCGGCGGAGGAGGGAGAAGGGGUGUUUGUGGGUACGGACGGGGAUGUUGGCGAGGGCGAGGCAGUAGAGGAGGGCGAGGCGGAGGAAGGUGAAGCAACAGGAAAAAAAAGCGGAGGGGCAUUUUGGGCAUAAAAAAAUAUUUUAUAACGGAUCACUAACGGUUGGGGCGAAGUGCACAUUUUUCAUUUUACAAGGAGGCAAAAUGUAGGUUUUUAAAUGACAGGAUAGAUAGUGAAAAAUCGCGUUUUGACGAAUUUUUUUUAUAAUUUAGCCUAUUUUUUAAGCCAUUAUUCUAGCUCUUUACCGAAGAGCUAGUUAAUUAGCUAGUUAUCUGCACCACAGAUAUGAAGAAAUUAUUUUUUUACGAUCUCUGGAAACUAAAGGAGGUUGAGGCUAAAUCUGAUAUUAUAUAAUCAAAAAAUAGUUAAAUAGAAAACAAUCAAAAAAUUUAUCUUACUAAUAAAAUUAUAUAUAAUACGUUCUCUAAUUGCCGAUCAAGGCGUUACUCAAAAUAUAUAUAUGUACGCGCGGAAAUUGCACACAAAUGCACACAAAUCGUAACGGUGAGAUCUGUACCAUUAAUUAAGUUAAUUAUUCGUGUCAAAACAUGUUGCACCCACAUGCAUGCAAAUUAGUGGUCACCUCCCCUAGAACAGCACGUUUAUUAAAGCCAAUCAUAGCGUAUAUAUAUUCCUACUCCCGUGUACGUAGUCCCGUCCCCUCUUCCUCCUCUCUCUCUCUCUCUCUCUCUCUCUCUCUCUCUCUCUCUCUCUUGUUUUAAGAUUGUUAAAAUUAUAUACGUGAGUUGUUGAUGAUUUUUUGGUUAUAAGAAUUGUAUAUAGGUAGCCGUGGAAAUAGAGAUAUAAUUUUUUUUUUUUUUUUUUAGAUUAGUAAACAAAAAGUCCGGGGAAUCUGUUCCUCUCUUGUUCCUCUCCUAUGUUUGGUAUGAAUUGAAAAGGACUUUUAUUAUUGUUUUUUAAAUUUAUUUUAAAAUAAAUGUAGAUUCGAUGAGUCAAAUUGACUUACGGAGAGUUCUAGUCUAACCCAGACCUAUAUAUGGUUUAAAGAUGUGCUGUAUCUAAUAAAGUUCAUCCCAUCUAAAGUGUAUAUAAAUAAUUUACUCCCUGAUUAAUUAUUCAACGUGAGUAGCAAUUCAUAUAUGAAAUCCUAGCAAACAAAAUCCACGAAAAUAGCAAAAUGAAAUCUACACUCUUUGAUUUCUAGAGGGAUAUAAUAUUCAUUAAUUUCAACUGCUUGAUGAAACCUCACAAGCCAAAGUUUUAAAAACUAAUCAUUAAUGGCUGUUUUAGUGGUUUCACUAACAUGGAAUUAGUCUACUAAACCCGGUCUUAAGCCCUUUGAAGCUCGCGAGGUAGUGUUUACAGUACCGCCAUUUUUGCGGUAUGGAUGCAUAGCCCAUCUGAUCUCCGCUACGCGCACAUAAGCAGAUAUGUUAAGACUAUUCCGAGACAAUUUUCUAUCAGAUUAAUUUGGAAUUAUCUUUUAGCGAAACUAGUGAGAUUAGAUGAUAACUAAUCUUUCUCUUAAAUGUCUUUGGAAUUCAAUAAAAACCAUCACACCAAGCCAAACUUCUUUGAUCUACUCAAGAACACACCUUGCAACUCUUCCUGCAGUAACCCUGAGACUCCUCAGUGCCUACCAUGUACUCAGGAUUCUUCUCACACUCGCCUUUCGCGGCCCAUCGCGCGCAGGACUCGUUCUCAUCUUCACAUUCCUUGCUCCGUCUACUCGACGAGAGAAAACUGAAGGGUGUCAAAUGGAUCCACUUCGUCGCAGUCCAUUUCUCCCCUGCUAUUACUGGGCAGCUCCCAUGCAUACUUGAUCCAUCCAAAGUGCCGUUCGGAUGCAGGCUGAAGAAUAACACGGCAUCGCCUUUCUUCGGUUUCACUGAAAUAAGCUCAUCAAACACUAUCUCAAUACGAUUUCAAAAUAAAAGUUUCUGAACUUCGAUGAACUUAAACAAGUUAUUUAGUACUGGAAAAGUUUUAACACAGUUGCAUUCUUCGUAGUUUAGUGGUUGGUAAUAGAAUUUGCUCGUAAAUUCUUCACCUGAAAAACCUGUUGAAGCACAGAAAGCGAGAGAAUCACCUUUCCUUUGUCGAUUCGCCUGCAAAAAAAUGCGCGGAGAAAAUUUUAGAAAAUGGUUUAGAUGAGGAUGAUAGCCUGAUUAGUUCUUUACUAGAAGAUCACCUUCUGUACCGCUGCUUUCGUGAAGACUGUCUCCCCGCCUUGUGUAACAUUAGCUAGGUACAUGAGUACUGUCGCGACUCGAUUUCCCUUUUUGUUCCCUUUUACAUCUUUAAAGUAAUCGACGUGCGGCACAAACAGUUGGCCCUUCUCGUAACGGAGUAUUUGUAUGGCCUCGCCGUUCUCUAGCACGGGGAGUAUAAAGGUUUUGUUAUCAAGCAACAAAACAAUUACAAACUUGUUUAAUUGAAUACAUGCUGUAAUAAAUUUACCUACUGGGAGGAAGGUCCAAGCAGCGACUCUGCUCUCGACUCGACGAACAAUUUCAUCCUUGGAAAUGCAGAGGAAAAUGAUGAUAGUCUACACCUUAGACAUGGUAAAUUCGCAAGCUACUUGCUGCUCUUGAUAAUCACAUUAUAAAAUGGCUCAUCGACGUGGCGAAGAACACGAAAUACAGGAUUGAAUGAUGAGAGAUUAUGGAUUCACUAGCAAAUGCUUUAUAUAUCCAGCUGACGAAAUCGAUGUUUUGGUUACGAGAUCAGUGCAUUAGGCAUUCUAAAGGGCGCAGAACAUGAAUGAUAUACCGGCAUUCGGUUAGCCGAUAACAACCAUGUUCGUGAUGAGAAAUAGCACGAGCGCCAUCUAAGUGUAUCUUUGGCGACCAAUGAAAACACUAUUUGCUUACAGAAAAGGAAAAAACAACCAAAAUGAUGUAAACAAUGGAUCAUUAUGACAUCGGAGAAAUUGAGCUAGUAAUUUACCUGACCUGGCUUCAGGAACAUGUCCCAACUAGUUCGCGCGGUGCUAAGCUUGCUCUCACCACCGUAGCCCUCUAUGACUGUAGAUUUUUUAAGUUUACCCUUCGACUGCUCUCGGAAAGCAAACAUAACACAAUCGAAAGUGAAAUUCAAAAUAAGAUAAAGAAUAAUUUCAAAGGGGUCUUGGUUCUUUCAAAUGGCGAUUUAAGAGGGUGUAAUUUGCUGAUGCAUGGUAGUAGUAAAAUGGUAAUAGUACUACAUAGAUUUUCCUGAGAUAUCUAGUAUAAAUAGUUGGGUAGUUUGUGGGUAUGCUGAUAUGUAAUCAUUGAAAUCUUAUGAAAAAUUUAGCAAUAUAAAAGGGAACUUUUCUACCAGGGAGAUGAGGUGAUCGCAUUCCUCGUCGGAGAGAAAGCCCUCAUAGAGAAAAAUCCUGCACCAAAAUGGCAAAUGAAUUAUCAACUUACAUAAAGUGCGAAACGAAAAAAUGCGUGGAGAGGGUUAAAUUAGGUGAUCUUUUAGUUGUUAAACUUUCCAAUUUAAGUUCUGAAGUAAGCCUACAAUAUGAAUUACGCAAAUCGGAAGCCCAAGCUUAAGAUUUCUUCCUUUUUUUUUCUUUUUGACUGUAAGAUGCAAGGUGAUUUCAUAUGUCAUUCAUGUAAUCAAUCCAAAUUAGCCCGAAAGAGAUAUAGAUCGAUAGUAGAUAGAUAGAUAGAUACAGAAUAAAUCUUCUAAGUAAUACAGCUUAAUUUCAACCAAAAUAGGAUUACUUUUUGCAUAUCCAGGGUCAUCUUUAUUCUUUUGAUUCUGAGCAUAAGCUUUUCUUUUUUGAUAAUACUGUAAAAAUGCCUUUUGCCAGAGUAUAAGAAAAAAGAUACAGAGGUAUGAUGGAAAAAAGGUUUGUAAUGCAAGUUUUUGCUUACAAAUUACAAACAAUUAGCAAAUAAGGCUUUUGCUUGGCCUAUUUACUGGGAGAUUUUUUAGCUAUGUUCUAUGUACCGCCAAUCGACACUUUCGUCAAAAUCUAUUGAAAUAUAUUGAAUGCCAAUUUAGUUUUUAGCUGAACCUUUUAACUGAUGGUUUUGUCAAUUUUGCGGCAAAAUACGGAAGCAAAUGAACAAUCAAACUUAUCUAACCUUGGUUGCCAUGAGAGUUGGGUGAUAGAUCUUGGCUCUAUGACAUUGUGAUCCCUUCUUUCACCAGUGCCAAUCCUAAAGGUAAUUGAAUAUUCACAGAAAAAGAAGAUAAACAAAGGUGUAUAUUAUAAAAGAGCAGCACAAUUAGAGGUAUUGUAACAUACACCAAAUUGACUCCUAUUCCUUCAAACAGUUUAAGCCUGAGAGGAGUUGGUGGCAGAGAGAAGAACAGAAGGAAGAGAAAGAUGGAAGGGAGAAGAGAAAGUUUGAAACCCAUUUUUGAUUAAUUAGAAGAGGAGGGUACAUCACAAAGGAGCCAAUUAAGUUUUUUUUUUUUUUUCUACAUUAUCUUCCUAAUUAAUGCCAUUUAGAAGGUUAAAGAGCUACUAGGAGGUUUCAAAUGAGUUCCUUUAAUUCUUUAAUUGUGGUAUCAUUAACUCCAUCAAUAAAAGCAAACAGGAAAUUUCUUAUAUGAAAAGUUGAUGCUGUAUUCUUAGUUUUAUAUUUUCAAAAUAUGAUUCUGCAUGUGAGUAUUUUGUAUGUGGAAAUUGAAUUGCGCAUUGGCCCAAGUCACACACAUUCUUAUGAUUGCUUAUUUCUUCUGGAAUCUUAAGAUUGAGACAUUAUUUUUAAGAAAAAGAAACCUGCUGUUGACUCCAUUGUGAAUAUGUUUUCAGACACAUUAAUGCUACUGUAUAUCAACUCCCUCUGUCUUACUAAGUUCUUGGUUAGUUUGUUAGUCAGUUUCAAAGGCAGCAACAAUUAACAUUCCAUUGGUUCAAAUUGCUGGAAAUGGGUUGGAACAAUAAGAACUCUUCCACAUUAGCAGCAAAAAGAACCACAAGAAACCUCAUGCAUGACGCAAUAUGCGAAGAUCAGAUGAAACAGGGUUUUUUUUUUCUACCAGUGCCCGGUAUGGAUUGGAGACAUUUAACUGUAAAAUCGAUGGUUACCAUUUGUUUUAACACUGCAAAUUGUUCUGCAAAUUAACUCAGGUUUUAUUGUUGCUAGAUACAAGUGACGCGGCGGAACAAGAAACUUAGCCAGCUCCUGCAAUGGAAUUGUACAUAUUCCUGGUAAACAAUAUAACAAAAUAUCUCUCUUUUUCUGAGAAAAACAUUUAAGAGUUUUAUCAAAACAACCUGCUUAUGGCUAACGAAAGAUUCGUCUUUCACCGACCAAUUUGUAGAGAACAAAGGAAGCAACAAACCAGAAGUUGACCACAUUAGUAGUUUUCCGUUUUCAAGAAAGCAAUCAAACUUAACAUGCAUGUUCGAGAAAGAUAACAACAUUUGAUUUGUAACAACUCUUCAAAUCAUAUAAUGCUUCCUUUUAACCUAAACCUUCCAAGGAGAUUGACGAAGAAAGGAUAUACUAUAAGCAUCAGAAGAUCAUGCUUAUCAGGUGUCAGAGCCGUCUGCACUAUCAUCGCAUGGAAUUCUUGACCGGAUAAUAACUCGGGCUCCCGACGUAAGCCUGCAGGAGAAAAGAACGAAUGGCAACACCCUAUCAAGAUGUGUACACUGUAUUAAAAUAUAACAAAAGUGUUUAUUAGGCCUAGCAUCUAAAACAGCUUCUUUACUCCAAAAAGUUGAAGAUACAAGUAAUCAGCCACCUGGCUCUUGAAGAACCAAGAACUUUUGCUGUAGCUAAAAUGAUCUUUUGGAUUCGAAAAGCAGACUCAAAUUUGAAAUAUAUGCUUCUGGUACAGCACGAAGUUGGUUAGGAGAUUCAACAAAGUGUUGUUAGUACUUCUUCGAACAUUUCUGCUUAAACAACAAUUCUUUGAAGCCAAAGAAUGGACUUAACUUUCCUCGAUCCUGAUAAGCUUCUCCUUUUCUUCUUUCAAGGAUUCUAACCUCAUGGAUGAUCCAUGAACUGAGGCAGCAUGAGUGAUACUUCUGCUGCUUUCUCCUAUUGAGGAGCGGUCACACUCGGGCCCAACAGACGAGCACCUCGGGCAAUCGGAAAUAGGAGAAGUAAUUUUUUCAUUUUUGGGCUGCUUUGGAGGUGUAAGUUUGAUAGCUCGAGGGAGGCAUCUUGCAACUGAUGUGUCCUCAAUCUCUUCCCCGUGCCUUCUGGACUCCAAUUUGCACUUCCUGCACUUUCUUGAUGUAUUAACUGUUAAUAUGUAACAGAGCACCUCAAAGAAGUUUAAAAAGAUAGAGAACAUGGCAAUAGGAAUGACACAGUAAAUAAGAGAUCUGUAAAGGACACACAAAAAGGAAGAAAUACUGAAGAACAACUUCAGCAUAAUAAAUGAUUAUCAUUUAAAUGAUGCUUAGGAGAACACUAGCGUCGGCACUUAUCAGCACAAUCGUGGCAAGCAUUUAGUUAAUUGCAUUAUUCUCUAAAUUAGAACAUAGGCACUUCAUGAACCAACUCGAUUUACGCUCAUAACGAUGAAGCAUCCAAAUCUGCAUAAAUUGCAAUCAUAGUAGAGCUACGUGAGGAAGCACGAAUAGCUUUCUCAUUAGAAUUUUACUGCAGCUUCCCGCUGCAGAACAAGCAGAAGUUUUAAACUGAAGCUUCUGUUUGUUACCCAAAAGUUCAUUUUAGCUUCUACCACAGCAAAAUUUCCAGCCUAGUUAUCAACCAAACACCCAGUUUCUGAAUGCUUGUGCCUUCCAGAUUAGAGAAGCCAUUCUCAAAACCAGGCAGAACUAGCAAAAAAUUACAGUGUUAUGUGGUACUACAUAUUCAGAUAGGCAAAGAGUAAGACCUUACUGAGUGAGCGGCAAAUGUAGGAUGUAAUAUGAUAUAAAGACGAGGCUCACCUUUCGGCAUUGUAGGAGGAAGAUCGUUUCAGAACGGGCAUCCUUUCCCCUAUAUCCUCCCGAUGCUUCUUAGUUUCAAUCAAGCUACCACUAAAAUACUCCUUAUCUUCCAAUUUCAAUCCCAUUAAUCUUGGAUCUUUCGAAAGGCAAUCAAGCUCUCCAAGCAUACUCGAGCGAGCAAAUACCGAUGAUUGGAACUUCAUGUGCGAGAAACUUGGCUGGUAAUUUGAGACGAUACCAUAGCUUUCGUGAUCCUUCACGGUGAAAGACCCGCAAGUGAUCAGCUGCAUUAAGAUAUUACCAGGCUUCAUCUUCGGCCCGGUGGGAAUUAGCACUUCCUCCUCUUUGAGUCUUCUAAAGAUGUUCUUGUUUCUAGCAUCCGCCCUAAGCAAAGACUCUAAAGUCUCUGACCUGCUACCAUUCGAAAGUCGAGCAUGAUUAUUGAUAGAAUCAAGAGUCGUCGAGCCAUUGUCAGUAGAAACAACCGUAGUGAGAUUCUCGUUCUCCUUAUCGUGGUGAUCACUUUUUUUAUUUUCGUCGUCAGUUUGAGUUGCUGCGUCCGAAGAACCAAUUGGCCUGUAUACUCUAUACUCCGCCGAACCCGAAGAGACGUACUCUUGAGACGACACUUCUUCUUCUUCUUCUUCUUCGUCCUCUUUUUCAUCUUCUUGAGGAGAAGGCGGAGGGUUGGAUUCUCUAACGACAACAGUAGGAGGAGAGGAGGAAGCAAAAGGAGCUUCUUUGGAUCUAGAAAAUUUGGGUGAUUCUUGCUGGGGGGGUUGCUUUGGGUUUUUCGGUUUUGGGUUCCCGUUGUUCGGAUGAAUCCGAUCUAAACGAACAUGAAACGAAAGAAAACACAUUUGGAUUGUUUAGCUCCAAACCUCUCUUCCUUAUUACUAUCAACAUUGAAUCAAAGGGAACAACACAUGUUACUUUACACAAUUUUUGGAUUACCUGAAGAGGGUUGAUCUAAGAGUUCAGAACCUUUGAGAACAUACUCAUCUCCGUUGGCGGGGAGGACGAGAUCGUCGUGGGAGAGAUCGUGCCACACGAAUCCGUUCUUGUAGCUCCUGCAUUGAUCAAAUUCAUCGUUUUCACACCCAAAACACCAUAAAAAAGGGAUUUUUAUCAUUUGGGCGCUCUCCAUUUUACCUCUUGCACGACCACGAAUACAUGGUGGGCAUUCCCUUUCCCCUCACCAAAUUAAGGCGAUUAAUCACAUCUAAGAAAAAAAAAAAAAAAACCAAUUGCGAUAACAAGACAACAAUCUCUAAUCCGCAUUUCAAAACUAUGAAGAGCCAAACAAUUCGAUCCCCACAAACCUCCGAGAUACAACCCUUCAGGGGAGGAGAGGGGCACCUCAAUGAAAUGCGGGUGCUCGAUGCGUCGAUUCCGACACAAGUAAUACACAACGGGGAUCUUCUUCUUCUUCUUCUUCUUCUUCUCCUCCUCCUCCUCCUCCUCGGGCGCUUCCAUUUCCCGUCUCAAAAAUCUCAAAACCCUGAUGCAAUGGGACGAGGAAUGGCGAAUAAGGGUGGAGAGAGGAAGCAGAGUGUUGUAGGUAGUACUGCUACUGCCACUGCAACUGCUGCUGCUGCUGCUGCUGCUGCUACUACUUUGCCGUGGAAAAAGGGGAAUUAGAAGGAGUAUAUUAAAUUAAAUUCAAUUGAUUGAGGGGGGAGUGGGGGGGAGGAGAGUACGGUUUCGUUGGAGGGAGUGGGGGAAGCAUUGAAUUGCUUACGGGCAAAGGGAGAAAGAGAAGGAGGUGGGUGGGAGUGGACCGAGAAUGCCACAAAACAUUGCCUGCACCGGAUGUAUAUAAGCACGCCCCGAAUACACACAAAACAGUCUAAAAUAGAUCAGUUAUAUUGCUGAUACUGUAUUCCUAAUCAAUCAGAUUAUUUCUCUUGCAUUCGCCCAUCCAAUCAUGAUUAUUAAAAAAAAUAUAUUUUUAUUAUACUUUCCUUUUGAAAAAAGAGAUAUGAUUGGCUGAUUAUUGAUGAUAUAGUAUAAAUUUUAUAUGAUAGAUGUAUCUAAGGCAUAUUAAGUGAGCCAACUUUGCUAUAAGCCCGGUGCUUAUGGUGUUCAUUUUUUUCCCAUCAGCCAUGCCAGCUCAGUUGACUCGUGUUUUUUUUUUCAAUUGUAUUAUUUUUUUCUCAGUUGUAAUCCUAUUUCUCAGUUGUAAUUCUAUUUUUCCGAGGCCGCGUUGCAUCAAGAGUCAAGUCCUGUAGCUAAAUUCAUCUGCUAAAUGAAUGAAGCGGGUAGCGUGCUAUCUUUCUCUCAAAAAAAAAAAUAAUAAUAAAAUAAAAUAAAAUAAAAUAUUUUUUGUAUAUGCCAAUUUACAGGAUUUAUCGUGUGUCAUUUUUUCAAUUCUUGAUCGUUAGCUGUUUGCGAAUUUAUGCAUCAGGACGGUUUAGCUGGCUUAAUAUGUGGGUGACCGACAAACACUACGAACUUUUUGUCAAAAAAGUAUUAGCCGUGUAACAAGUGCAAACUAUACAAUGAAAAAAGUGAGUCUAAAUCUUACACUCUAUCAAUCUAACGGCUAAUAUAUAUUUUUAAUAUUAAAAAUUGAAAAGAGUGUUCAAUUAGAAAGAUAAAGACUUUAAAACAAAAUUCUAAGGCUCGUUUGGUAUUGUUGCUGAUUUUUUUUUUAUUUUGUAAAAUAAACAUUUUAUUGUGUAAAAAGAAAAAGGUGAAUUGUUUUUAUCUUUCCUUGACUUCUAAAUUAUUUUAAAAAUAUCUUAGAAGUAAACUAACUAAUCAUAAUAAUAAGAAAUUUGUAUUUAUACAAGUUUAUCAAGAAUUAAUAUUUAAAAUAAAAAAAAUUAAAGGCAACGAUGCCUGACUUGGCCUAAAAUAAACUUCAAUUUUUCCGUGUUGGUUUAGUGCAUUUUUAUUUUACCAUUUUAUGAUUUCAAAAUUGUAUUUAAAUACUUUGUGAUUUUAUUUUUAUUUUACAGUAAGUAUCUAGCAUUUCAAAAUAUGGUAAAAUAAUAUUUUUUUUUUGCAAACAACAAGAUAGUACAAAUAGUAUUUUAUUAUUCUUUAAUCUACACUUUUAUCAUUUGUUAUUUGCAAUAUUAUCCUAUUUUUUAACACUAAAUCCUUCCAGUAAACUAAAAAUAAAACCUCAGAGUUAUUAAAUAAAAUUUAUUUAAGGCAUAGGAUGGCAAAGUGAAUAUGCGCUAAACUACAAAAAAGAAAAUUGAAGUUUAUCCAAAAUUUAAAUCGAUGAUGUGCCUAAAAAAAUUCAAAAGGGCUGCAUAUAAAAGGCAAAAAAAAAAAACUAAAUUUUGGACAUUAAUUUCUUGCAAAUUGAACCAUAAUCAUUUUUUUUUAAUUGUCGAUUAUUGAGACUAUUUGACACUUUAAUAAUAUAUUAUUUAAUGGAAGACCUUUUAAUAUAUGACACGAAGUGUAUCUACCUAAUUGAUUUUAGAAAAAACUUCAAAUAUCAUUUCUGUUUUUUCGUAUUUUUUUAUUUUAGUACUAUAUGGUUUAAAGUGUAUCAAUUUAGUACCCUGUAGUUUCGUUUUUCUCUUUUUAUUAUUCCAUUUAUUAUUUUUUUUUGCUAAAUCAGUGACAAAGUUAAAACCAAAAUGUACUAAAGUGAAUAUUCGAUAAAUCUAGACGGGGUAUCUGAAGUUUUUUAUAUAUAAUUUAACAAAAUAUUAGCAAAAAAGCUGUCAAAAACAAAAAAAUAAAAUUGAUAUACCUUAACUACAGAAUAUAAAAAUGAGAAAAUGUGGGGUGGUAUUUAAAGUUUACCCUUGAUUUUUAAUUAAUUUUGAGACACUCACACCUAUCAUGCAAAAUUCAGAGUGGUGCAUGAGGUGUACGGAUACACCGGGUGCAGGAAAUAAUUUUCCCGGCAAUAGGGAGGAGCAGCAGCGCGAGAUCGUGGCGUUUGCGCGCUUUCCACGCUACAUUAAACGGGCCUGCAAAAAGAUGGUAAUAAGGUAAAAAUGCACAGGGACUCCCUCAACUAUAACCAAUUCUCUAAAACGCCCCUCAACUCUAAAUUUUUUUUAAAAUUGAGAUUCUUUAACUUUUGAUUUUUUUUUUGGAAUUGAAUGAAUUUAACCAAAUAAAUUUGUAUAUUAAAAAUUAAUUAAUACUAAUAUAGAGAGAGAGAGAGAGAGAGAGUAAAACUAGGUUGAAUCAAUUUCUAAUAGAUAAUUAAGCCAUAAAAAUAUGCCAAUUAAAAAAAAAAAUGAAGGUUUAGGGCUCCAUUUGAGAAUAGUUGAGGGGGUUUCCAGACAUAUUUACGUACCUUAAAAUAUCGGUGCGUUCCGUACAAGUAGUUAUAUGCGUGUAAAGGUGGAGAAGAGGAUGAAGACACGGAGGAGACACAGUUUCCGUUACAGUAAAGUAGUUGACAACGACUGGAGAUUGCGUAGAAUUACGAGGACUUCAAUUUAAUGAUAAAAAAAUUUUAAAAAAAUAAUAUUAUUACUAUACAUAUAUAUUUAUAUAUAUUUCAUAUCAAAAUAUAUUUCGUAGAAAACCCCGCCAAGGAACACUAUAGUUUGGUUUUAAAUUUGUCUCUUUUAAUUUUAAUAAUAAUUGACUCAUUAAACGUUAUCAAGCAAUUAAACAUUUUUUUUUCUCAACUAAAAUUGCUAAUGAUAUUGUAGUUUAUAUUGCACAUCUUGCAAAAUAAUUUUGUGUGAUUUUAAAAUGUAAGAUUUUUUUUUUUUUUUUUUGAGAAUAGGUAGUUUGCUAUCUAUUAUUAUAUUCAUAAAGCACAUAAACUGAGCCAUGGAGCUGAGGCAACUAGACCUCAAGAGCGAAAAUGCUACUACGAAACUCGGUUUUCUUCCCAAAUCUUUCUUAGCCAUCUAAUAUCUUGCGACAGUUGUCUUGUAUCUACUCUCUGCCUGCGGAAGAUCCUUUGGUUUCUCUCGAGCCAUAGGAUCCCACCAUGUAGCAGCAACUGUUGGUAGCUCCUUCCUCAUUAUUCGCCCCACCUUUGCUCAGAAUGUCUACUGAGGAUUGUCCAUAGUAAGUGUGAGAUGUGUCUAGAAGAAAUUAUGAAUAAAAAUUUAAAGACCAAAAGCUCUAAUAAUAAUAAUAACUAUACUUAAACAUUUUGUGUCGGUAGUUUGGGCUCAACAAGUUAUUAGUACUAAUGGAUUGGGACAAUACAGAUUUGACUAAGAACUUCUAUCAAGAGAUCCAUCUCUAUUUAAUUGCUACAUAUUUGACUAAGAACUUUUGUAAAGAAAUCCACCUCCAUUUGAUCUAGUCCUAUCGAUAGUUCCCACUAUUAAUUAGUCGGUACACAGUUUGCAAGAAAAGCUUUGAAUUCUUAGACCAUAUCUCUCUCCGGCUCGAAUGUAGGAAAAAAAUCUUGUCAAUAUCAAGUUCCAAUUCCACCCUCUUUUUUAUGGUUUCGAACCAAUAAGUUAUUAGUGCUAACGGAUUGGGUUACUAUACAUUUGACUAAGAACUUUUGUAAAGAGAUCCAUCUCCAUUUGAUAUCGCCCUAUCUAUUGUUCUCACUAUUGGUCGCUACACAGCUUGCAAGAAAAGCUUUGAAUUUCUAAACCAUAUCUCUCUCCCACAUUUCUACAGACGGCCUUCCAUUGCAUUAGGCAGUGUCCCUCACUAAGAGUUACGUCUCUCUUCUCAAAGAAUGCUCUUCUCAAGGCUUCAAUAGAUUGUAUAUAUGGCCCAUCUCAUAGCCUUGUACAGUGAGAAGUAAUAGAGGGGUAGGUUUGAAAGCACCUAUCUUCAAUUGUUGUUGCUUCUUUUACAGGUUACAAUAAAAGAUUUUUCUUUUUGUGUGUGUUUUAAAGUUUUACAAGAUUGUAUGCUAGACCUAUAUCCAAAAAGACUAUUUAUUUAGUAACUUUAGUUGAACAGAGAGGGCUUGAAGUAUUAAUAAAGUUUACGGCGUCUAAUUUCUAAAAUUGAAUUUUUAAGAGUUUGUUUAAAAAGAGCUUUAAUUCAGAGGGUUUUUGUUUGGUUUUUUCCUUUAUUAUUUAGGCAUCAAUGUUUAUAAAUUACGUUGAAAUCGUCACUUCUUUAAUUGCCGUCAACUUUUAGCUGAUAAAUCAAUGAAAUUUUAUUGAAGAUAAAAUGUAAACAAUAAACUUUUAAUAGUAGGUUAGACAUUUUAAAAAUAAUUGAUUAUUUUACAUGGUAUUAAAGCAGUAGAUUCUAAAAUUAAACAGGCUUCUAAAUUACAUCCACUGUAACCUCUAAUCUGAGGACUGUGAAGUAGAUGGAAAAUAGGUUCCGCACAAACUAUAGGAGAAAUUCUAAGCUUAGAAGAGCAUAAAUUAAAAUGCACUUGGACUAAUUUCGAGCUUAAAAUCAUCAAAUAGAUUGCGACAUGCUUCAAAAGUAGACAUGAACCAAAGAAAUUGAAGUCAAAGAAAGCCAAACAAUUGGUGAGUACAUAUCCAUAAAUUGACAUAAAAUUUAUCCGGAAUAAUAUUAACACCUUCAUUUACCAGCAUAGUGAAAUUAACAUAAGCGCAGCCCAUGACUAUCUAAUGUUGAAAUUGAACUCACCAAACACAAUCUAUCAAUUAUCAAACUCUGAAAUUGAAACCACGAUCUCACAGAACUUAAAAAGGCUGAUAUCUAAAAGGACUCAUACCGGCUAGCCUACCAUGUUGCCUAUGAAAUUGUUUAUUAGUUGAAUCAAAUUCGGAUUCUCCUUUGUAAUCAUAAUAUCUUCUGUUCACAAGGCUAUUUAUAUCAUAUUGUAAAAAGAAUAAUCAAAGAGCUUUUCUAUAUUAUAUAUGCUGCAUAGUCACCUUUCCAGCUUCAUCAUCAAUCAAUGAGUUACCACAUACCCUUUUUUCUUUUGAGAACGAUGGGAUGCUACUAUUUCUUUUAUUUUUUUUAAAAAAAAUAAAUUUAGUUGAAAAUAUGAAACAAUUAAAUUCCAAAUUUAAUACCUCGAGUAUCGGUCAUCAAGCCCUUCGUCACUUAUCUCAUUAAGUAAACAAAAGAGAUGCCAAAGACAUGCACCGAAACAAAUCCUAAUAAAUAAAGGGGAUAAUUACCUGCAUGCUCCUUAAAGACUUUUAUGUUCACUCCUAAAAGUGAUAAAAUCAACCCCUCUAGGAUGCUUUUGGUUUAAAGUCGGAAUCAGAAUUAGAAUCGGAAUCGAAAUAAGCUGGAAUCGGAAUCGCUAAUUUUGUUUGGUUCAUUACCUGAAUCGAAAUCGAAAUAAAUCAUUCCCAUUGUCGGUGUUUGGUUUAGGUAGAUAUAAAAAACGUAAUCAAAUUAAUAUACUAACUUUAUCUUUACAAUAUAUUAAUUUAAAUUCAAAUUGAAAAUUAAAUAUUAAAAAUUUACAUUAAAAUUUGAAAUAAUGUCAAAAUUUUAAAUCAAUUUUUCUUUAAAAAAAAUUUAAACUUUGAAGUUGAGUGGAUAAUUCAAAAUAUAAAAUUAAAAUUCGAUUUAUUCAAAUUCAAACUUAAAAUUACAAUUUAAAUUUUAAUUUGAAUCCAUAAAUUUAAUUUAAGUUUUAAAUAAAAUUUGAAUAAAUUUUAUAUAAAUUAAAAUUUAAUUUAAAUUCAAAUUUAUAAGUUAGAUUCAAAAUACUUAAUUAAAUUUUAAUUUUUAAAUCAAAUUCAAAAUUCAAAUUUAAAAUUAUAAAUUUAAUUUUUAAAUUUAAACUCAUAUUUUAAUUAAAAAAAUUAAAAAAAUAAAUUUAAUCCGAAUAAAUAUCCAUUUCGUCGGAAUUCAACUUUCAAUCCGGACUCCUAGGCCGGAUUGAAAAAAUAGAUGAUUGAAAAUUUUCUAUUCCACUCGGGAAUCAGAAUCGGAAGAUAAGUCCCGCAUAUCAAACAGGGAUUCAUCCAUUUCAAUUCCAAUUCCAUGAUCGUUAUUUUUAUAUUUCUUUUCAGUUACUAUACGUCGAAGACCCCAGGGAGACAGAAACGAUGACAACCAGCCCUUUGCCCCCACCCUCGUCGCCAAUCUCCAGAGGGUCCUCACUAGAAGAAAGGACGGUGACGGCAGCACCACCAGUAAUAUAAAGCCAUAUUAGAAAAACAUAUUUAAAAGCACAAAUGAGUUUUUUUACAACUAAUUUCACCAGUAGACAAAAUUUUAGAGGAGAGUCACCACACUUACCUUUUUAGGAGUAAAUAUUGAAGUCGAGUACUUUUGCGGAGUACUUAAAGCAGCACCAGCCCGUAAAAAUAAAUGUGAUAGUGAAUGGCCCACAAGAGAGAAAAAUUCCAACAAAAUAAUUUGCACCAGAAUACAGCGUAGGAAGAGCAAGGAAAACCAUAAAACCAAGCUAUUCAUUUUAUAACCUAUAGAACCGAAGCAUUGCAUUACAAAAUUUCUGAGAAAAGAGUAUCUAUACUGCCCUUCUAAACCUGAUCUGAUGGGUUGUUCCUAACCAUCACAACAACCAUCAGAAUCUCAGUUAAAAGCACCAAAGAGAGAGAAAGAGAGAUUCUCUUUGCUCUUCUACAUUCUAUAGAGAGAGAGAGAGAGAGAGAGAGAGAAAAUUCCUUCACCAGCCCACCAGCCCACCUAUCCUGUUUCCCAAGAACCCAACCAAAAAUAAAAAGAGAGAGAGAGAGAGAGAGAGAGAGAGAGAGAAGGGAAAAAAAGAAAAAAAAAAAAAAAGAAAAGAAAAUUAAUGAAUGAAUCUUGAUGGCACCAUUAAAUGUACACGGCUGCUAAAGCUGGAAAAGUUUUUUAAAAAAAGAAAAAAAAAAAAAAAAAACUAGUCAAUUUGUGCCGCUGCCCCCUUUGAUAUCAUCUCAUAUUGCAGCACUGAGGUCUCCCAGCCUGCAACUUAUCCCACAUGCACAUCAUCUGCCUCGGGGAUUGGUAGUGCGCGGUGUAGUAAUCAUCUAUGCAGCCGAAUUGGCAAAACUUGAUGCUGUGGACGUACUCCACGGCUCUCGAGCUGUUGAACUGCUCCACCCACAUGCCCAUGCUCACAUCUUCCAUCUUAAACAGCUGCGUUAUAUGCCACUUUCAUAGUCAACUUCCAACUACAAGUGAUCUAUCCGACUACUUAAUAAGUGUGCGUAUGAAAAGUCCGGCCAUUUUUCACAUAUUUUGAAUGGUUUAAGUUUUUUGAGAAAAUUUAAGAUAAUUGAGUAGUUGUAGACAGCAAUAACAUGCAAUGCUCUUAGCAGUUGAUUAGCUAAUAAAAAGAGGCCUUUUUUUAAAGGAAAAAAACUCCAGACGGAUGCCAAAAAACCUAAUUAGAAACUGACGAGAUUACAAACUGCUAGUGAAACUCUGGUGAUUUUAACUUUUCCCAAGUGUACGAAACGUAAAAUGCAAGAUAUGCUUACUCUUAAUUUAUGUUUCUCAAAUUCCGAUACAAUGAAGUGUGCGAUGUCAGAGGAUACAACAUAGCCAGGACCAUUUGCAUAGGGUGGAUAAUCUUCUUCCGGCCAUUCCUGAAAAUAGGGAAGGCCAAAUUAAUUCAAUAAGCAAAAAGUGGAGGCAUUCAUGUCAUAGACUCAAUAGCAGUUGUUAUCAUCAGAAUGUUGAAGUUAAUUGACAUUAAAUUUCACUAACAACCAACAGAAAAAACAAGAAGAGGUCCCAUUAAAUCGAUAAUUAAGUGCAAUAACAAACUAUAACAAAAGAGUUCUCUAGUGAGAUGCAGUGCACAUUCCAACAAUCAAUUCUCUGAAUAAAAAACUGGUAAAAUACAUUUGCAACUACAAAUAUAACUACAAAUAAGCAGCGGUCUUACGUUGUUCCUCAAAUGAAAAUGUCGAGCCGUGUGAAAGCUUAUUAAAGAAAACUCUAGCAUACCAGAACCAACAAAUGCCGGGUGUAAGAAAGCAGGGUAUACGAAACCAUAUCCUGUUACGGACCUAGUUUUUUCUGUGGCCUGAACGACAAAAACGUGAUAAUUUUUUUGCAAGCUGUUAACCACUACAUGACGCGAACAGCUCGUUUGACAACAAUGAAAGAAUAGAAAUACUUGACGAAGUUCAAUGCUUUGCUACUUUAAAUAAAUGCUCGUGAAUGGAAGUAAAAAAAAUAUAAAGCAGAAAUUACUAGUAGAAAUAUCUAGAGAGAAGCAGCAAUUAACUAAAAGCAUGCAACCGGCCUCCCUAAAUUCAUUCAGACUCGAGAGUUGCCUACAACAUUAUAAUCAGCUGACCUAGUGUUCCUAUAUAUAAUAAAUCACCUUCCCAAGGAGAUAUUAGAAACUUUUAACAUUACAUCUACAAGAUAUAGAUGCUACAGUUGAGGGCUCUCCUCUCCUAAAAUAGCAUGAUUAUUACAUCAUUGAACUGGUAUAGCUACCACUACCCAACACUACAUAAUUGUGCAACGGUAUUCCAUGUGAACCUUGUUAGGAUAGACCAACAUGAUCUCUAAGUUGAGCAAUCAACCGCAAUAAAAAAUAUUCGGAUGAUAUUCAGCUUUACUUUUUAAGUGGACGUGCAAAAGUUAUGCCUACUCCCAUUCCAACCAUGUAUCACAUCAAGGCAUUAUCCUUUUCUCAAUUAAACAGUUCAAAAUCCCACAUCCAGAUCCUUUGAAACCCAUGGCAGAACCAACCUGCCCAAUACUUUAGACAGGAGUACAUUGCUCAAAAUGGAAGGCCAGUACUAACAAAGUACAUAAAACACAGAAAUAAUGGAAGAUCAUCAUAAUAACAUAGCAGAAAAUCGGUAGCAAUUCCAAAUAUCAUAACAAGUAAACACAAACCACUUGUCAUAAAUCAGAAUGCUAAGAGCUUGUUUGGCCCAGCAUCUAUUAUUACAGCUGCCCUUAGAGCCAAACUAGACUGUUUGGCCUGGCAGCUUGAAGCGCGGUGGUGGCCCACAACUAUAUAAAUAUUCGGGUCUGCAAAAGCACCAACCUAAUGCUUUCCUCCCGUUCCACAGUGCAGUAAAGGAUCCAACCAUGCAGCCAGGCCAAACAAUCCCAAAUCAAAAAAAAAAAAAAAAAGAAACCUCAACAGAAGAUGCAUGUCAACACCCAAUUAGGUAAUAGUAAACACAAUAUUGACGUCCAUUAUCUGUUGCAUAUACCUGAAGAUUCGCAAAUAAUACCUUGUAACCAAAUGAAAAGAAAAAAAAAAAAUUUGCUUCAUUACCUCAUACGUGACUGCCCAUUUCCCUUCUCGCAAUGGUUUGUGGUAGUAAUUCAUGUUUCCCACAUACAAGCUUUUAUCAUUUGGUAUUUUCCUGACUUCAGCCAACACUGCACCAAGCCUAACAAAGGUAUCAUCAUCACACUUCAUCACAUACUGCGCAGAAACUGCACGAACCUGGGUGAACAUAAUUUUAAAAAACGGAAGAUUAUUGCCAAGAAUAUGAUCAAAACUAUUAAAUGGAAAGUUUUCAAAGGCAUCUCGAUUCGCUCAUAUAGCAGAUUCUAGCAUUGCAUACCCCAUACUCGCAAAUGGCAACAGUCUUCAGAACAACAAGAUCGUAGCUAUCCAGAAAAGGCACGAUAACAAUAUCACCAAAAAACGCUGCCUCUUUCUUCAACUCCGCAUUCACUUCCUUUCGUCCAUGCUGUUCAGAAACAAAUCGCACAUUUUGAGUUCUUGAUCACGUAAUAAAGUAGUUAAAUUGAAGCAUUACAGAUCUAGAAAUUACCAGGGCAACAAAAAAACGAGCCACAAUAUUGGAUGAUUUUCUAACAGCUGACAUCCACGACUUCCUGACAGCCAUACGUUCUGCAAAGUGGUUGCCCGCCGAUAAUAUGCCAAUGAACAACUCAACAGGUCCAUCAGGAAUAGGUGGGGCCUUCCAUUCCGUGGACAUCUCUAAAUGCCUUUGCGGAGCGAAGCUAGGAUGUGAUGUGGGCAAAGAGCCGGCAAAUAUCGACUGGAUUUCAAGGUCCCCAUUCAACGACAAACCAGUAGCAUCCUCAAGAAUAAAUCCCUGUCAAUUGCAACCCCCCCCACCCCAAAAAAAAAAAAAAAUUGUGAAUUGAAGAGUGCUAAAACCAAAAGAAGAAACACUUAAACAUAAGUAGGUAAUUUUGAAGGUGCCACUCACCGUGCGGUAAGGGAAAGAAGUGACAUGCCUUCCGUCGACAUUGACAUGGUAACCUUCCAAGCCAGCACUUAGAGUGAGAACAAAAAGUUUGUCUUCGACGAAAGGAUACGGCCAAUCGAUAGAAACCUUCUUCGUCCGACCGAUCAAACGGUUCAACCACCACGUCGUCUUCGACUCCUCCGACCGGUCGUCAUCAUCCCGAAUCCAUUUCUCACACUUAACUAGCCCAUCAACUAUAUUGCAACCAGCGACCAAUGCGUACAAAAUCAAACUCCAAAAACAAUGGGCAUUUCGAAAAAGUUUUCUUAAAUUAACAAACAGAAGUAACGUCACUACUCAUUAGAAAUGAAAGGACUUUAACGCAACCAGUUGGAAAGGGGAAGCUUACUAGUCUCUUCAUCAGCUCUGGAUUUCCAACCCUCGCAGCGGAGGGCGGAGCCCCACUGCAUGCGGUAGCAAGUGUUCUGCUCGAUCACCGGCUUGCCGCUCCAAUCGCCCUUCAACCGGGGGUUGAAGUGGAGGAUCCUGGGCGGAUCCUCGCCGUCGACCGUCUUGAGCCCUUGCAGCUCCAUCAUGAACUGCGAAACCAUGAUCGCCUGAUCCCCUUCCUUCAAAAUCGUGAUCUUGGGGUCGUAUUCGGGGUGCGCCGGGUAGGGUUUCGCCACGAGCGUGAGGUGGGAGCCGAGGGUGAGGCCGCAGGGGAGCACCAUCAGCCUCCCCCGCUCCCGAAACUCCGCCCCGGUCAUGAUGAUCGAGUGGGGGCACUUCUCCUCCUCCGUCCGAUUCGACAACGCCGCCGCCGAGGCGGGGGACGGCAGCGGGGAGGCCCGCAGCUCCUCGAAGAGCUUCCGCCCCACCUCCCACGCGUCCCGCGCCGCCCUGUGGAGCUCCGAGAAGGGGCCGCCGCGCCCGGUGGCGUUCAGCUGCCGGAAAUCGAGCCCGGAGACGAUCCCGGCGCGGCCGCGCCGCCGCAGGAUAUCGGGGAGCGGCGGCGGCGAGGACGCCGACGACGUGAGGAUCCGGUAGGACUGCUUCGAGGGGCNGUUUUGAUUAAUAUCUCAAAUUUAACAUUAAUAUUGCACUAAUUUAAACAUUAAUUUAAAGAUUUGAUUGACAUCCCAAAUUUAGGCAUUAAAUUUGCACUAAUUUCGGCAUUAAUUUUAGAAUUUUAGAAUUCUUCUAAUUUAAGCAUUAAUUUGAAAUUUAGAAAUAGUAAUAUUUCUAAAUAUGUUGAAUUUAAAUAUUUAAUAUUUUAAUUUAAAAUUUAAAUUUAAAUAAUGGGAAUUUUGUAUUACUAUUUUAAACAAAUUUAAUGUCGAUAAUAAUGAAUUCAACAUUUUUAGUUUGUUUAAGAAGCUUUAAAUUACUCUAAUUUAGAUAUUAAUUUUGUGUCACAACCUUAAAUAAAUUUGAAGGUAGGUAAAUUUUUUUUUUUAAAUUCAACGUAUUUAAUAUGUUGUAAUAUUUUGUAGCACUAUUUAAAUUCAGCACAUUUAAUAUGUUGUAAUCUUAGAAUUUUUCUACUCUAGACAUUAAUUUUGUACCACUAUUUAAAAGAACUUGUAAUGUUGGUAAAUGUUUAAAUUCAACUAGUUUCGACAUUAAUUUUGUAUAACUAAUUUAAGCAUAUUUGAUUGUGAGUAAAUAUUUAAAUUCAACAUAUUUAAUAUGUUUAAAAAAAUUUAAAAUUUUUUAAAUUUAGACAUUAAUUGUGUAUUUGUUUAAUGUGGUGAUUAGGAAUAUUGGGUAUAAUUCGAAUUUAUUCUUAGAAUAAAAUUGAGCAGGCUAAAAAAUUUAAAUUUGAUGUAUUUAAUAUUUUUAAAAAAAUUUAGAAUUUUUUUACUUUAGACAUUAAUUUUGUAUUAUUAUUUAAAAAAAUUGUAAUAUUGGUUAAUAUUUAAAUUGUCCAAUUUGCAUAAAAAAUUCACAAAUUUUGAGUUUUUGCAAAACUGGGUUGCAUUUUUCGAUUUUGCAAAUUCGAUCCGAAUUUUCAAUAAACUGACAAAAAUAUUCUUAUUAUUUUUUCUCUUUCCUCUUUUUUUCUCUCGUUAUCCUUAUGUCCUCGCCCUCGCCCGCGCACCCCCCGCCUUCCUCGUCACCGACCCUGCCCUCGCCCUCGCCCGUGCACCCCCAGCCUUCCUUAUGCCCUCGCCCUCGCCCGCGCACCCGCCGCCUUCCUCGCCACCGACCCUGCCCUCGCCCUUGCCUGCGCACCCCACUGCCUUCCUCGCCACCAACCCUGCUGAGACCGCGGCCCGCGCACCCGCUGCCUUCCUCGCCACCGACCCUGCCCUCGCCCUUGCCCGCGCACCCCCCGCCUUCCUCGUCACCAACCCUGUCGCCGAGACCACACCGCGACUCAUUUUUUUCUCCACUUCGUAAAUUCCGUCUGAUGCUUUCCUUCCUUUGGAGCUCUCCUAACUUGCCAUGGUUCUUGAUCCUUUAUUCUCUCUAACGAGCUAUUAAUUUAUUCUACUAAAGCUCUGCUACUCUACUUUUUGUUAUCAGGUUAUUACAAAUAUCUUGAAGGAUGUCCAGGUAAAACUACUUCUACAAAAGUUAUAAUUGAUAAAUGACUGCUAUAAGUUUUUCAAAAUAUGUUGAUAUUCAGUUUCCUUCUAAUAUCUAAAUUUUGUUUAAAAAGUAUUAUUGUUGGAAAAUUAAUAUUAUAAACUCUAUUAGGCAGUAUUGAUUUUCCUCUAUAUGAAUAGCUUGACAUCUUUCCCUAUAUGAAUAGCUUUUAAAGCAUAAUGUGUAGGUAUCACUCCGAGAUCUUCCCUCUAUAUCAAUAGCUUUCAAAAGCACAACACGUUUGGUGCUUGACAUAUGAUAAAGUUCUGUAUAUGGUGUUCAUAAUUAUUGUGUGCACAAAAUAACAGAAGUGUAACCAAACCUCCAAGGACAAAAACUUGUUGUAGCUUUUUGUUAAUUAUUUUUAAUUUUUAAAUUAUUGUCCAAUUACAUUGUCUGAAGUAAAUCUUGAGCCAUUGAAAGUUAAAACUUGGCCCAAAUCAAUACAUUGAAUCCACUCUCGUCUUAAACCGUGUGAUUGCUUGUAAAUCAAUUGAAACAUUAGAUCUUUGUUCAAACAAAGUUAAUCAAACCACUCAAAUACCAUGCAUAUUUACAUGAGCUGUUUGUCCAACCCACUCUAAAAACCCUUAGUUAAUGUUGGCAUUUCUAAUACAGAUAUGGGUGCGUGUUUGGAAGAACGGAAAGAAAUGUCUAUAAAUGCAUUAACUCAAAACCUAUGUCACUAUACGUAGAAUCUUGAUUUAGACGAUCUUGCAAUAGACUGAACAUCUAACUUAAAUUGCAAUUACAAAAGAGAAUCUCUGACUGCUCAAUUUAACACUGGAUAACUUGUUUCGACAUCAAGCAAACACUGAUUUUACAACAAUUCCGCACUGACUAAUAGCUUCGCAAUCAAAAUACACAUGGAAAAUCUUAGUAACAACACAUAAAGAUCAAUGCUCCAUGUUUUUGGCUUUUUAGGAAGUUCCAAUGCCAGAAUUUAUGCAACAUAUAGGAUCUUUGUAGGGAUUAGUCCAUAAAAUUCUCCAUUUGCAACAAUAAUGAACUUAGUAAGAAACACAACAGUUAGUUUCUCUGCAAAAUGUUGCUCUCGCUUUCGUUCAAUCUCAGAAGUAUGAAUCGUAAAACAACAACAACAAGACGACAAAGUCUCCAGCUAGAUUAAAGAACAAACACAAAACUAUCAUCAGUGACCUCAUUGAAUACAUGUUCUAGGAUCUGACCUAUUCCUUUAGACUGGCAAGGCGGACUGACGGGAAUUUUAUCUAUACUCCUCAGGGAGGCGAUACCCCGUCAUAACUAUUUUAUCAGCAAACAUCUUGCCGGUCUUUGGCAUGACGUGCCAGUGCAAUGUCAAGUUGAAUUCUUUGCCCCUGAGAUUGCUUCCCUGUACGCAAAAAGAACAUAGAAUAAUAAUCCAAAUUAAAGAAAAGGUAGCUUGCUAGGAAUGGUACAAUGUUGCAAUUGGCUUGCCUGGUCAAUGAGCCGGUAUUUAUUUGUGGUGUGAAUCCAAAAUUUCGCGUGGUCUUUUGAGGGUAUAAUUCCAUCCCAUAGAGAAACCUGUUAUGUUGAAGCAACAGAAAAGGUAAGUCUCUAACAAAAGGUACAUGUCAAACUAAAAGCAAAUAGCAGUAUGCACAAAACCGCAGAUAGAAGAUGCCCAGAAACAAAAAUAUCCAUGCUAAUUCUAUCAUCAGCAACUAAAUUUAGUUUUAGUUACUGAAAUUCUGGUUCAAUCCGACAAACUAUGAUACUCAAGAGGAUAAUGCAGUCUUGCAUCCUUUACCUCUACAAGAAGUCAAUAACAUAGUUAGGUAUUGCAAACUAUAGAGAUUAAAGCAGUUUAUAUUCAUAAAAGGUUUGUAAAUAAGUGUGAAAUUACAAUCAGUUGUGCUAAGCCGCCUGUGAAGCAAUCAUCUCCUACAAAAUUUCCGAAUCACAUCCUAUCCAAACCUAAUCAACACAAGCCUUUCAAAAAUAAUAUAUUGCCGUGACAGAAGACACUAUGAUCAAAAUCGAUGUUCACAAAGAGCAGAUUGUGCUGGCUUAAUUGUCACACAAAUGGAUGAGAGCUACUUAACAAUAUGCGCGUCUGUGUGUGCAUGAUCUGAUUUCCAAACCAUACAAACUCCAUUGAUUCUAAAUAAAAAAGGCAUCAUAGUGCUCAGUCACAUCUCUAACUGCCGAUAGAAACCAUACUCUAUCAUCUAUCAAUUUUAGUGUCUUCAACCACAACACUGGGUAGAACAUUCUUUGUCACCUAGUUUCCAAAUUGCUCCUUUUGUGCUCAUUGUGUUUAUAUACCAUCACCACUACCAUUCAAAUUCUAUAUCAGAAUCCAAUUUUCCAUUCAGCUCUGUUUGUGGUAAGACUUCCGAUCAAACCAAGUGUUACAUCUAAUUUGAUGCUACUUUCAAUAAUGUUAAUUAUGAUCUACCCCUUUCUCUUAAAGCACCUUCUAACAAAAACCUAGAUGUUUUUGUGUUUAUAAAUAUAUUCCUUGCCACCCAAUUUUCUCCUUAGUCUCUUACACAACUUUGCAUGCCUUUAAAUUUAGGUGUAUGCACGAAUGCCAAUUUCAGAAGGAAUUCAUGCCCCAUUUGACAAACAUAAGGAAACCCAUUUUAUUAUGCUAGAAUCUCAUCAUUGCGAGGCAAGAAUAGAAUUGAUUUAUAUGUCACACUCACCUGAUUCAGGGCAUUCUGAGGGGUCUCAUACUCAGCUGCUAUGAAAACAAACACCUGCAAUCACAUGGCUACAACAAUAUGAGAGAAAAUUGCAUAGAUUUUUAGUAUUUAUAAAUCAUCAAAACAAUCUGAAAUGCCAAAAAUGUGCGGCAAAUUCUCAGUAGUUUUGCACGAUUAUAAUCCUUAAAUCCUUCCAUAUUGUUGGAGAGACACCACUAUAUUUCGGUUCAUUUUAGGAGCUAAAGAAAUUCAUUUUCAAAAUGAUUAGGUAUCUGUAAUACAUGCCAAGUUAAACCACCAAUCAAAGCAGCAGUACGAUCAUUCAGAUAGAAAAAAGUAACAAAUAAUUUAGGGCUUACAUAUGGAUAGAAUAGCUCACAACAAACACUAACUAGAACUUCCAUUUCUUCAAACUAGAGUACAAAAGAUACUCCCUCGGCCACAAGCCAUUUCAAAUUCUCUUAGCUAAAAAGUUAGGGCGUGUUUGGUCUGCCCCCUUUUCACCUAGUUAAUCAGAAUCAAAAUGGGCAAAUCCAUUUGUGGGUGUUUGGUAUGCAGGAGUUCCAUUCCGAUUCCGAUUCCUGGGUGAAUGGGAAUCCUGCAAUCACCCCUUUCUCCGGUCCGACUUAGGAAGCCAGAUUGGAAGUUAAAUCCAUGCGGACUGAAUGCACUUUAUUAAAAAUAUCUCAAUUACAUUUUAUAUUUUUAUUUAAAAUUAUUUUUAAUUUUUUGAAUUUAUUUUUAAUUAAAAUAUAAAUAUAAAUUUAUAAAUUAAAAUUUUAAUUCUAGAUUUUGAUUUAGAAAUUAAAUUUAAAAUAUAAAUUCGAUCAAGCAUUUUAAAUUUGAUCUAUAAACUUAAAUUUAAAUGUAGUGGUAAGUUUGAAUUUGAAUCAAAUCAAAAAUUAGUUUUAUAUUUUGAAUUGUCCACUCAAUUUUGAAUUUUAAUUUUUUUAAAAAAUUACAUUUAAAAUUUUGGCUUAUUAUUUCAAUAUUUUGAUGUAAAUUUUAAAUAUUUAAAUUUUAGUUUGAAUUCAAAUUAUAAAUUUAAUUUUAUGCUUUGAGGUGCAAACUAAAUUUUAAAUUAUUUUUAUAUUUUGUAUUUUAAUUUUAAUUUUAAUUUUUUAUAAUAAAAAUUAUUUAAAUAUUGAAAGCACGAAUCAACCAUACCGAUUCUGCUUGUUAUUCUGAACCAAACAUAUUAGGAGGUUUUAUUACCCCGUUUUUAAUUCCUGUCCAUUCCGAUUUCCAUUCCGAUUCUAUUUCCCAUUUUGAACCAAAUGCGCCCUGAGUUUCUUUCUAAUCAUAUGCCUUCGGACCUUCAUCUCAAACAAACUUUUUCUCAAUUGACUAACAAUUGUACCUCUUUGUUGUCCUCCACACCAUUUGGAGAGGGAAACAGAGUGACACUUUUUUGUUCAUCUCUUGUUUAAAGAAUUGAACCCAAGGCAGUGGGAGUUAAUAAAUUACAAACUGUAAAUAAAAUUAAAACUUUAAAAGAAAAACCAAAUCCUAUUCCGUAUCCUAUUUAGAUAAGUAUAAAAAAAAUUUCUUACUGUAAAUACAAGCAUAUUCAUCACAUGCCAACAAGUGAAAUGGCUAUAGAANACUUGUUUUUUCACAGUGAGACAAAGGGAGAGGUUUACCACACCUCCUGUUGUUUCUCCAUGUUAACAAUCAGUUAACUCUUUUUCAAACAAACUCUACUUCCAGGCUUCCGUAUACUAAUCUUUCUUUGAGUCCCGCGUAAACCAAGUUUUACCCUUUAUCUUAGCCUUACCUUUAGCCUUACCUGUCCUUAAUUUUUGCCCCAUUAUUUUGGAGGAUUAUACAAACCAAGUCUUAUUGUUCGUCUUAGCCAUUCUCUUGUUUAAAGAAUUGAACCCAAGGCAGUGGGAGUUAAUAAAUUACAAACUGUAAAUAAAAUUAAAACUUUAAAAGAAAAACCAAAUCCUAUUCCGUAUCCUAUUUAGAUAAGUAUAAAAAAAAUUUCUUACUGUAAAUACAAGCAUAUUCAUCACAUGCCAACAAGUGAAAUGGCUAUAGAAACAAAGUUUUUGGAUCAUCAAUCAAGAAAAAGACACCAGAGGUAGUAGGAAGGGACAAUAAGAGAAGAUCAAAUCACUGCACAAAUUAGUGCUUAAGAAAAUGGAUGAAACAUGAAAAGACAACAUAUCUCAACCUGUUUGGUGUUCCAAGUGAACAGGGAUGAAAGGUCUGCUGAUAUGUUCAACGUCAAGCUGACCUACAAAAAAUACAAAACAAAGAGACCAUUAAAACUCAAAGCGAAAACAAAAGACAUUCUUUGAACAAGCAGAAUCUACAUGAACCUGAAUGUAGAUGCUUUCUAUACAAGAAAAUAUCACAGUGACAUUAUGUUAUCUAUUCUGGAGAAUCUGGAGUCAUUUAUGUAGACAAGUCUGAGUUGGUUUAGAAUCCUAGUUCUACAACCCCUAUUUUUUUUUCAGUGGUUACUAGGAACUCUUGUUGCAUUACACUAAGAUAAUCUACGUUAUAAACACAUCACUUGGUAAUACUCUAUAUAAGGGUCCAGUGCAUAAAAAAGAAGAAACUUCUCACUAAACCAUUUCUAAUUACCAAUUUACAUAUCCUUGUACUUCUAAAAAUAACCUUAACAUGACGAUUGUAAAAAGUACAUCUCAGAACAUAAAGCAUAGCAACAAAAGGUCUACAUCACGUAUAAUGAAAUAUCGAAGCAUCAAACAUUUUUGAAAAUAAAGGAUUAAGAAUUUAAUAAUGCAGGUCUGAGACCAUCAGAUCAUGCAUGGAAAACCUAGAACUGUUUUAUAUUUUCUAAAAUGCUCAAACAAUCAACAUUAUCCAAAAUUAGAAAACAGCCAAGACAAGACAAUUGGAAGAAAUGAUCAGGCUCAUAACUUCGCCUGCAAAAGCUUCUUUGAUGGUCUCUGACACUUGACUUCAAAUUUACACAAAAGAAAUCGACAAUCCUAAUGGCAUGAUGUCAUUUUCUGCGCAACCAAUUAUUAUGGGUCAAUUUGAAGGUAUGUUACUAGCGUUCCUAAUGGCCAAUUGAAAUAGCAAGCUCAGAGCAUCAAAGUGUUCCGGCGAAAAGCAAGAUAGGAAAGUGGAAUCAGUUAAAACCAGUCAGCAAUAACACACUAAUGCACAAUACCUUUUUGCAAAAUGCACAAUUGCACAAUGACAGAGAAAACUUAGUGCUUAACAGUCAAUUUCAGUUUUGGAAGAAGAAAAUUGUAGAAAACACUAUUUAACAAUCAACUACGAUGGAAAUAUUACUGUAUUGGAUGCCCAAAAUGCUUGAAGUAGGUAAAGCUGGAAGACCAGGGCAUUACCUCAUCAUUUCCGUUUGCUUGCUUUUGGAACCAGUUGAUAUUCAGGACCUGCAAUGGCAUGAUUAUUGAACACACUAGCAAAAUACUGAUAUAGCUAAGGAAAAAAAAAAAAAAGAGGGACGAGGGUAAAACGCAACAUUAUCCAAGUCAACUAGCUUUCAUGGAGGACAUUGUCCAUUUUAAAAGUGUGGGAAACCAGCCUAACCAAAUACUUAACCAUCCAAUCAACUAUAAAAUUCAUCCAAUCAACUAUACAAGUAUACAUUAAAAAAUAGUCUCCACCUUUUAUGGAGGAUCAAGUGUGACCCAAACUUCACACCAAAUAGUGUGAUGGGACAAGAUACCCACGCUUCCAUUUGCAUGUGAUAUAUGUUGAUGAACAGAGAAAGAAUAUACAGUGCUUAUCCCAGCGAGCAACGAAUUUGGCAAUUCCCUACCGUGUUUGAUCACUAAUGGUCGCAUCUUCUUAGUUGUACAAAACCCCUAAAAUCUUACAAGUUAAAUAAUGAGCUAUAGAAGUACAGAGUUAUAUGGGAAUUGCAAAGAACUAAUACAACCCCUCAAAUUUCGAAGUCAAAUGACAAGCUACCAUAAAUGAGAAACAGCAAAAAGAAGGAAGCAAAGAGAAAAAGCAGAGGACUGAACUAAAAACAAAAAAAAAAAGAAGGAAAAAAGGGGUCUCUGAUAUGUUUACAAAAUUAAUGUUUUCCUCCUUAGGUAUCCCAAGGAAGUUUAUAAUCUAUAAUUAACGCUUAGGAAGGAAAUUCAAGCUUUUCACAUCAAGGUUGCACAUCCUCUUAGGAAAUUCAAGCUUUUCACAUCAAGGUUGUACAUCCUCCAAAAGAACGAAGGUUACAACCCACCCCAUCCCUCCCGCUAAUUUCAAUGAAAUUAGUACAAGAUGCAAUCCACUAAAGAAACCACUCAAUGUCGCGAAAAAGAAUAGGAACCAUAGCAAACCUGUUACACCAAUUUGGGAGAAGGUGAUUCCUUUACAACACCUUAUUCCUGAUAAUUUGAGUUGGAAUCAAGUGACAUUGUUGCACUUCAAUUUGGGAGAAAUACUUAGCAAAUAUUGCCCUCUAUCUUAAUAUCUAAAAAGAUAACCCCCGCAGACAAAUGAACCCCACUUCGACUCAUAACCUUUCCUUCUAAUCCCUUCACUGAUGCUUAAAAAUUAAAAAACCACCCACCCCUAUUUGCUUCUGUCCCACUCUUACAAAAUCAUAACUUCGCCAUCGUUUAAAUUAGCAAUUUAAAUUAGUAAGGACCAUUUCUCCUAAACCCAAUCUUCCCCAAAAAGAUAGCUUAAAACUUAGAAACCUUACAUCCUCUGCAAACAUCUCAGAUACACAAUCCCGCAUCUACAUCCCAACAAAACCAAACUGAAUUUGAUCAAGUUACUUUUUAAGCAGAAAUUAACACUACAUAAGAUGGUUUCACCUCCCAAAACCAGAUUUCCGAGAACGAGGAACCGAAUCAGCGCACCGAUCCACAUGAAAAAUUAGGGUUUUGGAACAGAGCGGGGAUCGAUUUACCUUGACCUCGGCGGUGGGGGAAGGGACGUUAAAGUUGUCGGAGAGGGAGGCCAUGGAGCACAUCACGGCGAGGAUCGUCACCGCGAGCGUCACCACCGCGUUCGCGCGGUACCCGAACGAAUGCAUCGCCGCGAAAAUCUCCGCCCCUUUCGCUCCACCGUGAAAGAGCACACCGCCACACCACGAGAUAACCUCUCCUCCUCCUCCUCCUCUUCCUCCUUCUCCGUCGUCGGAGCUCGGAGCCCUAGCUUCGUCCUCUUCUCCUCUCUCUCUCUCUCUCUCUCUCUCUCUCUCUCGCGCUCGCGUUGGAGUGGCGUCGCUAAGGAGCGUGGUAUAUAACCGUUACAAAGUAUCCCAUUGUCCUUUUUUUAACGGGUCUAAGUGAGAACUAAACAAAGCAUUUCCUGAACAGUGUGCAUCAUAUUGUCUAUGAACCGUGAAGCUCGGUAUAAGGAAUUGCGGAAAAUUAUUAGGUGGUUCGCGAAUGAAGUGGUGAACUGAGUUCAACGAAAAUUUCAUUACUGAGGAAGUCUCGUUCAAAGAUAAACCAUGUUCACAAUAUUAUCUAUGGACCGUGAAGUUACCAUUUAGGUGUAGGUCUUUCGAUAGAUUAAUAGAGGUCCACGAAUGACGUGGUGAGCCGAGUUUAGGGAAAUGGAUAUCGAACAGGAAUUCUAUUGGCGGUAAAACGAGUCCACCACAUUGUCUAUGGCCCGUGGAAGCUAAAUGGAAAUAUCAGUUGCUUUUCAGACGGUCCACCAAUGACGUGAGGACCAAGUUCACAGAAGUGUUUCCCAAACAUGACUCCUACUCGACGGUAAACCGUCUUCGCUAUAUGGCCUAUGGCCCGUGAAGCUAGUAGAACAAAUUCUUGUGGGGUUUUCAACGGUUCACAAAUGACAUGGUGAACAAUGUUUACGAAAUUUUUUUGAGCGGGCACUUGUUCGGAGGACACGUGGUGAGUAUUCAUUGGAUGAGUUACGUGUGAGGGACCAUGACGUGUGCAGUAUUAACCGUUAUAUGCCCUAUUUGGAUGCCAGUAAAUUAUGCUUCACCAGUAGAAAAAUUAUUCCGUGAUAAAUUUUGAGCUUUUGUAAACUUGGACCAUUUUUUUUGAUUUUGUAGAGUCGGGACUAGGUUUUUAGAAAACUGGACAAAAUAUCUUUAUUUCUUUCUCUCUUUCUCUUUUUUCUUUCGUUCUUUUUUUUCCCAUUCCGAAGAGAGAGGCUGAGGCAGCCCGCCUCGCCUCUGCCCCUGCGCCUUCGCCCAUGUCUGUGCACCAUCCGCCCUCCUCGCCUUUGACCCCACCAAGGCUAUGCUCCCCGCCGCCCUUUGAGAUGCCCCUCCUCGCCUCUGUCCGAUACCCCCUCAUCUGUGUUCGCUUAUACCCCACCCUCUUCGCCUCCGUUCCUGCCGAGACUGUGUUGUAAUCCUCUUUUUUCUUCUUUCUGAACCUCCUCCACCGUCUCUAUAGCCCUUCACAACCCGCCUCCAUCUCUACCUCCACUGUAGCAAAUUUUUUACCCACCAAACACACUUCUGAGAUCACGUCGUCCUCACCACUACCGACGACGACGAAAAGGAAGCACUUCUCGGCAUCAAGAAGCUCACUGGUAAGGGAGAGGGCACGUGACCCGCCGCGCCAAUCCGGCGCCCACGACGAGCGAGGUGGAGAUANAUUUUUAGAAAACUGGACAAAACACCUUUAUUUCUUUCUCUCUCUCUCUCUCUUUUUUCUCUCGUUCUUUUUUUUCCCAUUCCGAAGAGAGAGGCUGAGGCAGCCCGCCUCGCCUCUGCACCGCUACCCUCGCCCAUGUCCGCGCACUACCCGCCUUCCUUACCUCCGACCCCACCAAGGCUGUGCUCCCCGCCGCUCUUUGAGAUGCCCCUCCUCGCUUCUUUCCCAUGCCCCAUCGCCUGUGUUCGCUUGUAUCCCAUCCUCCUCGCUUCCGAUCCUGCCGAGAGUGUGUUGUAAUCAUCUUUUUUCUUCUCUCUGAACCUCCUCCAUCGUCUCUGUGGCCCUUCACAACCCACUUCCAUUUCUACCUCCACUCCACUGCAACAAAUUUUUCACCAACCAAACACACUUCUGAGAACACGCGUCCUCACCACUACCGACGACGACGAAAAUGAAGCGCUUCUUGGCAUCAAGAAGCUCGCUGGUAAGGGAGGGGGCACGUGACCCGCCGCGCCAAUCCGGUGCCCAUGACGAGCAAGGUGGAGAUAGAGGAGAGUGUGACGACCCCGGAGAAGAGGGCGCAGUAGCGACGAGCGUGGUGUCCCAGAGGGUAGGUCGAGUGUGGCCUCGGCAGGGUUGAAGGUGGGGACAGCGGGAGGUGCACGGGAGCAUCUCUCAUAAAUCAUUUUUGUUUACUUAAAAUAAAAAAAAAAACUAAAAAUAAAGAACUAGAAAAGAAGAAAGAAGAAGAUGAAAUUGCACUGUUAAAAUAAAAUUAUACUGUUUUAGAAGAACAUGUAAGUUGCACUCUUUAAGAUAUAAAUUGUACCCUUUAAGAUAAAAGUUACACUUUUUAAAUGAAAAAUACACUUAUUGAGAGGAGAAACAUUAUAACUAUCUUCCAAAUAUUGCAACUUUUGUUUAAAAAGUAUAAUUUUUUUCUUAAAGGGUGUUUUUUGGGAGAAAAAAUAGUGUAACUAUCUUUCAAUAGUGCAACUUUUAUUUAAAGAGUGUAAUUUUUAUCUUAAAGGAUACUCUUUGGGAGAAAAAAUUAAUUAUCUUCCAAAUAGUGCAAUUUUUAUUUAAAGAGUGUAACUUUCAUAUUAAAUUGUGUAAUUUAUAUCUCAAAGAGUGCAACUUACGUCUCUAAUAGUAUAAUUUUCUUUUAAAAUAGUGUAACUGUAUUUUAACAGUGCAACUUUAUCUUAUUCUUCCUUCUUCUCUAAUUCUUUUUCCUUACUCUCUAGUUUGUGAUUUUUAAGUUAUUUUUUUUUAUUUUAAGCAAACAAAAAUGAUUGACCAGAGAUGCUUCCGUGCAUCCCCUGCCUUCCUCGCCUCCGACCCUGCCGAGGCCGCGCUCGCCGUUGCUCUCUGGGACACCACGCUCGCCACCUCCCCGUCCUUUUCUUUGAUGUCAUCAUGCUCUCCUUUGUUUCCACUUCGCUCGUCGGCGGCGCAGGAAGGGCACGGUGGGUCGCGUGCCCCCUCCCCACCAAUGAGCUCUUUGGCGUCGAGAAGCACUUCUUUUUCGUCGUUGUUGACGGUGGUGAGGAUGGCGGGUUUCCAGAAGUGGGUUUGGUGGGUGAAAAAUUUGCUGCAGUGGAGAUGGAGGUGGAGGUGGGUCGCGAAAGGCCAUGGAGGCGGUGGAGGAGGUUCGGAGAGAAAAAAAAAAGAGAAUCACGGCAUAUCCUCGGCGGGGUCGAAGGCGAGAAGGGCGGGGGUAAGCAGGCGAGGGCGCAUGGGGCAGAUACGAGGGGGGGUCCCACAGGGCAGUAAUGAGCGCAACCUUGGUGGGGCCGGAGAUGAGGAAGGCGGGUGGUGCAUGGACGCGGGCGAGGGCGCGGGGGGAAGAGGCGAGGUGGGCCGCCGCCGCCUCCGCCUCCGCCUCUCUCUUCGGAGAGUAAAAAAAAGAACAAGAGAAAAAAAAAAGAAGAGAGAGAAAGGAAUAAGGGUAUUUUGAUCAGUUUUCUGAAAUUCCGACCUAAAUCUACCAAUCGAAAAAAGCGACCCAGUUUUGCAAAAGCUCAAAACUUAUGAAUUUUUUUUAUGCAAAUUGACUUUAAUUUUUAUAAUUUUUAAAAUUAAUUUUUUUUGAUUUUAGAGAUUCAAAAUAAAAAAAAUCUAGAUUCAGGCAAACGCUCCAUAAUAUUUAAUCAAAAUAAAUUUUCAAAAUUAAAAUUAAUUCUGUAAAAAUUAUUUUUCCUAAUAUUUAGGCCAAACACCCCAAAAUAUAUGUUUGUUUUUUAUAGAUUUCAGAAUUUGAACCUAUAAUUUAGAAAAAACGAUAUUUGUUUCAAAGCCGAAGUUAUGUUAUCACCUAAAUUUUCACUCACUAUUUCGUUAUUGUAUAAAGAUCAGUCUGUUGGUAACCGAAAUCUCAAAUCCCUGACCCGGUCAAAAAUCCUCCUCGGGGAGCGCGUCGGGAUGUGAAACGGCUGUAAAUAGUGACCCUCGAAGUUUGCGCCCUUUGAUUGAUCAAGCAAUUCGGCUGACGAGGGAUCGGGUCAGCUGGGUUCGAAACCUCUACAGCAAUUUCGGUUCGGCUGGAUGAGCCGAAUGAACAAAAAAAGUCAAAAUUUCAGCCAAGAAAUGAGCCGAAUGGCUGAUACAGCACAGGAACUGGUCGGCUUGAAGAGCCGGACACUGCCUUCUAUUGAAGGAGAAUGGAGAAAGUACAGGAAAGAGGGUUUUAGUCUACAGCGGAGUGAUGCCUAAAGGGCAGACAGAUUGCAGGAUGCUAAGUUACAGGAACUACUCCUAGAAAAAGCAAUAAAUGCAAGAAAGAAAUAUGCAGGGAAAAUAAGGUUGAUUUUUUAUGCGCAAGGGCCAAGACCUCUUUUUAGGGUAUUAUUAUCCUAUUUAUAGAUAGCCCCCUCUGUCAGUUAUUGUUCUUACACGAUCGGCCACUAUCUCCUCAUAUUCUGGACCACUUAUAGCCGAUUGGAACCACAUGUAACUGCUUGCGGUUACCGUAACUUCUUUCAAUUGGCGCGAUACACUUUUCCGGUGCUCCCGAUGCACGACCGAGUAAAUGCUUUUGAAGAGAAUAUUCGCACCGAUCCUAUCCGCGCCUAAUUGGCGCAACACAGUCUUUCGACGUCCACAGGGUCGAGGGCUUAGUCGAAUUUCCGACCAGGAAAGAGAACCCUAAGCCCUGUACAUGGUACAACUUCGGUCUAGUUUCGGUUCUUUGAAAAACCUAAAACCAAAAAUUUCGAUUCGGUUCGAACGUGACGUUAAAGCCGGCGGAACCGGGCGGGUUCUCAACCCGACUCAAACCGGAUCCGUAUUCAGAUUAGAAUCCAAUAACACGAGUUAAACUGUUAAUACAUCUAUACAAUCUAACUAUUUGGGACUCUAUCCGAUCCUACGUGUCGCUUCUACAUUUGUUUCAUUCAUCCGAGCCUCUCUCUCUCUCCCUCUUCUCCUACCGAGCCUCUCCCUUCGCUGCCAGCUGGCCCUCUCUCUUCACACCCCCCUCUCUCUCUCUCUCUCUCUCUCUCUCUCUCUCUCUCUCACCCCCUGUCUCUCUUUUUCGGUCUUUCCCCCUCUCUCUUCACAUCCUCUCUCUCUCUUCCUCCCUCUCUCUCACUUCCCCCUCUCUCUAUCUCUCUCUCUCCCCCCCUCUCUCUCUCUCUCUCUCUUCCUCCCUCUCCUACACUUUCUCUCUCUCCACACCCACCCCUCCUCUUUCCCUCUCCACUCGGCCUCUCUAUUUUCCCCACUCUCUAGAUCCCCUCUCACCCUUCUCCUCGCGGGCGCGGGCGCGGGGCUUGAGCGAGGGCGGGCGCUGGCGCGAGCCGGAGCCCGAGCGAGUGGGCGCAAGCCGAGAGGCCGAGGUGCGGGCCUCGGGGGCCGGCGCGGGCACGCGGCGGGAGCGGGUGGUUGCGCGGGUCGAAGCAGAGCGAGGCGAGCCGCCGCGGACGCGGGCGCAGGUCGCGAGAGGGCGGGGCCGCUAGCCGGCGCGGGCGCUUGCGCGCAGGUGCACCCAGUGUGGGUGGUCCGGCUCGGGGCGCGGGCGCGGGCGCGGCGUGGGCAAGGGUGGGCGAUGGCGCGGGCGGGCACGAGCGGAGGGGCGGCGGCGCGGGACGCGGGCACCUCUCUCCCCCUCUCCCCAGUUCGAGGGGCAUGGCGCAGAGCGGUCGGCACGGGAGUGGGAGGCCGGCUCCGCGUGGGGCGCGCUAGGCGGGACGUCCGGUUCGACUCUAUAUAUAUAUUAUAUAUAUUAUAUAUAUAAUUAUAUAUAUAUAUAUUAUAAUAUAAUAUAAUAUUAAUUAAUGAAGUGAGGCUACUUAUGGGCUAUCCGAAGCACGACCUUCCGUGCUCCACUUCGUUUUCAAAUGUUCCGACUUCGACAAUCGUCGAUCGCAGUGCCGUUAAACCUUGAUCUAGAGUAUUUAAGUAUCCUAAAAAUACAAUUUUAUUAUUUUUACAAUAUCAUUUGCCUAGUGAUACGAAUGAGAAUCAAAAAUCAACGGCUAAAAUAAAAAUCUUACAAAAGUAAAUAAUAUGACAUUAAAAUUUUAUAUCAAAGAUAUUUGAUCCUAUUUUUAUAUAGCAAUAUACAGAAUUUGUUUCUAUCAAAAAUUUUUACGGUGAUUUUGAUAUAUUCUACACCGUUAAACUGCAAACGCUCACUACGCCCAAUUGAAAUUCCAUUUCGAUCACUAGGCAAAUCAUAUAUCGAAAAAUAAUAAAUUUAUUAAUCUAGGCUAUCACCAAAUACCUAGAAUCAAGUUUAACGAGUGCCGAUCACGAUCGAAGUCCAAUAUCGAAAACGACUGGAAGCAAAAAACGAAGCUACGUGCUUCGAUAAAACAUCAAAGCCUCACUCCUAUAUAUAUAUAUAAAAUAUAUAAUUAUAUAUAUAUAUACUAUUAUGAUACUCUUUUUUGCUAAAUUUAAUACUCAUAGAGAAGAGAGAGAGAGAGAGAGAGUGAUGACAACCGAGAGAGAAAGAGUGGAAAUAAAGUUGAGAAUGGGUUAGAGGAAGGGAGAGGAGGAGAGGAGGCCGCAUAUGAGAUCUCCACAAGCAAAGGAUGCUGCAGCUCGGGCAUCUCUGUUCGGUUCAUGCAAGAGGUCGGUAAAGCACCUCUCACUCUCAUCUAUUUUCUCUUUCUUUUUUUUUCUUUUUUUUUUCAAACAACAGUAACUUAAGUCUCAAACCUUUUAUAGUUUUAACGCAAUAAUUAAUGGAGUUUUUUGUUAGGAAAUUAAACAAAUUAUCAAAAUAUUUUUUUUGUCAUUGUUUUUAGAGUUUUGAUUGCGAGCUCAAAUUGUGCGGGUUAUGUACAUCUCUCUCUCUCUCUCUCUCUCUCUCUCUGUAUUUGAUGAAAUAUUAGCCAAAAUUUUUAUAUAUAUGUUAAACUGCUAAUUAUUAUAUAUGCUAAUAUAUAUGGUGGCAUCUAUGAAAUACUAUCUAUAUAUUUCUGUGUAAAAUUGUUGUGCUAUCGAAAGUAUAAGGCGGUCGGUAUUUUCAACUUUUUAAUUAUUGGAUAAAAAAUUAUGAGAUCAGAUAAUAAUAGUUCCUUUCAAAUUUGAUUGGUCCUGAAUAGUAAUAGUUUACGAAAGCCCAAAAUAAGAGCAAAAUUACUAUUUUUUUUAAUGUAAAAUUAACUUUUUUUCUAAUUUUUUUGUAUUUUUUUUGUUUCUUUCUUUAAUUAUUUUCUCUUAAUUUAUGGAAUAAAAAAAUGCAGGAGCGUGAGGCGGCCCACGGUGUGGCGCGGACACGCUGGAGCGCAGGGCGGGGCGUGGCACGGACAAUGCUCUUUUUGUUUUUUUCCCUCUCUGCUCUCUUCAAUUUUUAAAUUAUUUUUUAUUACUCUCUAUUUAAAUAAUUUUUUUUAUUUUUUUUAGCUCUUUAAUUUUUUAAAGUUUAAAAUUUAAAAUUAAAUUUAAAAAUUAAAAAAAUUAAAUUUAAAUUUUUAAAAAUAAAUGAUAACAACAUAAAUAUAAAAAUAUAUUAGUUUGUUUAAAAUAUUUUAAAAAAUACAUAAAUUUUCCGCAGCAAAGCGCGGACCUUCACUAAUAUGUUAAUAAGUCGCCGCUGCAAGAAGACGAGUAGGUAGUUGUGUGUGCUUUUUGGAAUUGUGCGUAAACAGAAUAUUAUUCUCUCUCCUCCAUCGGAGUCGACGCUUCUUCGAUUCCCCUCUUCGUUUGCCCCACCGCGCGCCUCGAACCCUCCUCCUCUCCUCCUCCCCCGAUCCAAUCCCUAAUUUCGGCGGCGAAUCCCCGAUCGAUCCACGCGUUUCGAUCGAUCCCUCUCGCUUCCGAUCCCCUCCGAGGUGUUCGAUCUCGUUUGAUCUCCGAGUAUAGGCCACGGCGAUGCCGAGGAAUAGCCCUCCGAAGCAUCGCCAUGAUGGGACCUCGCCGCUGCCCCUGGGAAUGGAUUGGAGCCCUCCGCCGAAGCGAUGGGUGAGUGUGUGGUCUCAGAUUGUGCUGAUGCUUCGUAGUUGNNNNNNNNNNNNNNNNNNNNNNNNNNNNNNNNNNNNNNNNNNNNNNNNNNNNNNNNNNNNNNNNNNNNNNNNNNNNNNNNNNNNNNNNNNNNNNNNNNNNUAAAGAUGAUUGGAUAUGAUCUUUCUUGAUUUGAUCUAAUGUAUAGGCUUUGGUGAAGUUUAAUUGGACAAUGAUAAAAAUUUAAGAAACAAAAAGAAAAGAAAAGAGAGAAAAAAAAAAAAGCAAGUACCCAAAUAUUUUUAAAAAAGUCUCUAUUCUUAACAGCUUAACCACACCUUUGUGAUUUUGUGCACACAGCAAUUGUGAACAUCAUAUAUAAAACAUUAUCACAUCAUACGUUUGGCAUGAAACUCAAGCUAUUUUUGAAUGCUAUCCACAUAUAGGAGGAGUUCUCCUCGCCGUCCUUUCGACUUCUCCGCCUUCGUGGCGGUGCCUCUCCGCCUUCUCUCGCCCUGUUGCCUGUCCCGUCCGACAUCCCGUCUGCCUUCUCCCGUACUCUCCACCUUCUCUCGCCCUGUUGCCUGUCCCGUCCGCCGUCCCGUCUGGGAGGUGGCGUUGUGUCGUCGGUCGUGUGGGCCGCGACUUUUCCUCCACCGCACGUUCUCGGCUGUACGGCCCGGCGUGGCUUCUUCCUACGGUUGGAGGUCAGCAUGUAUUAAAUAUUAUUAUAGAGCAUUAAUUAACGGGAUCGCAGCCCACCUCGCGUGAGGCGUGGCGCUCGCCGGCUCUCUCUCGCUCUCUUUUCUGCUUUACGUCUCUCGCCCUCUUUUCUGCUUUACCUAUUAUUAUUAUUAUUAUUAUUAUAAAUAGUAGACGGUUUGGCAGCCCCCAUAUUUUCCUCUGAUUUCCCCUGAUUUUUGUCCCUUGCUUUUGAGCGCGGUUGUCCUGCCGUUCUUGCCUUGUGGUGUUCCUUUUUUAAGCCCUCUUAUACGGGUUUGGGCGUCUGUGGUUCCGAAGGUAUUCUGGCACUUUUUCUCCGUAUUUAUCCGGUUAGAUAUUUUGUUUUGUGGGUGUUUAAUUUUUACGCCUUUUUUGCUUGGCUUGCUUUUUGAUUACUUAUUUGAGGCCUGAUUUAGCUAAUUUGAUGGUAAAACUCUGUAUAGAUGCCGAAUGUUAUGUGAUUUAAUUGUUGUUGAUGAUGAUGAUGAGUUUUAUGUGAUUUAGUUAAGGUAGAUGCUGAACAUUAUGUGAUUUAAUCAAGGCAGAUAAAUUGUGCUUUGUAUCGUUCAUGCGUAGGUGCAUUUUGUGAUUUGAUUUGAUUUCUAUUUUAUUGGUUAUUGGAAGUAGCUAUGUUGUAUAAACUUUCGUAUGGUACCUCCUGUUCCAAAUUUUGUUGUCUAAAUCAAAGAUUUAUGUGCAAUUCCAGUUUAUUGAUGCAUAUGGUAUAGAGUAAAUCUUUGUUUUCUCCUGUUAUUUUUGCUAAUUAGACUUGGGGAGCACCUUAUUUAUAGAUACUUAUUGAUUACCAUGAUUUCGAAUAUCAGGUUCUUCUUGGAGAUGUGGAAACUGGGAAGUGUAGUCCGUUCCUGCCGCUCUUGUGAAAGGGCCAAUUGUCGAAUUCCAGUUGCUAAUACCAGGACAUUUCCACUAAUCAGCCGGGCGGGAAAAUUUCUCUUUGAUAUUAUCGAUCUUUGAUUGUGAAAUUUGUAGGCAGUCAACAAUAGCGCGGCAUUCUUCUACACAAACAUUAGGCUGAUUGAAGACGAUGAAGUUGAAGAUUUGGGAUACAGCAAGGACAAAGAUACCCCAUAUCUGCCCCCAUGUAUAACAGGACGCUGGCAGCCGCGAGUUUUAUGACAAACAAAAUGUUAGUAAAAAUUGAAUAAACACACAAUUGUUCAUGAACCUUGAAAGUUAUCCUACAUGUUUUGAAUUAGAAUGGAAUCGUUAGAAACCGCCAUACUCUUUGUCGAAUGAUUUCUAUCGAUAGUUUGGAAAGUUGAAGAAUAUUGGGUAGCAAAUUGUUCUGAAAGCCAUUUAACCUGCUAGACUUUCCUCAAGAUGAUUUAAUCCUCUGUUAGUUUCCAACCAUUCGUCUGUAAUUGACCAAAGAAACACUACACACCGAACUUCUCAUAUUUUACGUUGUACUUCAUUUACACCUCGCAGAGAAUGGUUCAAACAGAACUUCAAGCUAAGUAAAUCAUAAAUUCGUCCAGGCCCCUUCAUUAAUAUUUUUCAUAUUCUCUCAUUUGUUACGCAUCCAUUAAUGAGGAAGCUGUCCUGUUCUCAUUAACUAUACCUUGGAGAAAAAGCGUAACACCCAGAAACUCAAAGAUGAAGCAUAAUUUUUACCUCAGAUUCUUUUUAAAAUUAUUAACUUUUCUUAACUAAUAAUUAAAAAUGAUCAGAUAAAAUUCAUUCUAAAGCUUCAGAGCAAGUGAGUAUUAGGACACAUUCAUAUGCUAAGUUUAAAGAUUUGUCAAAUUAAACCGAGACUCCUUAAAUCAUAUUCAAAUAGUACUCGUCUCUUUUUAUAAAAAUGUUGAGUCUGUUGAUGAUUGUUAUGACGAAGAAGUAUAACACCGCGACAAGGAGCAUCUAAAUAAUUAAGGGAUCUCUUCUUUCUCAAAUAAUUACAACUUCCAAAGAGCGAGAAGCUCCUGCCUCUUUCUAUAUAUAGUCGUCAUUCCAUAGUACUAUUCGGGUCCGUGGUCAAGUUCUAUCAAAACGAUACUUUUGAAAGAUUCGGAUCGAAGCCCCUCAAAUUUUAGUGAGAGCUAAUCAGUUAAUGGUUAGUCCUGCCGCGCAUUUUCUCUCUUACCGGCUGAUAGGAACAUCUCUGCAAAUCAGUCCCAGGGUAGGAAACGGCAUGCGAGGCGUCGGGGAAGCGAGAAACUCAAUGGCAUCUUCUACUAUCCAUUGUUCACAACGCAUUCUGAAGAGGUGUGUGCGCCUGCGUGGUGAGAAAAAGGAACAUGCCUGUUCGGGAGCGCCUCCAGUGGAAAACCGGGCAGGCAUUUUCCUCGCAUUCUUGAUCAUCCUUAAUGCAUAAAGAAAACCCCUCAAUUAUAAGCGCAGAAUUCUAAUCCUCUAUAAUUAAAAUCAAGAAACAACAACUCACAAAAUCUCUAAGGAGAUAGUCCAUAUCAUGUAAAACUCGAGCGUGGAUUCAUUGUUGCGAGUUCAUAUGAUAAAGCAACGUAAAGCCGAGAAGCUUAGUUCUAGUCAGGCGCGAACUUACUAACUGAAAGAAAAAUGCGAAUUUUUCCAGCAAUUCGUUAAGCCUCGACCUGGCCUGCACACACUGCAACGUAUUGAAUAAUCUCAUCCAAGCAUAACUGCUUUUCCGUCACCUGUAAAUCUCACAAUGGGAAAUCACCAACACUCAAAAUGACAAUUUUACUAAUUUUUUUUUCAGUUUGUUAAAAAAACAGUGAAAAUAAGUAGAAGAGAACAUUACAUCCAAAAACCUUAUUGCAGCCGGGACCAAAAUCUGCAGAAACUUCAUCCUCCACUGAAUCUUCUCUGCUCUCACCUACAAUUGUACGAAGAAUGUAUAACUAUCGCAUUUGAGAAACAAGCAUUCAGGAUUGAUCGAAAUCGCAAAAUUGGGCCUAACUAAAAUGGAUCCCAACCUCCCUAAAUCUCUCACCCUCUCCCGCCGAGAACUUGGCUAUCAUGCUUGGCCCCUGCGCCCGCCCCUCACACAUAAAUAGAUUUAUCCUUCCCUCGCCAGGCAUUGGUUGGAAGCAACAGAGAUCCAUACCUUCAAUCCAAAUUUGGUGGGGCAAAAGGGAUAGAUUCCGCGAAUUAUCUCCAUCAAUUUUUUUCGCCACUUAAUAACGUUGCUUUUUUAUUUUUCCACCAAAAUUGGAUUUAUGAGAUUUUUGUUAAAAGAUGAAAUAAGAUGGUUCUUUGGACAAGAAACUUAUGUAAAAUCGAUAGGAAAAUAAAGCCAGUCCAAAAGGAAUGAUUAAAUAUUAAGUUCCAUUUUUUUUAAAUUGAAAACCCAAGUUCAAGAUCAAAUUUUACAUUGAUUUCCUUUUCCAGCAAUCAAUCCAAAUUUUCUCAUAUAAUAUUUUUUUAAACCUCUACAAUAGCUUCCCGUUGUUUAGUGAAUAUAUAUUUCUUUAUGUUAAUUUUUUUGUUUUGUUUAAUGUUAAAUUCCCUAGAUAAUACUUGGGUCCGGGCUUCAGAAAAAUUUUGNNNNNNNNNNNNNNNNNNNNNNNNNUAUAUCCUUUAGAGAUUUCUAUUAAUAAAAAUAGUUUAUUUACUUUUCAUCUGUUAUUUAUUGUUAUAUCUCGUUUACUAUCUCCGAGUCUAUGCGAAGACGAAUUAGUGUUGCACGUUUAGGAGAGGAGGGAAAGGUUUUGAAAUAAUUCUCAUUUACCGACGUCACCAACGGAAUCUGGCAGGUUCGACGGAACGGUAUUUUGAGAAUACCAUAAACUUUCUUAAGAUUCUUUUACUCUCCCUAAGCCUAAAUACGGUUGGAAUUAAUCAGUCCAUCGGAUGUUUUAGUCGUAACAAGUUCCUUCUUAGUAAAAUAGUAGUAACGGAGAAUAUGGAAUUGUUAAUUCCGGUUCAUAUAUCUUGGGGAAUUAACUACAUCCUCACAGUUAACCGUAACUACAUAUUGACGUCGUAAGGUAGCUUUUUCACUGCUUAUCUAAACUUAAUGAUUUAGGUCUUUUGGAUAUUAAAACAAGCAGGACUUUUAUAGUUUUUAUUUCUAACUAAUUAUAACUUAUUUUUAAAUCCUUUGUACAAGUUAAAACAUCAAAAUAGCUUGUCAUUAUCCUAAAAGUGUAACACUGAUGACUAAUCGCUUUUUUCAAUGAAUUUUCAUUACUUAGGUUUUAUAUUAAUGAGUUAUUAGGUGGUUACAGAUACAAUGUAGUACUUGUCUUUCUAACUUUCUUAUUUCUAUAUUUUUCUUUUUAACGUGUCAAAAGAACAGUUGUUUAUCAACUCAAUCUUUUAUUUCAUUCUAUAUGAGAGUUUAGGUGGUUAAGAUUCCCUUUCUGUAUUUCCUCCAUUUAUCAUCCGUGCGUUCAUACGAUUUAACGGCUAUUAGGUUAUAAAGUAUUAAAAACGAAAGUUUAUUCAAUUAGGUUACAAGGUUGAAUGUAUAGUUUUAAUUUAUAACAGCCUAGCAACCGCGAUUGGUAAUUAGGAUUUUCGAGCUCGACAAUCUUUAUGCGUUGGUUAAGUGAAUUUCGCAUAUCUUUGUCGUGGGUGCCCAGAUCUAACACUGAGCCGGGUGGACCGGAGUGCGGUGAAGCUUGUACUGAGCCGGGUUGGGUCGGAGUGCGGUAAAGCUUGUACUGAGCCGGGUGUACCGGAGGGCGGUGUCCCGUCCUACGACCGGGUAAAUUCGUUUGUUAGGGGGGAGGUCGUGGACGUGUAUAAACGUCGUACGUCCUUAGUGUGGGCACUGGAGACCGAGACUAUGGUGAACAGCCUAGCAACUGCGAUUGGUGGUUAGGAUUUUCGAAGAUCCAGAUAAUAUUUGGGUUACUGUUGGGGUAAGGGUAGGCUACACCCUGAUAACCCCACAGUGUCUAGGGGGGACAAUUCCAGGACUGCAGGAGCAGUCAGGUUAGUGUGUGUCGGGUUCUAGUGGUCCGAUACACUCUGAGCAGAGCGAUCGGGCAGUAGGUCUGGGACCGAGUCGGCUUUGAGCGGUGUGUACAGGUCGACCACUUGGCCGAGACUAUGGUUUACAUAGCUGGGUCGAGUGAUCGUUGUUAUUGAGCAACCCGGGUUUGGUUGUCGGGUUUUACGAAUUCGGGUCAAUAAUAAUAAUCACAGAUCCAGAUAAUAUUUGGGUUACUGUUGGGGUAAGGGUAGGCUACACCCUGAUAACCCCACAGUGUUUAUAAAAAGAUGGUGUAUAUAAAUCGUUUAUUUAAGUACGUAAUAUAGUCUGUCUCGCUAGUUUAAAUUAUUUUGGAACAAAUUACGGAUAUAAAGAGCCACAACCUUUAAAGUACGUUUAUUAAACCACAUACUUUGAAUGUCGUACAAUCCAUUAAAUAUUUUUUCGUGGUAUAAACUUUGCAACAACGGAAUUGUCCGAGACGUUCGGUACAAACAAAGAUUGGUGAGUACAGCCAUAGAGGUUGUAAAAAUAUAAAUUGAAGUGUCGUUGUUUCUCUUUUACUCUUUAGAUUAUUUCAUUUUUUUUUUAUUAUAAUGUACUUUUCUAAGUAUAUUUUUGCAGACUGUACGAGUUGUUGGGUUUCCUUUGGCAAGACACAUAACGUUAUGAUAAAACGAAUAGAAAGUGCUCAUUUUAAACUAUAUUAGAGGGAUAUGGUUAGCAAACGCUAGGUGAUAUGGUUAGAAACCAAGCUAUUACGUUAUGAAUGGUAUGAAACUGGAAUUUUGGACGAUAUUGUACUUGUCUUUGCUUUGACACUGUUAUUUAUGUCACGCCACUUGGCCAUAUGAAAAACUUGAGAAGACUUUUCAUAGUCUGAUUUCUCCGUGUUGAAAGAAUAUUAAAACUUAUAAUUAAAUUGAAAGUAUCGCUUGUACAUUAAGGAGUAAGCUGACGAGUAUAUAAAAAUAGUGUUUUACGUAGAGAACCUACCUCGUAACCGGGGUUUGUGUGAUUGGGGUGUACGUAUUCCGUUGUGAAUUUUUGAUAUGUAGUUAAAAGGGAAGAUUGUUUGCUACUCGAGAGUUAUAGCUUUAGGGUUUGAGGUUGGUCGUCAUAGGGAUGAAAACUACGUUUGUCGACCUUUAUCUUAUCAGAAGUUUUAGAUUCUAUUUUUGUACUAUCAAUUCUUUAGAUUAUUUUUGUUAAUUCUGUGAUGUUAACCUCCUAGUUUAAACGUGUUCAGCUACUUCUAUUCCUUUGUUUAUGUUAGUUGGUUCAUUGUCAUGAAGUGUUAGUUUGUAAAAGAUUUAAUGUCUACGUUUUAACUCUGGUUAAUGUCUUCCUAUCGCAAUGUUGGAGUGCGUUUAAAUGGACUUUUUUUUUCAGGUCGCUCGUCUUUGAACAAUGUGAGAGAUCGUCUGGUGUAUCGGCGUGAUUUGACGUAAAUUCUUUGAGUAACUAGUUAAUUUGUACCGUUCUUUUAACCUGUAAAUUCUUUGAGUAACUAAUUAAAUUGUCGUCAUAGUUAGCGUUCUCCUAUUUUUUAUCGGGUUUCUCUUAUUAUUGAAUUAUCAUCGUAGACAGCGUUCUCCUACUUUUUAUCGUUCGGUAAUGUUGAUAGUGUUAUCGAAGUUCUAUAGACGAUUAUCAAUCUAUUCGUCCAGAACAUUAUUUUCGUAAGUUGUCUUCCCUUUUUUCUCUACAUUCUUCUAUCAUGUAUCCUUCAUUUGUUGGAGGAAACGUGUUUUUAUAACUAUAGGGACAGAGGUGGUAGAGGAGAGUUACUUUGGAGUCACUGUUGAAAAUUAUUUGUAAGGUGUCGUUGGAUUUUUUAAUCUAAAUUGUCUUGUAAUCUAAAUUAUUUUUAGGAAAAAACCGGGUAAUAAACUUAGUGGUAUGUAGUCUAAAUAGUACAAAACAUUAAAAAAAUACGAAAGGAUUAUCUUUUUUCUACAUUCCGUAAGGGUACGGUUCCCUUUUAUUUCGUAAACAGUUCAUACCGCGACGCUGAGAGUAUAGAUUCGAUCACAAAACAAUCUUUUAAAGACUUCGGGACCGGGUUUCGAUAUAGAUUUUGAUUGUAAUUUGUGUUUUGUUUUUUUAUUUUAUUUCUUUUAUUUGAGUAAUGAUUUUGUUGCCUCGUAAGAUCUUCAAUUUUUUAUAAUAUACUCUUUUAAACCUAAUCCUACGACCUUUUCCUUUUUAGUGUACAUUUUUAAACUAGAACUUGAACUCAAAAGUUAAUUUUUUUUCCCGAAUUAAUGUUUAGUGAAUGAAACCCUGACCGAAAUAAAAGGUGCUAAAUGAUUCAAAGAAAGGUUUCUGUGGUAAAAUGUUAGUAAAAUUGUAUUUAGAUAAGUAGGUAAAACCACCUUUUUUAUUUUUUCGUGGCAAUUCACCGCUUUUUUAAUAACUCUUAUUAAGUGACCUAGAUAGGGAAAAGGGGGGUUUUACCUAACUUCCAUACUAGAGACAAUGGAGGUUGGUUACGGAGGGGGGCUCAAACAUAUGAAUUGAAAGUUUAAAAUGCUCCAAAGGUUUAGAUUAUUUCCUCAUAUGUUGUAAUUUGUAUUUUUUAGUCUAAUUAUCGUUCAGUUGGAAAUUGCUUUGGCGCGAUCUUCGCCGGUGGGUAUCUGGUGAGGAUCUUCUUCUCCUCCUCCCCCUCCCCAUCGCGUGCCCUCGCAAGCCCCCGCGCCCUCUUCGUUGCGCCCGCUCCCUGUUCAACAAAAUGCCGAGCUGACGCGGGGCGCUCCCUUGGUUGAUAAGCCCCUUGCCCAUUUUCUUCCUAAAUUGCAAACUAGGUUCCAAUUUCUGUUAUUCUUCUUGCUGUGAUUGUAGGAGAAGCAGCCGUCGCAGUCUACACAUAUUCUCUAUACAUAUUUUAUCCCUAAGUACGUUUUCAGUCUUCCAUUAAAGUUGUCUUUUAAGCUUGUCCUUUUUAGGGUCAUUUUAGGUUCACCCUUCUGGUAUUAAGGUCUAAUUCACUUCCUGACGCGGCUUAUAAAUAACACCUGUUGUUGAGACGUUGUUUGUGGGCGUCUGACGUCGCUAACGGGGCUGCGGUGUCGCUGACUAGGCUCCGGUAAGCGGAUGGUACGGUAACGUCCGUUAAAGUCUUUGCUUCCAUCGUAAGUUUUUGUUGAUAGGUGGAGUAGUAGCGGAGCAGAAUUUGUUUUUCCUUUCGUUGUUUCGUUGUCUUUUAUCUUUUCCCCGACGUUUUUUUUUUUUUUUGUCAUAUUCUUUUUAGCUCUCCUGGGUUUUUUUAAAAAUUUGGGUCUUCUUUGUAAGUCUUUUUGGUAUUUAUGAAGUUGGUGGUCCGUAGGUUGGUAGGUAGGUUCAUUGUACUUUUAGGUUUAUGGUCUGUUAUUCUACUCUGUUGUACUUCGUUGGUUUCUUUGAAAGUUUUCUGGUUUGGAGGAGAGACGUCUNNNNNNNNNNNNNNNNNNNNNNNNNNNNNNNNNNNNNNNNNNNNNNNNNNNNNNNNNNNNNNNNNNNNNNNNNNNNNNNNNNNNNNNNNNNNNNNNNNNNNNNNNNNNNNNNNNNNNNNNNNNNNNNNNNNNNNNNNNNNNNNNNNNNNNNNNNNNNNNNNNNNNNNNNNNNNNNNNNNNNNNNNNNNNNNNNNNNNNNNNNNNNNNNNNNNNNNNNNNNNNNNNNNNNNNNNNNNNNNNNNNNNNNNNNNNNNNNNNNNNNNNNNNNNNNNNNNNNNNNNNNNNNNNNNNNNNNNNNNNNNNNNNNNNNNNNNNNNNNNNNNNNNNNNNNNNNNNNNNNNNNNNNNNNNNNNNNNNNNNNNNNNNNNNNNNNNNNNNNNNNNNNNNNNNNNNNNNNNNNNNNNNNNNNNNNNNNNNNNNNNNNNNNNNNNNNNNNNNNNNNNNNNNNNNNNNNNNNNNNNNNNNNNNNNNNNNNNNNNNNNNNNNNNNNNNNNNNNNNNNNNNNNNNNNNNNNNNNNNNNNNNNNNNNNNNNNNNNNNNNNNNNNNNNNNNNNNNNNNNNNNNNNNNNNNNNNNNNNNNNNNNNNNNNNNNNNNNNNNNNNNNNNNNNNNNNNNNNNNNNNNNNNNNNNNNNNNNNNNNNNNNNNNNNNNNNNNNNNNNNNNNNNNNNNNNNNNNNNNNNNNNNNNNNNNNNNNNNNNNNNNNNNNNNNNNNNNNNNNNNNNNNNNNNNNNNNNNNNNNNNNNNNNNUCAAACACGCUAUCUAAUUAAUCACUUGGCCUGGCUGGCUCACCCAACCCGCCCAGCAUAUUUUCGUGACGACUUCGUUUCCAUUUCUCCCUGCGCCCGCACAGCAUGCAACAGUCUGUCCUACAGCAGCGAUCGACUUUUCUUUUUUUGAGAGAUGUCUGCUCUCCUCCCGUUGCAUGUGGGACAGCUGUCAACUCCCGAAUUAAGAACACCUCUCUCUCUCUCUCUCUCUCUCUCUCUCUCUCUCUCCAACUGUACCCCCCCUCUCUGUCCCCCUCUCUUACACUCAUUCUCUCUUUCUCUCCAUUCUCUCUCUCUCUGUUAUGCCCCUUUUCUCCUCUCUCUCUUAUCAAAAUGGGGUUUCGGUGGAGGUGGCAGUGGUUUGGCCCUUGAUAACGGCAGUCGCGGCAGCGCUGUCGGCGUGGGCUGCGACGGCGGCGGUCAUAGCAGCGAUGGCGGCCACAGUGGAGGUUGGGAGGACGAGGGAGGGGUGCGAGGCGGCGAUGGUCUUACCGAAACUCAAGAGUUGGCAGUGGUGUGUUGUUAAGUAAUUAUUUUUCUUCACUCUAUGAAUAAGACAAUGGAACUAUUAUCAUCUAAAGCUCAAAUAUUAGACUAAUUAGGUACUGUUGUUUUUUUUUUUUUGUGCGCAUGUCUUCUUGCUCUGUAGCUUUUGCUAACUGUAGCUCUUUUUAAGGUGUGUAUUUGUGGAUGUUGGUGUUGCACCUAAUGAUAUUGAAACAAAAAAGAGAAAAAGUCUUGUGGUAGGGUAAAUGAAGAAAAUUUAGCAGAUCACACUAAGUCAUUGUUUGGUUGUUUCACAAAUGCAACAGCUCGGGGUAAGGUAAAUGAAGCACACAGCAUCCGUUUUCCAGGAGCGACAAGCCGAACUCUAUGCAGUUCAACAUCCUUCAGUAUAUCGCACAAUGCCAUGUUUAUAUGCUGCAGUAUUUUGGAAACAAGAAAUCAAUAAAAAAAGGGAUCGUUGUGAGAAGUAAAUGAAAGAGUUUUGAGUGGAAGAAAGAGAACUUCCCUUGCCGUUUCUGUGUGUGUGUGUGUUACUUUCCUUGCAGUUUCUCUUUUCAUGCUGUUUGAAGGAACAUGUUUGGUUGAUCAUUUUUUGUGGUCUUUGGCUGUUUUUUGCCUCUCCUUCUUGGGCUUUUAAGUUCUUUCUGUUUUCUUACUUAUAUUCGUAACUUUUUUAAAAUCCGGUUCUUCUCUGUUUGCUGCUGCUUUUGCGAUGCUGGAUAUUUUUUCCCCUUUCUUUUUGCUGCUGCCUUCUCUUAUAAAUUUCUCCGUAGUGGCAUGGCACCUCAAAUGGCCUCGAGGCAAUCGUUGCGGCCUCAAGGCAAUCGCUGCAACCUGAGGCUAUUGUUGCAGAAAUCCAGUCCACGCAGUAUUUGACGUGGUCCUUUACUUUUAGGGGAUUCACAAUCCUGAGCCUCGCAUGAUGUCCUGUUUUAUGUAUGUAAGAGAGAGGCAGGGGAGUGUGCAUAAUGGUUAACGGUUUACCCUUUAAUUAUAUUGUAAUUUUAACCGUCCUGUGCCUUAUACAUGUAAGACAGAUGGAGCUUUUAUAGUUGAUGGGGGGCUACAUCCGAAAUUAAAGAGAAGGAUGCAAAAUGGUUAAGGGUUUGCGUUUUAAUGAUAUUGUAUAUAUGUAUAAAUUGUAUAGAUUAUAUAGAUAUAAAUUGUAUAGAUGUGUAGAUUGUACAUAUUGUAUAGAUAUUGUAUAGAUUGUAUAGAUUGGUCAUUUUCCCAGCAAUCUACAUUUCCUUACUCUUAGCUCUAAUUAUGGAGAGAUCUAGCUUGAACUUAAUAUGCAAUCUGAUACCUUCUCUGCUUAAUUUAUUUUUUUUGGAUGUUGCUUUCUCUUCUGAAUUUGUUCGCAAUGGCACGACAGAUCGAACGGUUUCAGGCCAAUCGCUUCGGCCUCGGGCCAGCUACUGCAGCCUGCGGCUAUUGUUGUAGAGAUCCAGUCUACACAAUAUUUGACAUAGCCCUUUAAUUUUAGGGAAUCCACUGUUCUGAGCCUCGCAUGAAUUGUUGUUUUAUGCAUUAUUGUUUCUUUUCCCGUCAAUUUACAUCUUAUUCUUGGCUGGAAUUGUGCAUUUACCAUUACCUAAAAUAUUUAGCGUAUGGUUUCUUUCCUGCAGGUGUUGCUUAUUCAAAUCAGCAGACCCUAACUUGAAAUAAGGGUUUUUAUUUCAUAAAACUAUUAUAUAUAUAUAUAUAUAUAUAUAUAUAUAUAUAUAUAUAUAUAAAAUUACCACUCAAACUUAGAAAUUCGCAGGCAUCAUAGGAACAUAAACAUUCCGUUGUGGUAUCGGAACCCUGCAGGCCUUUUCAUCUUCGGAGAAAGAAUCUUUCCUGGGUAAACUUUUGCAUGUCAGGCAAAUAUUACGUUUUAAUGAAAAUAUAUUUUUCUAAAUAUACUCACUACGGAAAUAAAUAUUAUUCAAAAAUAUUAAUGAAUAAUAAAAAAAAUAAUAUUAAUAGUUCUAAUAAUUGACUAUUAUAUCGACUUCCCGCCGCAACGCGCGGGGUUCCGUAACUAGUAUAUAUAUAGAGAGAGAGAGAGAGAGAGAGAGAGAGGGAUGUGCUUUUAGAAGCAUAGUAACAUCAUUUUAUAUAUAUACACACAAAAUAUGAAAAACAGAUAAAAUAUUUUGACAGACGAAAUGAUAAAUGAAAUAAAAAAAAUACUUUAUACACAUUAAAAAAACUAACUACAAAUAAAUAAGGUUUGAAAUUUUGAAUGGUUUAAGAAUAGACGUAACAAUUAAUAAUUGUUUAAUUUAAAUAAUGAAUUCAAAAUUAACUUUAAAAUUUGAGUUUGAUUCAUAAAUUUAAAAUUAAAAUUAAAAUUUAGAAAUUAAUUUAAAAUUUUAAAAUUUGGAUAUACAUUNAUUUAAAAUUCAUUUUUACUUAAGACUAAACAAAUAAAACUUAAAUUUACAAAUAGUCACCGUACUCAGAUAAAAGUUAAUUAAAUAAAAAAUUUAAACUAAACAAAGAUUUAUACAGAGGUUAAAUCAAUAUGUUAUUUACAAAAACUAAACAAAAGUAUUGUGAACUUAAAUCUAAUUUAAUUUGUAAAUGUGGCGUGCAUUGUGCGAGUUUAGAGAGAGAGAGAGAGAGAGAGAGAGAGAGAGUAGCUACGUACUAUAUUCUUUUGAAUACAGUAGUUGUUAUGCUAUUUUUGUGCACACAAGUAUACAGCCAUGAGAUCUACUCCUAUAUAUAUAUAUAUAUAUAGAUCUCAUGGCUAAGGAAACUUCAAAAAUUGCUUUUCAUUUGCCAUGUAAAAAUUCUUUCUUUAUGAUAUUCAUCUCACUAAUUGAACUACUCCCGGUCACGCAUAUAAUGCUGCAAAAAAUUCCCAUCUGCUUAAAAAUUUUCAUAAUUGUUCACUUGUAAUGAUACGACAGUAUUUUAUUAAUUUCAUUAUCAUACUAGUCGUUUUAAAAAAAAAGAAAAAAAAAGAAGAAAAAUGCAUCAUCCUCGUUUAAAUAAGCACUCCAUUACUCAUAUGUCAAUAGUUCGUAAAGAAGCAUGAAACGCUUUCUCUCUGGAGCCAUGCUCGUCACAACGCCUGCAACAUUGAUUGGCUUAAAUCUCAAACGUAGGAGGACAAAGAUACAUCUCAUAUUAGGAUAUAAAAAAAAUAGAAAAAAACUUCAAAUACCAUCCCUGUGGUUUUACACUUUCUCACUUUAGUGCCAUAUGAUUUAAAAUGUAUUAAUUUAGUACCAUGUGGUUUUAUUUUUUAUAUUUUUAUUAUUUAUUUCACUAAUUUUUUUUAUUAAAUUAGUGACAAAGUUAAAACUAUAGGGUACUAAAGUGAAUAUUUGAUAAAUCUAGAUAGAAUAUCUGAAGUUUUUUAUAUAUAAUUUAAUAAAAUAUUAACGAAAAAGCUAACGAAAAGAUAAAAAUCAAAUCACAUGACACUAACUUGAUACACUUUAAAUCAUAUGAUACUAAAAUGAAAAAAUACGAAACCACAUGAAAAAAUACGAAACCACAUGAGUGGUAUUAGAAGCUUAUCCAAAAAAAAGUCUACUUGCAAAGCUACUCUCAAUGCAGAACAGCUCUUCUUAAGCCUACCUAGCCUUUUUUAUUAAAAAAAAAAUCUAUUGAGCUGAGCAUUCAGUUUGGUUAGUGGAGAAAUCAUGACCAAACCACAUGCUUGUACAUAUACGUGGAACUAAAAAGAUUUUUUUAGCUAAAACAAUGCGUGAAUCUCACAGUAUUCAGUGUACGGACGUAAACAAAACGACGACACAGAGUAAGGUUUAAAGAUUUCUCAGCAACUUACCACUAAAAUAAGGAUAAAUAUUUGCACCGAUCGCUUGACUUUAUCACACUUUUAUUACAUCAGUGGACUUCAAUUUGUUGCAAUAAAGUUAUGGAACUUCCAUUGCUAUUUCAAUUGGAUCACUCCACCAGACACUCUUUAGUUCCCUGAUUUUGUCAGAUGAUCAUGUCUCUAAGAAGAGAAGCUGUUGCUACAGCUUCCACGUCAUUUCAUAAAGAUGAUAUCAUAGUUAAAUCAUCUUGUAAUUACGAUGACGCGGCAACUGAUUCAACUCCCGCAACAUCUCCAUAUCACA
Molecule: long non-coding RNA, 89672 nt
Filed under: Ananas comosus (pineapple)
Lineage: Eukaryota; Viridiplantae; Streptophyta; Magnoliopsida; Poales; Bromeliaceae
Description: long non-coding RNA (ACOM_LNC028414)
Source: RNAcentral